AUCAUUGCUCUUCAAAUUAAAACCUUUUUUCGGCAUCAUAGGUAGAUGCUUGAAAAUUAAAUCAAAUCACUCUUUCACUUCUUUAUCAACCACAAUCAGGUUUUCAGGAGUUGUUUUUGACGAUCUAGUUCUUUUGCGAGACAUGGUACUUUCCCAAACAUUUGGUAGAGUUUCUGCACAAGAGAGAAAAGAGAAAUCGGCAAAGUUGGUAUAACUUGCUAUGGCAAAAAUCUUGCGACAGUAAGGAUGGUGCGGCGGCGAUCUCUUUGCGACAGCAAUAGGGAAUUUUGGCAAAAAGAAAGGACUAGGGUUUCUUUCGAUAUUUGAGGUUAAUGACACAAAAAAAAAGAUUUAGGGAUUUUUAGGGCGGAAGUAAAUUGCUUUGAGGGAGAUGAAAAUUAGUAGAAUGAAGAGGGCUUUAUAUAGGGAAAAUUAGGGCAACAUGCAAUAAAAAUUUAGCUACCUUAAAGUUACUUGGGCAGCAAGUAAUGGGUGUGACGGCAAGGCCUAGUUUUUUCCCUCUUUUUUUGUUGUCUUGGGCCUCAAACUCAUACUGUAUCUUAAAAAAAAUUGAUUAGUACUUGGGCCAAAUUUGACCCCCCUUUAUUAACACAAAAAUUUAAAAUUUAAACUGAACAAAAUAAAACUUAAAAAUUUUAAUUAGAAAAUUUCUUCUUAACAACUUACAUUAAAUUAAUUCCCAAGAAAGGUUGGAGGGGUCACAGCGGUCCCGCUUAAGUUCCAAUCUCCUUAGACAGAAUUAAUUAAAUGUAAUAAAUUAAGAAAAUAGGAUCUAAUUAUUUAUUUAUUUACACAAUGAGUUCAUGAAAAAUUAAGGGUCUGUUAAGAUGAGUGAGGAUUCAGUUUGCUCAACUUCACCAUCCCAGUAGUGUUUGAGACGUUGACCAUUAACUUUAAACGUACCUCCAUAAUUGUCGUAUAAUUCAAUAGCUCCGUAAGGAUAAACUCGGUAGAUGGUAUAGGGUCCUUUCCAUCGGGAUUUCAGCUUCCCAGGAAAUAACUUCAGCCUUGAAUUAAACAACAACACUUUCUGACCUUCUUUAAACUCGCGAAGUUGUAUAUGAGUAUCAUGCCAUCUUUUUUAUCUUUCUUUACACAUUUUGGCAUUCUUAUUGGAAAACAACCUCAGCUCUUCCAACUCAUCUAAUUGUAACGUCCUUCUCUCACCGGCCUAUUUUAUAUCAAAAUUUAACUGCUUCAAAGCCCAGUGAGCUUUAUUCUCCAACUCUAAUGGCAAAUGACAUGCCUCUCCAAAGACUAACUGAUAAGGAGUUAUUCCUAACUGAGUCUUAAAUACUAUUCGAUAGGCCCAUAAUGCAUCAUCGAGCCUUCGAGACCAAUCUUUUCUACUAGGGUGUACUACCUUUUCAAGGAUACUUUUGAUUUCAUGGUUCACUAUUUCAACUUGUCCAUUAGACUGGAGGUGAUAAGCAGUAGCAAUCUUGUGCUUCACAUCAUAUUUAUCAAGCAACAACUUAAGCCAUUUGUUCACAAAGUGAGAACCUUCAUCACUAAUAAUAGCUAUUGGUGUCCCAAAUCGUGUAAACACAUGCUUAUGUAGGAAUCGCAUGACUACCUUAGGAUCUAACAUCUGAUUCGAAAAAUGGUCCUUCCGAGUGGCUUUGUUCAACUUUUUGUAAUCAAUACAGAUUCUCCAACCGAGAAUAGUUCUCGUCGGAAUUAACUCUUUACGCUCAUUUUCAACAAUCGUGAUUCCACCUUUCUUUGGCACACACUGCACCGGACUUACCCACGAACUAUCUGAAAUAGGAUAGAUGAUUCCUGCAUCUAACAGUUUGAUCACUUCCUUUCUCACAACUUCUUUCAUGAUAGGAUUGAGCCUUCUUUGCCCAUCAAUUCAGGUCUUUCACAUUCUUUUAAAAUGAUUUUAUGCAUGCAAAAAGAAGGGCUUAUACCUCGAAUGUCAGCUAUGGUCCAACCAAUUGCUUUCUUCAACUUCUUUAAAAGAACAAUCAGUUAUUCCUCUUGAUCUUUCGUUAGUUCUGCUGAAAUAAUCACAGGCAAAGUAAAAUAGUCACCUAAAUAAAUAUAUUUCAAAUGGGAAGGAAGUACCUUUAGUUGAAGUGUAGGUUGUUCUUCGAUUGACAACUUGGGUUGCACAAAUUCUCUGACUUCUAACUCUAAUAGUUCAAACCGUGUGGAUUGAAUAAAAUUUCUCGGAUUGGCUUCCAUCAAAGCCAUGUUUUUUCACCUUCUUCAUCCUCCAAAGGGUCAAACUCUAAGGCUUUCUCCAAUGGAUCUUCCUCAAAAUUGCUUUCCAUAGAAACCAAGGUUUCUAUCUCUUCCAUAAUUGAACACCCCUCUAUCGGAUCGAGAAAUUUCAUCACUUUAAGAAUGUUUAAGGUUACCUGAUCAUUUUGAACUCGCAUGGUGAGUUCUCCUUUCUGCACAUCAAUUAAGUAUUUAGAGGAGUUGCUAGGACGACCCUUACGGUAGCUAAGUACUAGAUUUCAUCUAUUGAGAGGAUCUUGGAUAAUUUGUACUAUACCCUAGAACAUAAACUUAAGGGUACAGUGUCUCUUUUGAGAAAUGAGGCAUUUUGUUGGUGGAAAUCUAUCAUGGAAGGUACCAAGCCAAAGAAGAUAACUUUGGAUUAUUUCAAAACUGCCUUUCGUAAAAAAAUAUGGGAUCGAGGUAUGUUGAAGCCCGAAAACUUGAUUUUAUUAAAUUGAAGCAAAGGGACCAAACCGUAUCCGAGUAUGAGGCUGAGUUAUUAAGCCUGAACCGGUAUGCACAAGGGGUGGUAGCUUUAGAGUAGAACAACUGUGUUAGAUUUGAGAAUAGGCUGAGGUAUGACCUCAAGGUCCAAGUUGUCAUAUUGUAGGAGAGAGUCUUCGAGACUUUAGUAGAGAAGGUGAAGAUCCUUGAAGAGGUGAAAUAUGAUAAGCAAGAUAGAAGAGAUAAGACCAAGAAUCUAGUGAAGAGAGAUUUUGGUCUGGGAAAUUCUAAUCCAUGCCCAGUGAAGAGGGUCCGUGAAAAUAGACCAUGUCAGUACCCUGCUAUUGCAAGUAACAGAAAUUAGACCCGCAAUUAUGCUUACUGUGGGAAGUCUCACAAUAGGAAAUGUUGAAAGAGCAAGGGAGCAUGUUCUAGGUGUGGGGCGUGGUAAUAACAAAAUGAUAAUAGUGGGUAGAGGACAAAUGGUCAAUGUACGAACUGUACUAAUGUUAGACAGCCCACCUUGGUUUAUGCAGUAAGGCACCAAGAGGACGGUAAUACGGCUGAUGUUAACGCAGGUACUUUUAUAAUAAAUUUUGUACAAUACUUUGCUUUGAUAGAUAUAGGAUCAACUCAUUCUUAUGUUUCCUGCUCUAUGACUGAUAAAUUGGGAGUUCUAGUGGAAAUUAAUGUUAGCGGCAUAACUGUACUCAGUCCCCUAGGAUAAUUUAUGUAUGUGAAUAAAAUAUUUAGGAGAUGUCCUUUAGAAAUUUAGGGUGAGUUGUUUCCAGCUGACUUGAUGGAGCUGCCAUUCAGUGAAUUUGAUCUUAUUUUGGGCAUGGAUUGGUUGAAGGAGCAUCGAGUUAGCCUUGAUUGUGAUACAAAGUUGGUUACUCUGAGGACUUUAACCAGAAAGGAGAUAGUUAUGAUCUAUAAGCACCAAUAUUACUUGUCCAAUGUGAUCUCUACUUUGGUAGCCGAGAAAUUAGUUCAUAAAGGGUACGAUGCAUAUUUGGCGUACAUUCUGGAUAUGAAAGCUGAUGACUCAAUGUUAGAAAGCAUCUGUGUAGUAAAAGAGUUUCCUGACGUCUUUCUAAAAGACUUGCCCGAUCUACCUCCAAAACGCGAGGUUGAUUUUGGGAUUGAGUUGCUGCCUAGGAUAGCUCCGAUGUUUAUUGCUCCCUACUAAAUGGCACCUAAGAAUCUUAAAGCAUAGUUGCAAGAGUUUUUAGACCAUGGUUUUAUCUUGGGGAGCUCCAGUUCUACUCGUGAGGAAGAAGGAAAAUGGUAUGCAUUGAGUGUUAACUCGGUCUUCCUGGAAUUUUCACAACAUUCGUGUUGACAAAAUGUCUAACCUUUUGCCCCGGUAAAACUUCACUCCUUUAUUUCUCCUUCCUCAACCUACACCUGCCAAAGCACCAAACACAACCCUACCACAAGCAAUUAAAAGUACCUAAUAUUUCAACAAAGUCCAAGCUCCUAAUGGAAUGAUGAAGAUAUGAAUGAAAUGUCCUAAAAUGCAACUAAAUGUACCUUGGUGCAAGUAAUUAGCUAGGCCUUAAAGCAUGAAAUAUAAAUUUUUUCAAGAGUUAUCACACCCUCAAACCUGAGUUAUUACUUUUCCUCAAGCCAAAUACAUAUGAAUGCAUGAAUCCAUAAAUUUUUACCCUUCCAUAUAACUAUCUUAUACUAUUAAUCUAUUAAAAGAACAACAUAUACAUCAGUUCUCAGUAGUCUUCUUUCUCUAAAAGCUUGAUUGAAUGUCAAAGGUUCAUUUCAAAAAAGGUAGUGUAGAAAAUUUGUCCCUAAAAAUAAAAUUUCCUAAAUACUCAUGUAUGCUUUCUGGCCAUAACAAAUAUCUCCUAAUGCACUCAGUUCAUUUGUAACCUAAACUAUAACAGCCUAUUUUUAGUGAAAUCGAGACCACAAAUCCUACGUGAAAAUAUUUAUAUUAUUAUUUUAAUGUCUAUGGCAUGUUAAUAGUGUCAUUUGCAUGCUUAAUUUAGUGAGAAUGGCUAAAUUGUAAAAGGUGUAAAAGUAGAGUUCUAGUAGCUAAAGGUAUCAAAUAGCUAUAGAACUUUAAUGUGAGAGUAAUUAGGUGGUAAUUAGACCAUUUAUGUGGUAGUGGAAAUUUAUGGGUUUGGUUUUAUUAAAAUUAGGGAUAUUUUUAAAGGUUAAAAAUGUAAUUAAGUAAAAAAAGGUUAAUAUAAUAAAAACAAAAGAAAGAAAUAAGAUAUCUUCCUAUCUUCAUCCUUAGCUGAAAUAUUCAAGGGAAACCAUAGCUAGGUUUCAGUCAAGCUAUAUUCACCGGUAUGUAAGUGGUUUUUGUUUCGCUUUAAUGAUUUCUAUGUUUUUGAAGUUGUUGUAGCUUAAUCUAGCUAGCCCAGGGACUAAUUUGCAAAACUAUUAAAGGUUUAAGGUUUUACCAUGAAUUUUCUUACAUGAUUUAAGAAGUUUGAUGAAAUAUUAUGAGUCCUUGUGGUUAAAUAAACAAUUUUUGUAAAGUGAUUUUUGAUGAAUUUGUCAUUUAGGGACUUAUUUGUAAAAGUAGUAAAAUACCAUGAUAAAUUUGUGAAAUGUCGAUUUGUAUGAGGUUGUAUGAGCCCCUAGGCAAAUCAACUAGCAUGAUAUGUGGAUGAAAUUGCAUAAAUGAAAAUUUACGAGCUUAAGGACUAAAUUAUAAAGAAGUUAAAAUAUUAGGGGCAAAAAUGUACAUCUGCAAUAGUAUGAAUUUUGGACUAAAUUGAAUAGUAUGUGUAUUAAAAAUAUUGAAUUUUCUUAUUUAGAUAAAGAUAAACCUUGUACGGAUUUAGAUCGAGGAAAGGCUAAAGUCUCAGAUUAGUGAUCCUAUUUUGACGUCUUUGUAAUCAAGGUAAAUUUGUAUGUUUAAAUAACAUUAUAAUGUUAUUUUGAUAUUUAUGCAUUGUAAUAUAUAUCAUGUAAAGAAAUUAUGAGAAUCCAAUGACGUUACAAUGACUAUCGAGCUCCGUUUGAACCUUAGGAAUAUAUAGGAUACAAAUGAAAUGUCAUUAAGGUUACCAUGUUUCGGAUGUUGGUCUUGACUGUCCUACCAAUGGAUGAGCUCUGGAAUUUUUUGCUGAUAUUCGCCAACUUAUGUGAGUGGCAUUGUGUACCAACAUUCUGAUCGUCAACUUGUGUGAGUAGGCCCAUUUAUGGCUUGAGUGAGCAAUGAUGUAAAGGAAAAGGAAUGGUUUCAACCAUAUGUUUAGCAUAUUUUGUGUGAGCUUCCCGCGUAUCCAAUAUUAUUCUAAGUGGUUCAACGGGUAUGAAAUGGGAAGAAACAGUAAGGGUGAGUUUGGAUGGGCGGUGCGUUUACCUGCGGUUAGUGUAAAAACUGCAGUGGCGGUGAGAUUAGAUACUGUAGCGACACUGUAGCGUGAGACAAAAAGUAAGCUAAACGCACCACACCGCACCCAGUCGCCCAUCCAAACCCAUCAUAAGUGCUCCAUUGACUACGUUAUGAACUUAUGGAAAGGUAUGAAUUGAUAAUGAUCAGAGUAUACAUAGUUAUGUUUAUGGAAAGUAUGAAUUCAAAUGUACUAUGUUCAUGAAAUUUACCUUACCAUGUGAUGCUUUUGUUGAGUUAUGUGUUAAGGCACUAACUUAUGUUGUUGAUGAUGCUUGGGCUUGUGUCAAGCUUAUUUUGGAUUGAUUCAUGUUUAAAUUAUGAGGUUUUGCAUUGAAAUGGUAAGCUAUGUUCAUGAUUUACGAACUUACUAAGCAUUAUAUGCUUACGUAGUUUUCUUUUCUAUGUUUUAUAGAUUAUCGGAAGCUCGUUCGCUUUGGAAGUUCGUCAGAGACCUAUCAUACUAUCCGGCGAUUAUAUCAGUAGAUUUUGAUGUUUUGGUCAAGGUUAGAAUGGCAUGUAUAAAUGAACUUCUGCUUAAUGAUCUAGUUGUUUUGGAAUGUAUAAGUGUUAUUAUGGUUGAUGUACUUAUGGUUUUUUGAUGCCUUGAUGGUUGGUGUUAUUAUGGCCAAGAUGUUGCAUGUUUUGAAUGAUCAAUUUGGUAUGUGAUGGUGUAUUUUCAAUAUGGUCAAUUAAGGUAUGUUUUUAGUUGAAAUAAGUAAAAUGUGUAAGGUUGAUGAAUGGUCAAGCAUGCAUAUUUUUUUGUAGGUUUAAUGGAUUGUAAUUAAGGUGUCUUAUUGGCAUAUUGGUUGCAUGGAUUAUUGGUAUAGAGAUUUGGUCAUUUGAUGUAUGUUUUGGGCAUGUUUUAAGGUCUUGAUUAUUUAUGCAAUUGGCUUGUAGGUACAUGUCUAAAUGGGUGAAAGAAAUGGUUUGAUUUUAGCCAAUUCUUGUCCACACAGCCUAAAAUGCCGGCGUGUGUCUCAGUCUAUUGUGACACGGUCGUGUGUCCCUUGUAGGUAUUAAAGGUUUCAAGUCAGGCAGUUACACGGCCUCGCACACGUCCUGGUACAUAGGCGUGUGAGGCCAUUUCGAGUGUUACAUGGCCUGGCACACGGGCGUGUGGCUUGGUCGUGUGACCUAACUUAGAGAGUUACAUAAGCACGAACACAGGCUGGGACACGGCCGUGUGUCCCUAUUUUGAUUGUUACACAGCCUAAGACAUGGGCGUGUGUCUCAGCUAUGUGAGUCAUAUGGCAGUGUGAACCCUGUAGUUUUGAAUUUUCUAACAUUUUCCUGAUUUAGUCCUGAAUCAUUUCUAAAGUGUUUCUAAGGCCUCGAGGGUUCGAAUAAGGGAUGAUAUGAAUGUCUAUGAGUGGAUUAUGCUAUGAUUAUUGUAAUGUUUGGAAAUGAAUGUUUUUAGGUUAUGUUUAUACAGUAAUGCUCCGUAACCCUAUUCUGGUGAUGGAUACGGGUUAGGAGUGUUACAUUUAGUGAUAUCAGAGCUAUGGUUUAGUUGGUUCUCAGACUGAACGUAGCGAGUACGAGUCUAGAAAUACAUGUCAUUAUAUAACCUGUGAUUGUGUGGUAACUCCUAACUCAAUUUGAACUAUACUUUUAUAUAGAUAAUGUCAUCCAACCAAGUCGAUUCUGAUGAGGCUGAAAGUAUCGCGCAAGCCUCUGUUCAUGUAGCAGCGUUGAGUGGAAGUAGACUUGUAUUUAAGGUAUGGGGAGGAGAGGCUAAGGAAACCUUCUUUCAGAUGAUGAAUGAGUGGUUCACCGAUUUUCUACGAACGAACCCGAUGGCUCAACGACCUCAACCCCUACAUAUUCCCCAACCAAUCCCUAUAGUUCCUCAAGGUUUUGAACCAAUACGAUUGAGCAAGCCUCCAGUUGAUAAAAUCCGCAAAUAUGAGGCUGAAGAGUUUAGAGCUACGUCUAAAAAUGAUCCAGAUAGAAUCGAGUUAUAGUUAGAAAAUACAAUCAGGGUUUUCAACAAAUUAUCUUGUACGCCGGUAAAAUGUGUGAAAUUUUUUGUUUCCUUACUGAAAGACUCAACCUAUCAGUGGUGGAAUACCUUGGUUUCAGUUGUGUCAAGAGAAUGAGUAGACUAGGAAUUCUUUCAAACUGAGUUCUAUAGCAAAUAUGUGAGUCAGAGGUUUCUUGACAAGAAACACAAAGAGUUUCUCAAGCUUAAACAAGGCCAGAUGAUACUAUCUGAGUGAGAGACAGGAUUUGUUUGAUUGAGCAAGUAUGCCCGAGAAUGUAUACUGACUGAGAUUGCCAUGUGUAAACGGUUUGAAGAUUUGCUGAAUGAAGACAUGAAGCUGUUAGUCAGGAUUCUAGAAUUGAAAGAAUUUUUUAUUCUAGUUCACCGAGCACACAAAGCUGAAGAAUUGAGUAAAGCUAAAAGAAAAGUUGAUUUAUGAGGCUUGUGAUUCGAGUAAGAGAUCGGCGGGAAAAUCAUCUCAUUUAUCGUCAAAGAAGUCAAAAGAAUAUCAUAAUCGUUCGUUAGCUUCAGUGGGUCAUUCUGGUAGAGAUCGAAGAAAAUAGCAUGCGAAUUUAAAACCUCAGGCUACUCUAUAUCGAGCCUAGCACACGGACGUGUGAAGCCAUUUUGAGUGUUACACGGCCUGGCACACGAGCCACUGGCUUGGCCAUGUGACCAAACUCAGAGAAUUACACGAGCAUGGACAUGGGCUGGAACACGGCUGUGUGUCCCUAAUUCGAUUGUUAGAUGGCCUGAGACAUAGGCGUGUGUCUCAGCCGUAUGAGUCAUACAGCCGUGUGACCCUUGCAGUUUUGAAUUUUCUAACUUUUUCCACAAUGUUUCAAAUGUUCCUGAUUUAGUCCCGAAAUAUUUCUAAAGUGUUUCUAAGGCCUCGAGGGUUCAAAUAAGGGGCGAUAUAAAUGUCUGUAAGUGGAUUAUGCUAUGAUUAUUGUAAUGUUUGGAAAUGAAUGUUUUUAGGUUAUGUUUAUAUAUUAAUGCUCCAUAACCCUAUUCUGGCGACAGAUACAGCUUAGGAGUGUUACAUAAACUCAAGUUACUUUGCUACCCUUGCUCACAACCUUUUCAAGAUAUUUAUUUGUACUCGUUUUUUCUCUUCUUUAUUAUUAUUAUUUUCUUUUUCUUUUCUUUUUUCUUUUAGCAUGUCACAAAAUUCUUUGACUUGAUAUUCACAAUGGAGCAUACACUAAAUUACCUAGCUCUCAAUCAUGUCAUAAUUUAAAUAUAAAUCACUUGUGAAGCUAAGGUUUUUGACUAAAAAGAUGGAUGAAGUAAACAACUACCUUCUUAGCUACUCAGUCUGUUGCUAUAGUGAAGUACCCAUUUUCUUUAUUACACACUAUUACUUGGACUCACCUUUCUAGUCAACAGCACAGUGGAGCAAAUAAAAUGGUGCUAACUUACUCAACAAUUUUAAGCAUUGGAGUGCCUAUUGUCCUUUAUUUAAGUAAUGUCGUGGCAAAAUGACUGAGUUUGGCUUCAAAAACCCUAAAUUCAUCAAAAAGCCCUUGCUAUUAAUCAAAAAGGGAAAAAAACUAAGUAUAAGACAUCUCAUUUUUAAGAAUUAAUUUUCACGCAAUCUAACCUAAGCUAAACUCGCCUCAUCCACUAUCACAUGUUUUAGAUAUACUGAAGAAUAUAAGCUCAUCAUCGAACAUCACAAGUACAGAUUGAAUUUCUCGCAGAUAAAACAGUAUUUAAUAAUCACAUGGCAUUGGAAAACAACUUAACUAUACUAGGAUGAACAUACAUACUAGAUACGUAAUGCAACCUAAAUGCACAAUACAUCACCCCAAACUUAAGGGAUGCAUUAUCCUCAAUGCAUGAAUAGAUAUAUGCAAACUAUCUAUGUACAGACAAUGUCAUGGCAAAAUAUAUGCAAUGCAAUAUGUCUGAAAUAAAACGAAAACUUUCCUUGCUUGGACUACAUUAUAGAUACUUCAUUAUGUCUGACGAGUUGAUUUAUGAGCAGCAACCUUGUACCUUUACUUCCUCUUCAUCCUCACAGUCAGUCUCAAUACUGACAAACUUUAUUUUCUCUGGUUCUUUCUCUGAUGCUUUAGGUGCAUUCUCUUAAUUGGUAGGAUUUGUCGAUGGGUUCUGCGUCACCGACCCUAUCCCCUCUUGCAGUUUAUUAAACAAAGGAAAUAAAAUAACUAAGAGAAAUUUAAAUCGACAAAAUAAAAUAAAAAUAAAAAGAAUUUUCAAGAUGUUGAAGUUAAACAUCUCAAAGAUCAAAGGACUAUUUGUCUCACUCUACAUAAGCACCCCAAUAGUGUUUCAAGCGUUGUCCAUUAACUUUAAAUGUGUCCCCUAUUUUCAUGUACUUGACAUCAACAACUCCAUGUGGGAUAUAUAUGAGCUACCAAGCAUUAUUCAUCAAAAUUGAAAGGUUUAUUUUGCUCCAGCAAAGUGUAUAAGGGUCUCCGCUCAAAUGAAUCUUUAUCACUAUCAAAACUGAUGUGGCAAUAUAUCAUGAACUCUUCCUCCACUACUGUUUCUAUUAAGUCAAUGGCAUGGCAUUCUUUAUUAUCAUCAAAAUAUUUCAGUGCAUUAAAUAAAUUUAAUGUGACCUAUUGAUCAUUCAUCCUCAUGGUCAAUUCACCUUUCUACACAUCAAUUGAAGUCCUGCCUGUAGCAAGAAAAGGCCUUCCAAGAAUAAUUGGCACAUCUUUGUUAGCUUCACAAUCUAAAAUAAGGAAAUCAGCUGGAAAAAUAAACUUAUCUACUCUUACCAACACAUCUUCAAUUUUACCUUCUGGAUGUGCAUAGGAUCGAUCAGCCAGUUGUAAUGUAACUGUAGUAAGUCUAGUUUUUCCAAUUCCCAGCUUCCUGAAAAUAGACAGCAAUAUUAGAUUUAUACAUACUCCUGAAUCACAUAAUGCAUUACCAACAUAAUGAUUUCCAAUUAAACAUAAAACAGAGAAACUCCCUAAGUCCUUCAACUUUGGAGGUAAUUCAUCAACAUUGUUGUGCACCCUUAAGUGAAAGCAAUAGUCUCAAGUUCUCCCAUUCUGUGCUUCUUCGACAGUAUAUCCUACAUAAAUUUCAUAUAGUUUGGCAUUUGCUCCAAAUCUUCUACUAGUGAUAUAUUAAUAUGUAGUUGCUUCAAGACCUCCAAAAACCUUUUGAACUGAACAUCUUGUUUAGAAUUAUGUAAUUUCUGAGGAAAAGAUAGAGGUGGUCGCCCUUCAGGUUUCUGAUAUUGUUUUCCUAUAGCGUUUUUAUUGGCAGCCUGAUCUAGUUCUGCCACAGCAUUCUUCUGCUUACCCUUUUCAAGUGUAAUAUGUUUUUCAGAUGGCUUUGGGAUCUUCACAUGGUUGUUAUUUGAGUUAUCCUCUCCUGCUGUGGCAUCUUGAACAACAUCAUUUAACUGAGUUCCACUUCUAAGAGUGAUCACUUUGCACUGUUCUUUCCCUUAUGUUAUCCAAUUCUAGGUAUCGUUGGCAAUGCUCCUUGUGGCCUCAAAUUUAAAGCAUUUGCUAUUUGCCCCACUUGAUUCUCAAGAGCUCGUAGGGACAUAGCUUGACUAAGGUAUCUUUCUUGGCCAUAAAUUAUUUCAACAAGUCUUCAAUAGAUGGUGAUGAUAAUGACUGGCCUUGUUGUACAUUUUGCCUCAGCAUAGGAUGAUUAUAACUAGGCGAUGCACUAUCGGCAUUCUUCUUGUAGCAUUGUUAAAAUUCCCCUCACCUUGAUUAUUCCAACUAAAGUUUGGAUGUUGUCCCCACCUUGGAUUAUAGGUGUUGGAAUAGGGAUUAUUAUUCCAAUUGAAAUUACCUAUGUAGCACAGGAAUGUUGGGUUUGGUGGGAAUUCAUCCAACACGUGGUCAUCACCACAAUAAACACAUGCUAGCCUAAUAGCUUUCACCUCCUGAACUGUAGUUGGUAUCUCUAUCAUCUUGAUCAUAUUAGUUAAAGAUGAAACAUGGGUAGUCAAUGAAGUGAUUGUAUCAAGUUCCAUGGUACCAGCAGCUUUCUUACCUGUUCAAACUCUCGUGGUAGGAUAUUGAUAAUCAUUGCUGGCAAUCUUUUCCAAAAUCUCAUAUGCUUCAUUAUAAGAUUUAUCCAACAAAAUACCAUUGGUGAAGGCAUCAAUUACCAUCCUCAUAUGCGCAUUCAUUCCAUUAUAAAAUAACUCCAUCUGUGUCUAGUGCUGAAAUCCAUGCAUCGGGCACUUCUGAAUGAAGUCUUUAAAUCGCUCUCAAGCUUCAUAUAGCGUUUCAUCAUCCAAUUGCCGAAAAGAUGUGAUGUCAUUUCUAAGCUUGGCAUUCAUAUUUGGAGGAUUAUAUCGUAGAAAAAAACUCUAGCAAAGAUCAUUCCAUGAUGCUACUAUUCAGUACGGCAGAGCAUUCAGUCAUGCUCUCACACGAUCUCUUAAAGAAUAUGGAAACAGUUUAAGUCGCAAAGUGUCUUUAGGCACACCCUACUGUCUCUAUGAGUCAUAAACCUCUAAAAAAAGUCUUAAAUGAAGUAUUGGAUCUUUAUUAGGUAAUCCACUUAACUGUCCUACUGUUUACAACAUCUAAAAUAUUACCAGUUUCAGCUCAAACUACUGAACUUGUAUUUGUGGUCUGACUAUCUCUGGAUUCAAAUCAUCCAAAAUUAGCACAACAUGCUCUCAAAUUGGUCUAUCUCGGUCAUCUAUCACUCUACGAACAUGAAGAUUAGCAUCCUGACCAUUCAAAUUAUCAUUGAGACUAGGAUCAUUUUCGUUUCUAGCAUCAUAGUUCUUUUCACCUUCUUCGUAAAGUUAUUUCGAUGUCUGGGUUAAAAGGAUACUCUUUGUUAGCAGGAAUAUCUUUUCUCAUGUACUGAUGGAAAACUUAUAGAAAAAUAUAACUAAGUUAAAUAAAACUAAUGGAGCUAAGUGAAAUAACAAAACCAAUUUUUAGGAAAUUGUCAAUCCCUGGCAACGGUGCCAAAAAAUUGUCGCGUGUGAAUAUGAUAUGUGAAUUGUGCAAGUAUACACGUUGGAUCAACUAAUAAAAUGAUAAGUGAGUAUCAUUCCCAUGAGGUUCCGAUUGAUGCACAAAAGUGGUCAAGUUAUUAUAAUAGAGUGUUAUUAAUGCUAUGGCAAAAACAACGAUAAGUAUAAAGGAGUAGUGAUGUAUGUAAUAUGUGGAAUUUAAUGAAUACAUGGAAAUGUUAUGGAAAAACAAAAGUAGAAAUGUAAUGGAAAUUAUGAGAAUUACUACGGGAAUAUUAUGUAAAUGAACAAAUAAAUAACUAAUAAUGAUGUGACAAAGAUACUAUGGCAAAGAACAAAGGAUAUACGAUGUUGAUUUGGAAUGUUGGAAUUACUAAGAAUCUACCCUUACUGUCAGAGAUGCCUCGAAAAAAUCAUAAUUAAUUUACUACUUAGAAGAGUUCUAAAGUGGUCUGCUUCUUUCGAGAGCAAAAGUCUCAAGUUACCUUACCCAUGACAAUAUGCCUUUAAUACGAUACCCUGCACUAUUUCUUUCUGUAUGAAUGUUGCUCUAUAUCUAAAGUCUACUACAAGCAUCUAUUGAAUACUUGCUCAUAUCAUUCAAUUUUGGUCCAACUAAUCCAACUUUUUCAAAAUUAAAUUAGUUUAUGUGCAUGCUACAUAGUCUCUAUGUCUAGGAAUUGCACGCUUAUAAUUUAGAAAAAAAUAAUUAAAUGAAACAGUAAAUUAAUUCAAAUCUAUGCUUCAACCAUUAAAGAAAAUAAAGGUUUCAUCAUGUAAUCUCAACCCUAUGAAAUUUAGCUCAUGGGUUGGCACAUAAAAUUUAAAACCAAAAUAACAUCCAACACCAUUUUCAUCAUUCCAUUCAAGGAAGAACAAAGGAAGAAAAGUAUAAGACUUUGAGAAUACAACUUUUGCAUGUCAUGUUCACACUCCAACAACAUAAUUCAGGCGAUGGCUAAGAGGGACUACUUUUGUCUUCCUCUUUUUGUCUCUACUCAGUCGCUACCCUCUAUUUUUGCCUAAGGAUCUGUUACUUUUUGUUCGUCAUUUAGGGUUUCCUCCUUUGGCUUCUUAUAGCUUUUUUCCUUGGGUAAAUCCAACAAAUCAUGUUUAUCUUCUCCUCUUUUUAAAAUUUUUUUUCUAGAAUAAAAAUAAACAUCCCAGGAUUAUCUUCUCCUCUUUUAGGUACAUUUUUUUGGUAAAACUACAGUUGGGCUGAAAUUGGUAUGCAUUGAGUGUUGACUCGGUCUUCCUAGAAUUGCCACAGCAUUCGUGCUAACCAAAUGUCCAACCUUUUGCCCUGGUAAACCUUUACUCCUUUAUUUCUCAUUCCUCAACCUGCACCUGCCAAAGCACCAAACACAACCCUACCAUAAGCAAUUAAAAGUAUCUAUUAUUGAUUUUUUUUGGUAAGUGGUAAUAGGACUUGUAACUAAUAUAGUUUUGGAAAAAAUAUAAUUUUUUUAGAAUCUUUGAGGCAUAUUUUCGAUUGGUAAAUGAGGAGUUUUGAAUCAUAAAAUUAUGAUUUUAUGUUCUACCCCAUGAGACCUUUACAACGAGAUAUCAUAUGCUCAAAAUGGUUGAGUGAUGAAUGAGAAAUUGAUGCUCAAAGUAAGCUACUUGGAAAUUAUGUUGAGAAAAAUGAAAAAGCAUUAAUCCCACAUUUAUUAGGAAUCAAGUGUGGAACUUGUAUAUAUAUGUAAAUCAACUUGGUGGUUAUUAAAUGAGUAAACUAAUGCUCUCCCUCGUGCGCAGGGGGUGCAAAUCUAAAUCCACUGAGGUUGGGGCACACCCGCACGACAUGGGCGUUUCCAAGAUUUUACUCAAAUUGAUUUAAAGGCUUCUUUAAUGCAUAUUUGUAUCUUUAUUCAUGGAAAUUUCUAAAAUUCUUCCACAUUGAAUGCUUAUAAAAGCCUAAAUUCUUUAAAGACACACAACGAAUUUAUUUCACUCUCGAAAAUUCUAUUCCUUUUCUCUCCAAAAUUUUCAAAUGUCCGGUGAUAGAAGAAUGCAAGGUUUGUUCGUUGAUCACUGCAGACGUACUACUGCCGCAAUCAUUUUGUUAUUGUAUCCUGGGAGACAGAUGACCAACAUUUCUCUAAGUACCAUAGGAGCAGCUGAAUCUGUCUUAAGGAAACUGUGAAAACAGGCCUCAGCAUCUAGUAAAACUCGAUUUCCUUAUUCAAUUUCUGGUUUUUCAAUAUCUUGUUUAUAUAAUUAUUUUUUAGAUUUGAUGUUUUAAAUAAAUAUUAAUAUUUAUUUAAUUUAUUUUGUUUAGAUCUGGUGUUUUUACACAAAUAUAGAUAUUUGGUUAUAUUAUUUGUUCAAGAUAUUAUAUUUAAUAUAAAUAUUUACAUUUAUAUUUGUUCGCUAACGUGUUUUGUCCAACAAUAUUAAGACAGAUUUUUAUUAUUUUAAAAUUCUCUAAUCCGAGUAGAACGAGGCACGAAGGCGAAAAAAACAUAUUCUGUCUAAGGAAAAAAUUAAAUUGAAUAAAAUCUAUUUCGGGAUUUAUGAUUGUCGUUCAAUAGAUUUUAUUCCUUUUUUAUUUUGUUUCCAAACAAGAAUUAAUUGAAUAAUUCUAUUUCAGAAUUUAUUCUCGCAUCUCAACAGAUUUUAUUCUAUUUUGAUUUUGUUUCCAAACAAUAAUUAAAUAAAUAAUUCUAUUUCGAGAUUUAUUCCCGCCAUUUAACAGAUUUUAUUUGAUUUUGAUUUUGUUUCCAAACAAGAUUUAAUUAAAUAAUUUUGUUUCAAGAUUUAAUCCUGUCGGCCAACAAAAUUGAUUUUAAUUUUAUUUCAGAAUUUUAACUCUUCCAUUUAACAAAAUCAAAGGGUAAUAUAAAUUUUAAAUUAAAUUUUUUAUUUAUUGUGGCUUUAAUUGUGGCUUUAAAUUGUGAAAGCUUAAAUUGUAGCUUCAAACUUGUGACAUCAAAGAAAAAAAAAUUUAUCAACGGUGAAUUAAAAAAGACAAUAUGAGAGUGCAUGUCUAGGAUUGGUUCUUUGAAAGACUUGGUAUUUAAGCGUGCCAAGUGCACCACCUCUCUUUCAGGGUUACCUACCUGGCACAUUUUUUUUGUCUUUCGAUUAGACCGUGUAAACUUUUGUUUCAAGUUUUAUUAAAUUCCUAUCGUCUAGCAAAAGUUGAUAAUUUUUUUCUAAUUUUGGUUUUGUUUCUGAAAUCUUAACAGAAAAUGGAAACUCCCACCAAUGCUAUGGAAGAUAUGGACUUAUGUGCUGUGAUUUUUGGAGUCAACAUGGUUGACUCACAUCCAAGAGAAUAGUGGCUUGAUACUAGUGCCACACGUCAUAUUUGUUGUGACAAAGACUUCUUUUCUGAGUUGGAGCCUUGUGAAGAUAGGGAGAAGCUCUAUAUGGGCAAUGCUAUGACUUCCAAGAUCAAGGAGAAUGGUACUAUAGUCUUGAAGAUGACUUCUGGUAGAGAACUCAAGCUUCAAAAUGUGUUGUAUGUGUUUGACAUACGCAAGAACCUUAUUUCUGAGACACUCCUUAGUGUACACGGUUUUAAGACGGUGUUUGAAUCCCAGAAGCUAGUUUUGUCUAAAGGGUGAAUGUUUGUGGGAAGGGGAUAUGUAUUAAAUGACAUAUGGAAACUUAAAGCAAUCUCUGUAAAAUCAAAAACUAUGAAUAAGAGUGUUGUUUCUUCUUCUAUUUAUAUGCUUGAGUCAUUUAAUUUAUGGCAUGGUAGGCUCGGACAUGUUGAUUAUGAUACUUUACAUAGAUUAAUUAAUUUAGAGCACAUUCCUUCAUUUCACAUUAGUUAUAAACAUAAAUGUGAAACUUUUGUUGAGGAAAAAUUAACAAUGCUUUCGUUUGAAACUAUUGAAAGAAAUAUAGAACCACUCGAUCUAAUACAUAGCAAUGUUUGUGACUUAAUGUUUGUUCAAACCAGAGGAAGGAAUAAAUAUUUUAUUACCUUCAUUAAUGAUAGCACAAAAUAUUGUUAUGUAUAUUUGCUUCAGAGCAAAAACGAAGUUAUAGAGAAAUUUAUUCUCUAUAAACAGGAAGUUGAAACCUAACUUAAUAACUAAGAUGGUAAGAAGUGAUUGUGGUGGUAAAUAUGUUGAACCAUUUAGUGAAUACUGUGCACAACAUGGUAUUAUUCAUGAAGUGACACCACCAUACACUUCUCAAUCAAAUGGAAUAACCGAGCGAAAAAAUCAGACUCUAAAGGAAAUGAUGAACGCAUUACUAGGAAGCUCUGGGUUAUCACAGAACAUGUGGGGGGAAGCUAUUCUAUGAGCUAAUUACCUUUUAAAUAAGGUUCCCUACAAGAAAAUGGACAAUACACCAUAUGAGUUAUGGAAAGGUAGAAAACCUUCCUACAACUACUUGAAACUGUGGGGGUGUCUUGCAAAGGUAAUGGCUCCAUUACCAAAGUAAAUGAAAAUAGGUCUUAAAACGGUGGAUGUAUUUUCAUAGGCUAUGUAGAUCAUAGAAAUACAUAUAGGUUUUUUGUGUAUGAAUCAAAGAAUCCUGACAUUCACAAGAAUAUUAUAUUGGAAUCAAUGAAUUCUUUAUUCUUUAAAAAUAUCUUCCCUUAUAAAGCUAGGGAAGUUUAUUCAAGUUCAACAAAAUGAACUUCAGAGACUAUAGAAGAAAAUAGUCAAGACGAGGUUAAAACUAUGAUAGAGCCAAGAGUAAACGAGUAACACUGCAAAAAUCUUUUGGAUCAGAUUUUCUAACCUUUAUGCUAGAUGCUAAACCUCAAACAUGUGAUGAUGCUAUACGGUCAUCUAAAAGCACUUCAUGGAAAGAUGCUAUUAAAAGUGAAAUUGACUCCAUCAUGUAAAAUCAUACAUGAGAAUUAGUGGAUCUUACUCUAGGAAUUAAACCAUUAAAUUCUAAGUGGAUUUUUAAAUGAAAAAUGAAAGCAGAUGAAACAAUUAACAAGUACAAGGUCAGAUUGGUUAUAAAAGGUUAUAGAUAAAAAAGAAGGCCUACUUUGAUACUUUUUCUCCAAUAUCCAGGAUAACUUCUAUAAGGAUGAUACUUGCAAUUGUCGCCUUAUAGAAUCUAGAAGUACAUCAAAUGGAUGUUAAAACAACUUUCCUAAAUGGAGAUCUUGAUGAAGAAAUUUACAUAGAACAACCUGAGGGUCAUGUAAUUCUAAGACAAGAAAGGAAAGUUUGUAAAUUGGUGAAGUCUUUAUAUGGACUUAAGCAAGCACUAAAACAAUGGCAUUAAAACUGUUCGACAAUGCCAUGAUGACAAAUGGCUUUAAGAUUAAUGAAUGUGAAAAUUGUGUGUAUGUCAAAACUACCGAUAUUGGAUAUAUAAUCCUAUGCUUAUAUAUUGAUGACAUAGUCAUUGUUGGGAGUAACAAUGAAAUGGUAAAACGUGCCACAGACAUGUUAAAUUCAACGUUUGACAUGAAAGAUAUGGGACUAGCAAAUGUGAUUUUAGCAUCCAAAUUAAGAGGUCAUAUGAAGGUCUGAUAUUGACUUAGCCACACUAUGUGGACAAGAUUCUUGGGAAAUUUAGCAAGGAUGAUUCCGGUAUAGCCAAAACUCCAAUAGAUACAAGCCAACAUUUGUCCAAAAAUAAAGGUGAAAGUGUUGACCAAGUGGAAUAUGCAGGGGUCAUAGGCAGUCUAAUGUACCUUAUGAGUUGUACUAGACCAGAUAUUGCUUUCACUGUGAGCAGUUUAAGCAUAUUCACAAGCAAUCCAGGGGAAAACCAAUGGAAAGUAAUUGUGAGGAUACUGAGAUAUCUUAGAUAUACUCGGGACUAUGGAUUGCAUUAUUCCAAAAAUCCUAUUGUUUUAGAAGGAUUCUCCUGUGCCAGUUGGAUAUCUGAUAUUCAAGAUACCAAAGGCACAAGUGGAUAUGUUUUUACAUUAGGAGGAGGAGCUAUGUCAUGGAAAUCCCCAAGACAAACGAUUAUAACCAGAUCCAUAAUAGAAUCUGAGUUUGUAGCUCUAGACAAAUCUGGAGAAAAGGCUAAAUGGCUUCGAAACUUCUUGGAAGAUAUUCCUGACUGGCCAAAGCCUGUGCCCACAAUAUGUAUAUAUUGUAACAAUCAAGCAACAAUUGGUAGAGCACAAAAUGUAAUAUAUAAUGGUAAGUCAAGACAUAUGCGUCGUUGACACAAUACUUGUAGACAACUGAUCUCAAAUGGAGUUAUCUCUAUUGAUUUUGUAAAAUCAAAAGAUAACAUUGUGGAUCCGCUAACUAAAUGCUUAAAUCGAGAUCAGGUUAAUAAAACAUCGAAAGGAAUAGGACUAAAGCCCAUGGAAAUUAAAGGCGCUAUGUAAAGGAAAACCCAACCUAGUUGACUGGAGAUCCCAAAAUCUAAGUUCAAAUGGACAACCUAAUUGCAUAGGCCUUGUGAGGUCACUAUAGGGGUUCUUAUUCCAAGUCCGUUCCUAUGAAAUAAACAGUAAUUUAAAGUGAGAUAGGUUAAGUAAAGCUUUUAAUGACCAUUGUGUGUUUCGGAAAGCCAAGCAACAUAAGUCACCUAUGUUAGAGUGAAGUGGGGCCGCUUCGAGGAGACUAUUGUGCAUAGUUCUCUCAAAAUCUUGCAGAACCAGGAAAUGUUCAUGGUCAUAUAAACAUACCUAUGAGAACGAAGACCUUGCUAGGGAGGUAGUUGUGUAAGGUAUAUCAUUGUUUACACAAACGACAGAACAGUUCAAGGAUAUUGCGUCAACUAGUCAGCUAGUAAAAUAAAUAUACUUUCACAAUGUAAGGUUCAAGGGUUGAUGUCUGCCUAUCAUAUGCAACUAUCAAUCGUAGAAUCUAUCACCACAUCCAGCCAAUGUUUUUCAUUAAACCUAUCAAUUUCAUUCAUGUGGGGUAUUGUUGGAAAAAUAUGAUUUUUUGGAAUCUUUGAGGCAUAUUUUCGAUUGGUAAAUGAGGAGUUUUGAAUCAUAAAAUUAUGAUUUUAUGUUCUACCUCAUGAGACCUUUACAACGGGAUAUCAUAUGCUCAAAAUGGUUGAGUGAUGAAUGAGAAAUUGAUGCUCAAAGUAAGCUACUUGGAAAUUAUGUUGAGAAAAAAUGAAAAAGCAUUAGUCCCACAUUGAUUUGGAAUCAAGUGUGGAACUUUUAUAUAUAUGUAAACCAACUUAGUGGUUAUUGAAUGAGUAAACUAAUGCUCUCCCUCGCGCGCAGGGGGUGCAAAUUCAAACCCAUCGGGGUUGGGAAACACCCGCACGACGUGGGUAACGCGAAAUGUCCGGAUCGAUCAGGCCCUUUUAGGCCUGCGAAUAUUUUAGCCCAAUACGUAUUUAUUUAUUUUUUUGAGCAGAUAUUAUACAGAAUCUGUUUUAAAAGAACAAAUAUCUCAUUUUGAUUUGAUUCCAAUCAAAUUUGAUUUUAUUUUAUUCAAAUUGAUUUAAAGGCUCCCUUAAUGCAGAUUUGUAUCUUUAUUCAUGAAAAUUUCUAAAAUUCCUCCACAUUGAAUGUCUAUAAAAGCCUAAAGAAUAUUGCAGAAUUCUUUAGAGACGCACAACGAAUUUAUUUCACUCUCGAAAAUUCUAUUCAUUUUCUCUCCAAAUUUUUCAAAUGUUUGGUGAUAGAAGAAGGAAAGAUUUAUUUAUUGAUCACUGCAGAAGCACUACUCCCAUGAUCAUUUUGUUGUUGUUUCUUGGGAGACAGACGAUCAACGUUUCUCCAAGUACCAUAGGAGCUGUCGAGUCUAUCUUACGGAAACUGUGAAAACAGGCCUCAACAUCUAGUAAAAUUCGAUUCUCUUAUUCGAUUUCUAAUUUUUCAAGAUCUUGUUUAUUUAAUUAUUUUUUAGAUAUGAUGUUUUAAAUAAAUAUAAAUAUUUAUUUAAUUGAUUUUGUUUAGAUCCGGUGUUUUUACAUAAAUAUAAAUAUUUGUUUAUAUUAUUUGUUCAAAAUCUUGUAUUUAAUAUAAAUAUUUAUAUUUAUAUUUGUUCACUAAGGUGUUUUGUCCAAACUAUAGCUUCUCAAUAAUUGUCAAAUAUUAUAGUGAUAUGCUUUUUCUUUCAAUAAUUCAUAUCUUCAAGAUUAAAAGGUUUACUUUAGUAUUAUUCUAUUUAUUGAGUGUGUAUUAAUGUUUUGUACAGGAAUCCGUUGGAUUUUGGUCUUGUAUAAAUUAGCUGUGGUUGUGGGUAAAUAAAUGUGUGCCGUUCUUCAUUCUCCGAACAUGCUGAAUAUAAUUAUUGGCAUUUCAAGUGUGGCAUAAUAUAAAACAAUGGUUGGCUUCAUCAUAAUCUGUUUGGAGACUAACGGACCACACUUUGACCUCCAAAUUUAGAAAAUAUUUCCAGAGUUGGAAAUUGUAAUUGUAAUACCCUAAUAUUUGUACACCGCAGUGAACAUGGACAAUCAUGUCAUGAUGCAGAACCAGAAAAUGGUGCCAACUCUCCUUCUUCUCCCCCUCUUUCUUCCAAAACUAUAUCCUCGAAAAUGGUGACAUCAAACUUCCUUUCGUUUAUCAAAGGUUCACCCCUCACAUUACAGGGUCCUGUUCGUAUCUCAAGGCAAUCAAACAUGGAAUCCAUAUAUAUGAUUCUUCCCCAAUCCUUGUUGUAGAUUCUUUGGGGAUACAAGCCUUUUUGUUUGUAUUUAAAUACAAAAAAGGGAGAAAGAAAAGUGCCAUCUACAACUGCAUGCUAAUGAUUGCCAAAAUCACUGUUUGUUUUGUUGGAAGGCUUUCAAUCUUGCGGGGUCUUGAAGAGCCUGUUUCAGUAACUUGCCAUUAAUUCUCUCUUACAUUCCAAUCCUAAAAAAUGCUUCCAUCUUUUAGCUGCAACAGUUUAUAAUCAUCAGAAAGGUCUAGUCAGAAUAAUAUUACCUUCUCCUUUUAAACAGUUUUUUUUUUUUAAAUCAUGCCACUACAACUGUAGCUGCGCUCAUGUUAACAAUUAAUUCCUAUAAUCGACAUCAAAAUUAUAUGAAAGAAUUAACACUUGGUUACCGAGUUACCAUAUUUGAAGAUAACGCGAAAGGUAAAAACACAAAAGGCAAGCAUGACCAAGCAAACAAGGUAUGGACAUUGAUUUUUUUGAAUCGGGAAUGACCAAAUGGGACCGUGAAGAGGUGACAAAGGAGAAAUCAGGCAUUCACGGUUUCCAUUGGAUGAAAUGAGAUAAGAUCACUGUGCUUCUUCCACGUGGCAGGUUGCCAAAGAUAAGGCUUUACCAUUCAAGAAAAGUUUCCACCCUCUUUGUGGUCAUUAUGGUUGUAAUGUCAUCUGAUUUAGGAUCCAACGGUCACCCUGUCUCCCAAACCAAUCUCUAAAUGUGGUGAGCUUAGACCAAAUUUUAUGACUAUAUAUAGGGGAUUGCACCAAGGCAGUGACACUAUUAAGGGAUCAGUGAGACUCUUUUGUAUACCUGUAGCAUAUAGUAAUAGUAAGCAGUAAUAGCAAUGGCCUCCUCCAUGAUCUCAUCGGCAACCAUUGCCACCGUGAACCGCUCCUCCCCGGCACAGGCCAACAUGGUGGCCCCCUUCACCGGCCUCAAAUCUGCCUCUGCUUUCCCAGUCACCAGGAAGGCCAACAACGACAUCACUUCUCUUGCAAGCAACGGUGGGAGAGUGCAAUGCAUGCAGGUACUUGGUGAUGCAUAAAUACCACUUAAAUUACCCCAAGUGUUUGAACACAACAAAUUACAUAAAUUGAAUCAAAUAUAUAUCUUGGCUUUUGAGUACAGGUGUGGCCGCCUCUUGGGAAGAAGAAGUUCGAGACUCUCUCAUACCUGCCCGAUCUUACUCCCGUACAGUUGGCUAAGGAAGUAGAUUACCUUCUUCGCUCUAAAUGGAUUCCUUGCUUGGAAUUCGAAUUAGAGGUGUUUUGGAGCUCUAAAUUAUUCCAUUCCUCCUCUUAAUUUUUUUAGUGGGAUAUUUGAGUUGAUUAAGUGUGUUUUAUAUGUAUGUGCAGGAGGGAUUCGUGCACCGUAAGUACUCGAGCUUACCCACGUACUACGAUGGACGCUACUGGACCAUGUGGAAACUGCCCAUGUUCGGGUGCACCGACUCGGCUCAGGUGUUGAAGGAGCUUGAGGAAUGCAAGAAGGAAUACCCCAAUGCAUUCAUUAGAAUCAUUGGGUUCGACAACGUUCGUCAAGUGCAGUGCAUUAGUUUCAUUGCCUACAAGCCUGAAGGCUACUAAGUUGUUUACUUCCCUCCUAGGAAUUCCAUUUGUUUCAAAGUUGUACUUAAAUUAAGCCCCUCAAGCCCCCCCCCCCUUUUUCUUUUUCUUUUUUAGUUGAGUUAUUUGGCUUGGGGUCUCUCUUUGUUUUGUUUUUGGAUUUCCAAUGGAACGGCUGAGAACUAAUGAAUAAAAAGGUAGUUUCUUGCCAUAUUUCAUGAAUCCAGUUCUUCCUCCAUUUUCAGUGCUAAGAUAUUCAUGUUAAGAUAGGAUAAAAAUUAAAAGAAAAAAAGGUGAUUGGGUGGUCUGGCUUUAAAAUAAGAGGAUAAAGAUUUUGUGGACAAGCAACGCUGUGCUGUUGGAGGCUCAUUAUCUUAGUACAUAGGAAUACACCAAAGAAACCAUUUUUAUUAAAUUGUUUUAUUAUGACAUCACAAGUUUCUAUUAUUAAAAUAACAACUUAAAAAGGCUAAAUUCAAAUAUAUAUAUAUAUAUUCUGCAUUCAAUCUAUUUCCUCGUUAAAUAUUAAAAUCACUAUUGGUAUAGUGAUAAAUGAUUUGCAUUACAUAAGUUUUAGUUGACAUCUUCGAGCUUAAUUUAAAAAUAAUAAUAAUAAAUUUAAUACAUAAUAUAUUUUUAUUUUAUCAUUUUCACCCUAAAUUUUUUUUAAAGUCAAAUAAUAGUUUGUUUUGAAUAGAAAAAUUGAAGAAACUAUUAAAUUUUUAAUAACACCAUGUGACAAUUUAUAUGACAGUUUACAUAUAUUUCAUUAUUUAUGUAGAUAAUUUUUUAAAAGAAAUUACAAUUUUUUUAAAAAUAUUAUUUUUAAUUUUAUAAAUUACAUCAUGCAAACUAUUGCAUCAAUGCCAUUUAAAUUUAAAAGAUGUAGUCACUUUUUCCAUCUAAAAAAAGCAAUUUAACUAAUUUUCAAGGUUGACGGUAAAAUAUCCAAAAAAAAUAAAAUAAAACUAAAAUACUAAAAAAGUAUUGAAUUUAUUAUUAUUUUAAAAAUAAUGAUUAUGAUUUUCUUUAUUAGUUUUUAACCCAACAUGGAAAAGGAAAACCAUAAUAAUGCUUAUUAAUUAUAAUAUUGAAUAAUACUAGUAGCUCUAUGUUCUUAAACUCAAUUUCAUUACAAAAAUUGUAACUCAAAGGGUUAGGAUUUUUUGUUUUCUAAUUUGUGAUUAAUUAGUGGACUAUAAUUUCCAUUCUCUUUUUUAUAUAAAAAAAACCCUAAUAUUAAGGAUAGCUACAUUUGUGGAGGAACCAAAAGAUAGAGAAAUUCAGAUAAGAAUUGUCUCCCUCUCCCUCUCAGUCGAAGUGCGUCAAUAAUUGGAAUAGAGCUCUAAAAAUGCAAUUCUAGAAAAAAAAAUUUGCCUAUCAGAUAUUAGUUUAAAUAUUGGUUAAAUUGCAAUUCGAAUAAGUAAUUAGGAGUAGAAAAUAUAAAAAAUGACACUAACGUAAUUCAAAAAAUUUCACCAUGUAUAAGGUUUUGCUCAAAAAUUGACAUUAAAAAUUUGUUCGCACGGUUCAAAAAAAAUUUCCAUUUAUAAGGUCUUACUUAAACAUUAAAAUAUAAUUUAAAUUAAACUCACUCUCAUUAAAUUUUUUUUAAAAAAAAGCUUAGUUAUAAACUAAUCGAUAAAAAUAUAUUACUUACAAAGAAUUUACACUCAGAUAGAUUUCUAAUAUAAACAGAAUAAAUACUCUCUCAACUCCUCUAAAAAAAUCGAAAAUACAUUUAAAUAGGCAUUAUGGUAAUUUUUAAAAUGGUAAUGUGAUCAAAAUGAAUAUGGGAAAUCUCAUUUCAAUUAAAUAACUUAUUAUAAAAUAUAAUAAAAGAGAUUUUCUUAAAUCAAUCUCUUUUAAAUGAGGUAGGCAUAUUACAUAAAGAUUCUUUGAAAUUUUUCACUUCAUUCAAUUUUUUUCAAUAUUGUAAUUUACUUAAAAAUAUAUAAAUAUAUACAUGUUAAGUAAAUUAUAAUAUUUUGUCGACUUUUGGCCUUUCCUUAAGUCGCAACUAACAUUAUAACUGAUGUUAACAAAAUUCAUAAUUGUUUCUCUACCAUGUGUAGCCUAAAAAUGUUAAGAUUAGAGAAGCAAUACGUAAAAGAUAAAGAAAAGAACCAUAAAAGUCAUUGUUUUUUUUUUUAAUUUUAAGAUAUGUUUUAAAAAAAAAAAGAAAUUAAAGUAUUUAUUCUGUUAAAUUGGAUAGUAAUUAUCUAAAAUUUUAAAAUACACACUAAAACAUUCUCAAUCAUUAAAAUUUUUUAUUUAUAUCUUACGGCCUGUUUAGUAUUACUUCUCAGAAGUAUUUUUUAAGAUAAAAUGUAUUUUUGAGAUAAAAUAUAUUUUAAAAAAGUACUUUCUUUACCAAAAGUAAGAGGAAAUUUAAACUUUAACUCAAAAAUACUUUUUAACCCAAAGCGCUUUUAAAAAAUAUUACUAAAUUAUCUCUUGUAAGUACAAAAAAAAAUAUAUCAAAUUUGAAAAUAUAUAUAUUUCGCAGGUUACUGAAAUAUCUUAAAUAUUUGAGAAAAACCAACCAGAAUAAAUCCAUCCAAUGGAAUACUGAGAAAAAAUAAAAUAAUAGUUGUAAGAAAAUGAGUGGCGUCACAUUUACACUAAUGGUUUCCCAAGUGGUACAUGAGAAGUUUUUAAGGCUCCUAUAAAUUUAUUUUCGGGACCAUAAACGUAGACCUACCAAUAAUUGCAUUUGUUUUCUUUUUAUACUUUUAUAACUCAUAAUAUUGUAUAUUUAUAUAAAUCCCAAUUUUUUCACUCAUAUAAAAUAUAGUGUUAAAUUCGAAUGAAAAAAGAUGUUAAAUUUGUGUUGGGUAAAAAUAUAAGAAUUUUAUGUUAUUUGCAAAAUAUUCCGUGGUAUUUAUGUUAGAACCGUAAAUAAUAUCUAAUAUAAAUUAAAAUUGUAAAUUAGGAUCUGUCAUGUCAAAUUAUUAAGAAUAUAAAUCAAGAAAAAAAUUAGAUGCGGGAGCAUACUUAAAUUUACCGAUUUCUUGAAAUCUACGGAUCUUGGAGUUUUGAUCUUCCAAAUUAGCAUAUAAGUAAUCUAAAGAAUGUGACUCUCUUUUGGCAUAAACAAAAACACCAAAGCAAUUCACGCAUAUACGUGUAUUCAAAAUCAGAUAGAAAAAACUUAUCAUGCAUAUAUAAUGUAAAUCUAAAAUUGUAUUAAUGAUUAAACAGAGAUUUGCAUGAAUACUUGAAAAAUACAUUCAAGCUAAUAAAUCUCAAAAAAUAAAAUCAUAAUAGUUAAUAUAUCCCAUAGUUCAUAUUGUAGACCAUAUCAACAUAAUUUAACUAAAUAUUUGGAACCAUAAAAUGCCAAAACCUAAUGUUGUAGAACCAACCUUAAAACCAAAUUAUUUAAACAUGUACAUAGUUUACAUGAAUUUGCAUCAAACACCUGUCAAAUUGAAUAUAUAACCAUAACAGAUAAAAAAAAUUAACAACGUCAACGAUAUCCAUCAAAACUUAAUGUCACCAAUUAAUCUAUAAAAUGUAUCUUAUUGAAUAAUGGUUAUAAACACCUAUCCACGCAAACUAUAAUCAUGUAUUAAUCCUCAAAAUCAUUGAUAUGCAUAAUAUAUAUACAAUAUAAUAAUAGAAAAAUAAUACUGGCUUGCCUUACAUAUUUUAUGUAAACUCAAAUUUAUAUAUAAAACUUAUUUAUACGCACAAACACUUAAAAAAAUCCAUAACCACCAAAUAUAAAAACAAUCCCAAAUUAUAUAAAGGCCUUCAGCGCAACUACUUAUAAAAAUUUAUAGCCACCAUAAAAAAAACCCAAAUAUUGUAAUUUUAGUCGGGUUCCAUAAGAAACUUAUAUAAAAUAAUUAUAACAGAAACCAAGUAAUCAUUCGUAUAUAUGAAUUGAAUUCAAUCGUGAAUAUAAUUCAUCAUGAAUAAAGACAAAAGAUGAUAAUUCCAUAUACAUUUAACCACAAAUAGAAAAUUUAAAAUAAAUACUGCAGAAAAAAAUAUCUUAACAACAUUUAUUUAUUCGAUUAUCAAGUGAAUUACUAUUCAAAACCAAUUAUAUAACCCAAUUGAAAUUCUUCAAUUGCAAAAAGUUGUAAGUCUGUAACUUUAAUCUAAUAAUAACUUUAACCAAAAUUUAUAAAAUAAGUGUGCGAAAAGGAGAGAAAGAAAUCUCACAAAUCUAUUUUUAUCAAUUGAUUAUAAAUAAAUAAAUAAACCUUCAUCUUUCGAAUAACAUACGCAAAUAUUAAACUAGAUUAUAUUUAUAAAACCCUAAACUUUAUUUAAAGAAUCAAAACCCAAAAAUUUUAUUAAGAAUCUCAAAGAUUUAACAUAGUAUAUAAUUAAAAUAUCAAAUCCAUAAAUUUAAAAAAGAAAAAUGAAUCAAUCCAAAAAUAAUAAAGAAUCAAUUCAUUCCCUAUUAUUCAACAUGACAAGCUCUAAUGCCACUUGUUAGAACCGUAAAUAAUAGCUAAUAUAAAAUUAGAACUAUAAACCAGGAUCUGUCAUGUCAAAUCAUAAGAAUAAAUCAAGAACAAAAUUAGAUGCGGAAGCAUAGCUGAAUUCAUCGAUUUCUUGAAAUCUACGGAACUUGGGGUUUUGGUCUUCCAAAUUAGCACACAAAUAAUCUAGAGAAUAUGGUUCUCCCUUUUCUAAAGAUGGGAUAUUAGAAAUGUUACAUUGUAUGUAAUUUGGAAACCAUAACCAUAAUAUAUAUAUAUAACUUUGGCACAUUAGCCCUAAUUUCUAAUCAACUCAUCAUCAAUUAAAAAUUAAUUACUAGAGUAUCUACACAUAUUUGACCCAUAUUUUUUUUAAUAAUUAAAGCCCAAUAAACCGUAACCAAAUUAAAUCACUUUUAAUUUAAACUAACCUAUUAAAAUAAUAAAUAAUAACAUGUAAUUACCAUUAUUAUUAUAUAUAAUAAUAUAUAAUACUAUUAUUAUUAUAUAUGUAAUGUCCAGAUUUCUAUCUAUUUAUAUAAAUCUCUCCUAAAUUAUGCUUUCACGAACUUGUAAGAGUCAAAACUGUCGAAAGCUACUUAUGGGGUGUGGCUGUAUAAUAGAUCGAUCAAGGUAGUGCUGAGCGAGUUUUUGUUUUUGUUUUUGUUUUUCUUAUAUAUAUACUCUAUACAGUUAGGUUGAUACACACGUGGAAGGAAUAUGUUAGAAAAAUUAAAUACUAAAAUAAGAAAUAAAAUAAUGGUUUAAAACAUGUAAAACAUUUUUCUUAAAACUUUAAAAUAUUUUUAAAUUACAUCAGCACUUCAAGUAAAAUAAUAAAAAUAUUAAUAAAAAUCCAUUUAUAUAAACAUCCAAUAGGUGAUAUAUCCUUUCAUAAGGAUAUAUAUUUUAAUGAAACACCCUUUUAUAAGAUUAUAUUGUUUUAUAAUAUAACUUUACAUAAAAUUAUAAUUUUAUUAGAUAAUUUUAUAUAUAAAAAUUUUAUCUUUACAAUACAAUUAUUUGAUAAAUAAUUAUAAUUUUUUUACAUAAUAAAAUAUUAUUACUACCAAUAUUAUAAACUAUUGCAAAAAGGAUACUCACACUAUAUAUUAGACCUGUCCAUGGGCCGGGCCGGGCCCAGAAAAAUUUUUGGCCCGCCUCUUAGGCCCGGGCCCGGCCCGAAAUAUGGACAUGAAAUUUUGCCCAGACCCGGCCCGAGAAAAAUAUCAUAAGUCCGAGCCCGGCUCGGCCCGGCCUAUUUUUAAUAAACAUUAAAAAAUUAUUUUAAAAAUAAAAAAUAAAAAAAAUUUAAAAGUAUUUUAAAAUUAAAAAAUAAAAAUAAAAAAUAUAUAUUUAUUAUAUUCGGGCCGGGUCGGGCCGGGCCGGGACCAAAAAAGUGAUGCCCGAGACCUUACCCGUUUUUUAAACGGGCCUUAUUUUUUUACUCAAGCCCAUAUUUCGGGCGGGGCAUUGGGUCGGGCCGGGCAUGGACAGGUCUACUAUAUAUGCACACCCUCCGUUCAAAGAGUGUUAUCUAAAUAAAAAUUUACCCAAUUCUUUAAAUCUAAAAAAUUAUAUAAAUCAAUAUCUUUUAACCACUAAACAAAACAUAAAAGUUAACGGUGGACAGUGAAUUGAGUUGAUUAUAUUUAGAACAUCACAUCACAGCCACAUCAGCUUCCAAAAUAAUAUGAAAAAGAGUUAUCCAAAUGUGAAGCUACCAAUGUCCCGACUCUUAGCUGCUUCAACCAUUCCAUUACUAUCUCCCAACCACCCUGCCUUUGCCUCCCCUUUCUUUAUUGAUCUCGUUCGCUCGCUUAAAUUUUAAUCCUACUUUUAAUUUUAUAUUUAUUAUAUUAAAAAUUCCAUUGAAAAAUAUUUCAAUAAUUAAUUGAGUUCUCAAAUAGGAUAAUACUCAAUUGAGUUUUUAAUUAAAUUUAACUACUCAAUCGAAUCCUCAAUCGAAUUUAAGCAAUUAAUUAAAUUCUCAUCUUUUAACAUUGUUAACUUGUCAAUGACUUCAUCACGUGUUAUGCCAGGGUUGUGCCCCGUAACGAAAUUUGGUAAUUUUUAUUAUAUUUAUUUUAAAAAUAAUAAAAAAUUUAAAAAAAUAAAAAAAGGCAUUUAAAAUUUUAGAACAUUAAAAGAAAAAUUAGACUUUAAAAAAAUUAUUAAAAAUUAUAAAAAUAGAAUUCAUUAAAAAGCAUAAUUUUUUUUGAAAUUUUAGAAAAAAAUUUAGAAAAAUAGAAUUUAGAAAAAUUAUAAAAAAAUCAUAAAAAAAUUGUAAAUAUAAUUUUUAAAAAUUAUAAAAAAUGGAAAUAUUAAAAUAUUAAAAAUAAUAGAAAUCAUUUAGAAAAUAAAAUAUAAAAUAUUUAAAAAUUAUAAAAAAAUUUAAAAAAUUAGAUAUUUUAGAAUUUUUUAUGCUUUUUAAUGAUUUUAUAAAAAAAACAUUUUUUAAUAAUUUUUAUAAAUUGUAUAUUUUUAAAAGUUUCAAAAAAUUUAGAUUUUUAAAAAUAUUUUUUUAUGAUUUUUUAUAAAAAAUUAAAUUACCAAAUUUCGCUACGUGGCACAACUCUAUUGUGCCACAUGAGGGAGUUAAUGUUGUGUAGGGGCUUCCACAGAAAGUGUUGAUUUGAAUGAUUAAUUGAGUGCUUAAGUUUGAUUAAGGACUCAAUUGAGUGUUGCUUUUGAUUGAGAACUCAAUUGUUUAUUGAAUUAUUUUCAAGUGACUUUUUUAUAUAAUAAGUAUUGUGGGGUGUGCCUCGCAUUUAUCGGAUAGUUUACAGACACUUACCAAAGUCAGCCAGCAAUGUCACGACGAGAAGCUUCUCGAAGUUGCGAUGACGGACGACAUUAUGAUGAUGUAAAUGAGGACGUUGCGAUGUGACAACGUGUUUCCCACAAACAUCGAAUUUCUUUUCCUAAUUAAACUAUGUUAUCUUUUCCCAGUCGAACUCUAAUUACUCUAGGGAUAUUUUAGUAAUAUUAUGACUUUAAUAUUAGCCUAUUUAAAUGGUUUUUGUAACCCUAUUUUAGAGAGUUAAUAUAGAAUAUCUCUUAUGUGAGAUUUGAUGAAGAGUUUUGGGGAGAGUUUUGGAAAGAGCUUUGUAUUUAGGUUUUUGAGUUUUGCUCUUUUAGGAUUAUUUUCUUUAUCUUGUACUCUCGUAUGUUUACUCAUCUAGUGAAAAGUUGAAGUCUCAUUUGCCCCUGUCCUUUUUAUCCUCUUAACUGAGGGUUUUCCACGUAAAUAUUUGUAUGUUUGAUCUUCUCUAUUUUCUUGUUCGUUGCUUAUAUGGGUCGAUCCUCAACAAACUAGUAUCAGAGCUAGGUUAUGUUUUUGCAAUCGACCCGUUCAAGUAUAAUGACAACGAUUUUGAUAUUGAAAAGUUCAAUGAAAUCAUAGAUUUCAUAUUGUAACAGUUUCGGAUAAAGUAAAGUGUUUAAAGCAAGGUUGGUUGCAAAGGGUGACAAUCAAGUGGAGGGAGUUGAUUUCCUCAAUGCUUUCUCUAUUGUUGUGAAGCACACAUCCGUUCAGGUAUCAUUGGCAUUGGUUGCAUUAUACAACCUUGAUUUGAAGACUAGGAGUCUUUCGGUUUCCAAGUUCGAGAACGGUUUGGGCUUGGUUGACAUUCUGCAAAGAUCAAGUUCUGCUUGUGGCGGGACCUGGAGAAUAAGGUACGGUAAAUACGAGUCAAGGUGAAGAUUUGUAGGGUGUGUCUCGUAUUUAUUGGAUAAUUUGUAGGCACUUACCAAAGUCAGCUGACGACGUCACGAUGAGAAGCUUCCAAACGUUGUGACGAUGAACGACUUCAUGACGACGCAAAUGAUGAUGUUGUGACAUGGCGACAUGUUUCCCACAAACACCGAGUUUCUUCUCUUAAUUAAACUCUGUUAUCUUUUCCUAGUCAAAAUUUAAUUACUUCUGGGAUAUUUUAGUCGUUUCAACCUUUUAAACUUAGUCUAUUUAAAGGGGUCAUUGUAUCCCUAUUUUAGAAAGGCAAUUAAAGAUGUAGUACUAUAGAACUUUUCUUUUGGGGACGACAAUAUGAGUUGCAAAUGAGUUUUAGUGAGAGUUUUCGUAGUAACUAUGGAGAGAAUUUAGUUCCCAAGUUAAGACUUUGUUUUCAAGGUUUGGGUCUGUACAUUUAAUACAUUUAGGUUUAUUUUCUUCAUCUUAUACCCUCGUUUGUUUACUCAUCUAGUAAAAAGUCGAAGCCUCCUUUGCCCGUGAUUUUUAUCCUCUUAAAUGAGGGUUUUCCACGUAAAUAUUUAUGUGUUCGAUCUUCUAUAACUUUUCUAUUUCGAUAUUUAUACAAGUCAAUCUCUAACAAAUAUUAAUUCUAGGAAUUUAAUAAUUGAAAAUCAAUUAAAAAUAUCAUUAAAAGAAUGUGAGAUAUAUAACAUUUUAAAAAUACUCAUGUAUCUAAUAUUGCAAACAUAAAUAAGCAAAAAAACAUUAAAUGUGGAGUUAUAAGGUUUCGAUUCUAAAUUAAAGAUGAUAAGUUUCUUCAGACUCUUUCAACGAAAGAGAUUAAAAGUUUAUUAUUUAUUUAUUUAUUUAUUUUGCUUACAUGAUUUCUACGCUUCUUUCAACCAGCCAAAUGAACCAUUUUCAUUUUAAAAAUGGCAUGUUAUCUAAUUUAAUGAAAUUCCUUAACCGCCUUAUUAACUGAAUUUUAAUUAUUAAAUUUUAAAAAAUAGAAUGAGUAAUUUAAAAAAAAAAAGCACUAAAUUUCAAAAGUAUAAUUAAACUAAAAAGUGACAAAAAAUCAUGUUCAAUCAUAGCUGCUGCUAUAAGGGAUUCGGAAGGUUUUGCAAUGGGUUCUUGUGUAGCUGCUAAGGUCAAAACCAGUCAUGAAGCAAAUGGGAAUUGCUCUCCCAGUGGGAAUUACAGAGGGGAUGUGCAUGCAAUGACCAUCAUCAGGAACCAUGUCGGUUGCUAUCAUAUGAUAAAACAUAAAUAUGAUGCUCAAUACGUCAUAGGAAGAAAAUUUGACAAUUAUUGAAUCAUAAAUUACAGAACAAAAUUCAAUUACCAAUAGGAUCUAUACACAAUUUCCCUUGCUCUUCUCCAUGGUGAUUUACAAAAUCAAAAUAUCAAAUCAUUUAUAUUACGAUUCAUCAUCAUUUGCUCAAUCCCCUGAAAAUUCAAUCCUUUCACAUUGCCUUCCCUUCCAUCCCAGCAAUCAAAUAGAUUUUACCAGACCAAAAACCACAUCAUAUAUACACUAGUACACACAAGUUAAUCUCUUUCUCCCCAAAAAUAAUCCAUAUUUCCCUAAUUCAUCCCUACUUUGUCCUCCCGGACGGUGGCCUUCUAUGUACACUGUAGAUCUAAGCCAUAGCAGGGAUUCUGGAAUUUUGGCUAUCCCUGUUAAGGCAAUCAAAUCCUUCUACUCUAAUUGCCGCUGGUUUUAGCCCAAACGACAUCCUAACACAUCCCCCUUUAUGUGCCGAUGGCGACGGAGAUGGACUUUGCGAUGCUGAAAGGGCUGCAACUCUUUCGUCACCAAAUCGAGCAUCUUGCACAACUGGGUUCGUGGCCCUACUUGGGGGCGAACCACAAAAAAAUGGGGGUGAAGAUGCUACCUGUGCUGCAGAUUGCUCUGCCCAUAAAUCACCCUACAAAAACCGAAACAAAACAACACGAUAAAACAAGUCCAUCCUAGAAACAAAAACAUUAACACACAUAACUCAAACCUCAGAAAUGCAAACAUCCUAUAUUACUCCAAAUUGGAAGUAAAAAUAUAUCCGACUUUUAGAAGCAUUUUCAUAUAGUCGUUUAUUCGGAUAGAAGUGCAAGACGCAAAUACUUUUAAGAACCAUAGCAACUAUCAAAAAGCAAUAUGUAUAUAACAUUAGUAUUUUCACUUCUUUAAAAUACUUAAGAUUCAGUGAUUACCUUGUUGAGGAUGAUAUCUAGAAGUUCUGCACUGGCUUUCGAUUCACUUACAUCGGCUUGGUGACUGGAAUUGAAACCCAAAAAUCAAAAUUAAUAAAAGCAAGCAAAUCAAAUCAACCAAAAUUCCAAUUAGAGAAAAGGGGGAAAAACCCAAAGGACAGAGAAAAGAAAAAUAAUACCUCAUAUGCAAUCUAAAAGGCUUGAUAGGGUUAUUGGUGAGAACCCCAAUUCGCCGAGGCUUAGGGCAAACAACGGGGCCGGCCCUAUGAUGCUCCGAUAUUGAAGAGAUAAACCCUCCCAUCUCCUCAUAAGCGGAAACGGCAAUGGGAUUCUGCUGAAGAUUGUAGUGAUUCAUCUUCCUCAAAAAUCUAACAUUCAAAUAAUUAAUUACAAAAAAGAAGUCAACAACCAGAUCUAAGAAAAAUGAUUCAAUUAAGACAUAGAAACAGACAAUUUAUAUUUUUUUCCCCCUUUAGUUUCCUUCAUUUUCACAGAAUCCCAAAAAAAAAAAAGGUCAAACCCAAAAAGGAAAACAUAAAUAGAAACACAGAUCUAGGCCCAGACCUUAAAAUCAGUGAUCACGGGUUGCUGUGGAGGUAAAACUGUAAUAAAUUUAGGAUUUAUAUGUCUGCGUAAAAAAUAUUAUAAUUUACAUUUAUAUAUAUCAGAUUCAGAGAGUUAAAAAGAAGAUCCGAAAUAUCAGGGAUUAAUUAAGACGUAACAAAUAAGAAUGAAAUACCCAGAAGGGAAAUUCAAGUGUUACAGCUAAAAACUCAUCAUAAAUAUUGAAUAGACACUUUGAAAUUUGACUUAAAAACAGAAUUGUUCUUUAACAGCAAAAAAAUAGGAAGAAAAAGAAAAAGAAAAAGAAACAGAUCUAAAAAUAUAUUUUACAAAAUAUAUACAGAGAAGUGAAAUCUUAUAUAUGAUUAAAUAAGUUUAAAAAAGGGAAACUUGAUUUUUGAGAUUUACCUGAAGGAAUCCCUUUGAAAGAAGAAAAAGCAGAAAAAUGGUGGAUGAGACGAGGAAGGAAAAGGUCUUAAUGGAGGCCAGGAGGGAAAUUAUAUACAAUGCCCAUUUUACCAUUGUAAAACAAUCUCCUCCACUUUUUUUUAAAUAUAAUUUCUUUUUGAAUCUUGGGAAAAUUAUUUUAACUUCGGUCAAUUAAAAUAUUAAUUAUCAAUAAAUGCCAAAAAAAAUUACGUGAAUAGAUCAAUUUUUUUAAAAAAAUUAUGGGAAUAAGCUAUUUUUUGGAAAUCACUUCCAAUUUGCAGGGAAACUUGGAAGCGUUUUCAGCAUGUUGCAUUGAAAACGCUUCCAGCUAGAAUCGCUUUCUACUAAGUCACUUGGAAGCAUUUUCAACAUAUUGCAUGGAAAACGCUUUCAGUUAGAAUCACUUUCUGCUAAGUCACUUGAAAAUGCUUCCAGUUGGAAGUGUUUUUCCCCCCAACAGUAAAAAAUAACAGUUAUUUAAUUAGUCGUUAGACACCCCCAAACAGUCAAAUUUUAUUUUCCUAUAACCCUCUCCCAUUUCAUUUUUUCCAAUUCAAUCUCAACUCUCUCUCACAUUCUCAAUACCCACUUAAAUUCACUAAUUUUUUUUGCUCUCUCAAUUUUAUUUUUUAUUUAAAUUAUCUUAACAUUUUCUUAAAUUAUUCUUCUAAUACAAAUUAUUCAGUUUUUUUCGAAAUUAUCAAUGGCAAAUUCUCUAAUUCGUCAUGAUAAGAACUAAACUUUCGUCAAUCAAUUGCAAAUGGUAAUAAUAUUUCUUAUUAUAUUUUAAUGUUGCAUAAUUUUUAUAUAUUUUUUUAUAUUUGAAUUUAUUAUUUUGUAUAUUUUUUCCUUAAAUAGGCAGAGAUUGAAUUUUGCAAGCCAACAUUCGUAAUCUACUCGCUCCUCCAUCACCCUUGAUCAAACCGUACUUGAGAGAAGUCGAUUUUUCGCACGUGGCCCUUAUAGGUAAGGGGUGUAAGUUGGACCCAACACUCGUAAGCGCGUUAAUGGAAAGGUGGAGAUCGAAGACGCACAUUUUCCAUCUUCCAUGUGGCGAGUGUACUAUCACUUUGGAAGAUAUGCAAUUACAACUUAGGUUACUAGUGGAUGGGUUUGCAGUGACUGGGACUGUUCACACAACCAAUUGGAAAAUGGUAUGCGAUGAACUUUUGGGGUUGGUUUCGGAGACAAUUUUUGGAGGUCGGAUAGAAAUGGCUUGGUUAAGAAGAAAUUUCAGUAAGCUUGAUGAGGAUUCAACUGAAGUCGAAAGAGAACAACACGUUCAGGAUUACAUCCUUAUGUUAAUAGAGGGUAUCAUAAUGCCGGAUAAGUCACGAAAUUUCGUCCAUUUAAGGUGGUUGUUGAAACUCGUCAAUAUUCGUAAUCUACUCGCUCCUCCAACUUAGUUGGGGGUCCACCGUGUUGGCGACCUUGUACCAAGAGAUGUGUCGAGCGACGCAACCACGAAAAAUUAAAAUUGGUGGUUGUAUGCUACUAUUGCAGUCAUUGGCGCGUUAUCAGCUGCCAUUUUUGUCCUGAAGCAAACUACCUUUACAAAUUCAUUACAUAAUUUAUUUAUUGCAAUAAAAUAAUCUAAUGUUUAAAUUAUUCUGUUAACAAAUUAUUUCAAUAGGUGGAAUAAUGGGUCAAGUUACGUGAGAAUAUCGAAAGAGCUAUGAUAUAUACGACUUCUGUUAGACCAACGAUCUGAAGCAAAGGUAAGUAUUUUUUUUAAAUUUGAAUUAUAUAAUAUUAAUGUAUUUGAUUUGAUAUUUAAUAGUAUAUAUAUAACUAAUUUUUUUUAUUAUUUUAAUAUAGUUUGAAUGGACACCAUACAAGGAUCUGACAAUUCGACAAUGCAUCCCAUCCGAAAUCCUGGUGAAUCCCAACAUUUGACAUGUAAAUGUGCCAUUGGUAGUGUACGCUAUUGUGUAUAUGCAUGAGUCGGAUAGGGUGUUGCAGCAAAUCGGGUUCAAACAAUCGAUUCUAGUGGUACCUUAGGACCUCGAUCAUCUGCAUCCUAUCAACUUGUGGGGGAGGUCGGAUGAGAAUUGAAUUAGAUUCCACAUUAAUAUAUAAACACAUGUGGAAUAAUCGGUAUGAGUUUCUACCUCAUCGCAAUGCUAUUAUCGCUCUAGAGUUAGCUUGCAGUUUGGAUUACAUGCCUUGAUUUAGGCUUUUUGGCAAGCCAUGCUUGUUGAGCGAAGAAUAUAGGAGUUGGCAAACGCAUACGAGGAGGCCACGACGACCGUCAACACAUCCAAGGUUUGGCGAGGCAGGUCCAUCGGUUGCACCUACUCAAGAGCCGACAUCGGUGCCCACACCACCCCUGAUCAGUAUGUGUAGUCCUAUUCUGAUUCGUAUGCGAACACCGUCAUUUUCACACAAGCACCAUAUAUUCAACCACAUUUUUCUGCUUUUACUUUGAUGUCAGGUUUUGUUUUCAAACCUUGGUCCCUAGUACAUUACACGUCGAUGCCAUCCAUAAUUCUGGCGACGAUGAUGCCGAUGACGACGUAUAGGCCAUCCAUGUUUCGACCACCGACCAAGAGUCCAAUUGUUAUGUCACCAAUGUACGAAACACAAUAUAGUUAUACCCCUACACUGAUGGUGAUGCAAACACCUCCAGGAUCAUUGUUCUAUCAAGGCGAAUCAUCUCCCCAACCACCUACUCCUAGAUCGGAGGAUGCACGAUGGCAACCAAGAAGCAACUAAUCGCAAUCAACUACGGAUGAAGGCGAAGAAGAGAAAAGGCCUAUACCACAACCUGUGUCAGAGGUUUAACCAGAGUUUGGAAAAUCGAUCGCAAUUGGGUUUGGAAAACGCAACGGAAAAUAAAUUUAGGAAAAAACCAGAGUUUUAAAAAAAAUCCAAAAUAAGAAUUUGGUUGUGAUAUCUAAAGUAAUAAACACUCAAUCAAAAUUGUACAAUUUUGAUUCGUCUAGGAUGAACGCUUCAACCUAGUAGUCUUCUCUAUUAUCCUUAAGCUCACGUCUGCCGAGUGUGGGCCCGCUUCGAAUAAAAAAAUUACAAAAAUUACUAGUGCAGUAAUUUCGUAAUUUCUCUAAACUUUUGGGCUAAGUUAUAAAUAAGAAAAAUACUCUAGAAAUUUUCUAAAAUAAUUUCUUUAGAGAAUUUUCUCUCUACAACUUUCUAUUGAAUUCAAGUGUGUGUAAAUAAUAACCCAAGACUAUCUUUAUAUAAGGAGGGUUUAGAGAGUUCAACUAUAAUUAAACUUAAUCACUUUAAUAUUAAUUUUAAUAUUAAAUUUUAAUUAAUAGAAUAUUUAUCUACAAGAUAAAUAUUAAAUUAAAUUUAAUAUUAAGAUAAUCACUUUGAUAUUAAAUUAAUAAAAUAUUAUUAAGAUAAGUAUCAAAUGAAAUUUAAUAUUAAAUCUAUUAAAAUAAUAUUAUUUUUUAAAUAGUUAAUCAAAAAUCAAAUUCUUUGGUAGAGUCUCAAUAGGAGUGUAAUUCUUCCAUUGCUUAACCACCGAAGAACCACUGCCGCUAACCAUUUUUUGGCCAUCGGAAUGCUGUCGUCGUAACCGUCGGCACCUGAGCUGGUUUGGUUUCUAUCGGUUCCGUACGGACCACUAACAGUCCGAUAGGUCCGAUCCAACCACCAGUUGGAUAUCAACUUAGUUUCACAUACCAGACCUGGUUCGACUAGUUUUUGGGUCUUAGUCUCGGUUUUGGGAUCCUAAGCCCAAUUUAUGAUCUCAGGUCUAAUAUUCAAGUUCAAUUACCCAUUGGGCCAAUUGUCUGACUUGAAAAAUUAAUUUUUCAAAAAUAUCAUAUUAAUUUUAAUUAAUUUGAUUGAUUUAAUUUUACUUGUUCAAAAUUAAUUUUCCCAAAAAUCACUUAGAUUUUCCAAAUUAAUUUUUCAAGAAAAUUCUUUAAUCAAAUUCUCUAGUUGAACAAUUCUUACGACCGUCCAACUUAAUUCCACAUCGAAUAAAUCGACUCAGUUAAAUUAUUUCCAAAGUCGUAGAAUUUACUUCUAAUUCAAAUGGAGUCCGAUUAAGCCUUUGUUGAGCUAGCGGAGGCACCAAUCGGACAUAUACAAUUAGGUUCUAGUAAUUGCAAUUAUGUCCAGAAGCAUCGUUCCUAUAAUUCACAAUUAUUUAAUAUGGAGUUAGGCCACAAAAAGUACCAUGAUUGAAAACUACUUAUUAUAUACUCUUUACGAAAGUAAUUCAUCCAACUACUUUGUCCAAUGACCUCGUCAUGUGUGUGUUACCCUCAUAUGAUAUCCUUGAUUCCUCUGAGUUAAAUUCAUUCACUCAAUACAAUCCUAUUUUAUCCCAUUGUUGCCAUCUGUCUUCUUAAUGAUUAACAUGAUCACUAUCAACAAAUGGAUGUGAUAAAUUGCUCAUUCAAGAACAAGCAACCCGUGGCCACAUUCCGUAUUUAUCAAUCCACACAAUGCUAAUGAGAGGAUAUCAUUAAUUCUUUAAUUGAGCUAUGAAUUUCACUGUUUCAAAAAGUAAAACCAUGCCAUACACAAGUCAUGUACCCAACAUAUCGGCUAUUGGUUCGAUCAUCUUUAGAGCAUAAGCCUCUACUUAUAUCAAAGCACAUGAGUUACAUAUGCAUGGUCAUUGACUAACUCAGGAUUUUGAUAAAUCAUAGCAUGAAUGUCACAAGUGAAUUAAUUCAAAAAUGAAUUCAGAAUUAAUUCAUCUUGGGUCUAGUUCAAUGUAUCAUUCUGCCAAUGAAUACAUUUAUGUCUCUACCCGUAGAGUCAACUACUCCGAUAGCCAAGACUAGUCAUCCCCUCAAUUGGAAUUAUAGACAACAUAAUAAUCAUUCUCAGUAUUUGAAUUAAAUAAUCACUUUGAUUCUUUUACGAAAUUACAAACUUGUUUAGAUUAUCUAGUGAAGUAAGUUGUCUUUCUCGUAAUGCAAAUGUUCUUACAAUGCCACUUAUCAUCAUUUUGAACUUAGACAAUCAAUGAGCUAAUUUUUGCUUGUUACAAAUUCGCUAUGCAUGCAAAAUAUGAAAGCCAGAAAUACAAAAUACAUAACAGUGAAAUGUGAAAUUUAUUUAUUCAAAUUCAUAGAAAAUAAUUACAUGUUUACUACAAUAUGUGCACAUUUCCCAACAAUUUCCCACUUGCUCUAGUGAAGUAAAUGUGUCAUAUUUCACAUUCCCAAAUCCUCAACGUGUUUGUUAAAACUCUUAGUUACAAGAGUCUUAGUAAAUAGAUCUAAAAGGUUAUCUUCAUAAGCUACUUUCACCACAUCUAUAAUUCCUUCGACUACUGCCUCUCAUAUCAAGUGAUACUUUUGAUAAAUGUGUUUAUUCCUCUUGUAACUUCUCAUUUCCUUAGUAUUAACUAUUGCAGCAUAGUUAUCACAAUACAGUGUUAUAACUUUUUCCAUACCAUGAAUAACUUCAAGAUCGGUUAAGAACUUUCAAAGCCAUAUUGCUUCUUUGUUGCUUCAGAAGUAGCCACAUACUCGGCCUCCAUAGUAGAGUCAGUAGCACAAGUUUGUAUUACACUUCUCCAUACUAUGGCUCUACGGCCUAAGAUGAAUAUAUUUUUUUAUGUUGAUUUCCUCGCAUCUUUAUAGGUUUGGAAGUCUAAGUUUGUGUAUCUGAUAGGAGUAAAGUUCUCCCUAGAAUAUAUAAACAUAUAGUCUUUGGUUCUUUUAAGAUACCUUAAUAUAUGCUUUCAGCUUGCCAAUGUUUGAAACCAGGAUUCGUCUGAUAUCGAGUAACCAUUCCCACUGCAAAACAAAUAUCUGGAUGUGUGGAAAGCAUCGCACACAUAAGGUUUCCAACUAUCGAAGCAUAUGGAACCCUACUCAUAUGGUCUCUUUCUUCUAUUACCUUAGGACAGUUAUCUAAAGAAAAAUGAAAACCUAAUGAGGUCGGCUGAGUGCCUAACUUCACAUCAAUCAUUGAAAAAUGUUUCAGUACCUUAUAGAUGUAUAAAGCUUGUGAUAGAGUUAUCGUUUUAUUCUUUCAAUCCCUAAGGAUUCGAAUUCGAAGAACAUAACUAGCUUCACCCAUGUCCUUUAUGUUAAUUGUUGAGCUAACCACAGUUUAACUGAUGACAAUUCUCUUACAUUAUUUCAUACAUUAAUAUAAACUUAACAAAAAUUAUUCAUUCACAUACACAUCAUCCCUAAAUUGAUCCUCUGAGGCCAUAAAAUACAUUAAAAAAAUUCGAGACUAAAUUGGAAACAUUUCAAAAGUUCAAGAAAAAGUUAGAAAAAUUUAACUGUAGGGGUUACAUGGCUGUGUGCCUUACACGACUGUGACACACGCCCGUGUCUCAGACCAUGUAAUAAUCAAAAUAGGGACACACUGCUGUGUCUCAGCCUUUGUCCUUACCCGUAUAACUCUCUAAGUAGGGUUACACGGCCAAAUCACACGACCAAAUCACAUGCCUGUGUGCUAUGUUGUGUAACUCUCGAAAUAGCCCCACAAGCCCGUGUGUCAAGCCGUGUGUUAGGCCGAGUAACUUUCUGACUUGAAUGCAAUUGAACCUAAAGGGGACACACAGCCAUGUCGCCAGGCCAUGUGUCAAACACGGUUGAGUCACACGCUCGUGUCUCAAGCCGUAUGGACAUGAAUUUGCCAAAAAAAGCCAUUUCCAUCACCAUAUCAAGCAUAUACCUAAAAACAUCUUGUGCACAUAAUCAAGACAUCAAAACCUUACCAAAACAUGCAUAUAGUAACCAAAAACUUAGUAGAGUCAAAAGGUAUUUUCUUAUCUGACACUAAAGUUGUGCAUAUAUAUGAGUGCAUUGACCCAGGGUCAAUCAAAGCAUCAACAUUAGUAUCAAAAAUAAAAAAUGUACCAGUGAUAACAACUGGCGCUGAAGCUUCCUCUCGAGCACAGAUCGCAUAAGCUUUAGUCGACACUGGUGCCUCAAAUCUCACAGUAGAGCCUUUCGUUCCACUACGACUAUUACCCCCUCUCGAGCACGGAUCGCAUGAGCUUUAGUCGACACUGGUGCCUCAGAUCUCACAGCAGAGUCUUUCGUUCCACUACGACUAUUACCCGCAUUACCAGUGUUUCGGGCUGGUCUCCUUCUCGAAGCUGUAUUACUCAGUCGAGUAGUCUGAGCCUUUUCUUUGUCGGACCUUUCAAGGUAAUCCUUGAGAUAUUUUUAUAUGAACCACAUUUAGAACAUUACUCGUCUUUCAAUCUGCAUUCACCAAAGUGUCGUUUAUUACAUUACUGAUAUUCGGGCUUGUUGUUUCUGAUAUUGCCCACACUUGUUGUAGACGUAGCCUGAGGUUUUGAGCUCGAAUGCUAAUUUCCUUAAUCUUUCUCAGAAUAAUCCACUGAAGCUGAUGAACGACCAUGAUAUUCUUUCAACUUCUUCGAUGGCGAUGGGUAUGACUUUUCCAUAGGGCUCUUUCCCGAGUUAUGAGCCUCCUCGACUUUUCUUUUCGCUUUGCUAAGUUCUUCAGCUUUAUGCACUUUGCCAACUAGAACUACAAAUUCUUUCAUCUCAAGGAUCCCGAAUAACACCUUAAUAUCUUUGUUUAACUUGUCUUCAAACCUUGUGCACAUAGCAAACUCUGUAGGUAUACAUUCUUUGGCAUACUUACUGAGUCGAACAAAUUCCCUCUCAUACUCUAAUACAGUCAUACGACCUUGUUUCAACUCAAGGAAUUCUUUACGUUUCUUGUCUAAAAAUAUCUCGCUCACAUAUUUCUUUCGAAAUUCAGUCUAAAAGAAUUCCCAGUUUACUUGAUCUCUCGGCACAACUGCAACUAAGGUGUUCCACCACUGAUAAGCCGAAUCUUUCAAUAAUGAAACAACACAUUUCAAGUAUUUCGUAGGAGUACAUGAUAAUUCAUCGAAAACUUUCACCGUGCUUUCUAACAAAAAUAGGCUCUCUUUGGAUCAUCUUCAGUUGUUCCUCGAAACUCUUAAGCCCUAUACUUACGAAUUUUAUCAACUAGAGGCUUGCUCACCCGAACUAGUUCCAAACCCUGAGGAACUACGAGGAUCGAUUGGGGUACAGGUGGGGGUGGAGGUCGUUAAGCCAUUGAUUUCAUUCGAAUAAACUCGAAGAAGCAUUCAGACAUCAUCUGGAGGAAAACUUCUUUAGCCUCUCCUCCCCAGCCCUCAGAUUUGAGCCUAUUACCACUAGACGCUGCUCCAUGAACGGAGGUUCGCGUGUUACUUUCUAUUUCAUUGGAAUCAGCUUGAUUGGAUGGCAUUUUAUCUAUAUGAAAACAUAGUUCAAAUAUAGUUAGGAGUUAUCACACUAUUACAGGUUAUAUAAAGGCAUGUAUUUCUAGACUCAUACACGCUACUUUAGUGCGAGAACCGACUAUGCUGUAGCUUUGAUACCAUUAAAUGUAACACCUCUAACCUGUAUCUAUUGCCAAAUUAGGGUUACAGAGCACUACUGUACAAAUGGAACAUUACAACAUACAUUUCAUAUAUUUAUAUAAACUUAACAAAAAUUAUUCAUUCAUUUACACAUCGUCCCUAAAUUGAGCCCUCGAGACCCUAAACAUACAUUAAAACUAAUUUGGGACUAAAUUGGAAGCAUUAGGAAAGUUCAAGAAAAAGUUAGAAAAAAUUGACUGCAGGGGUCACACGUCCAUGUACCUCACACGACUGAGACACACGCCCAUGUCUCAGGCCGUGUAACUCUCAAAAUAGCCCCAAAAACUUGUGCGCCAAGCCGUGUGCUAGGCUGUGUAACUGCCUGACUUGUUUGCAAUGGAACCUAAAUGGGAGACAUGGCCAUGUCGCCACACCACGUGUUACAUACGGUUGAGUCAAACGCCCGUGUCUCAGGCUGUGUGGACAUGAAUUUGCCCCAAAACAGGUAAUUUCCAUCACCAAAUCAAGCAUAUACCUAAAAACAUUUUGUGCACAUAAUCAAGACAUCAAAACCUUACCAAAACAUGCAUAUAGUGACCAUUUCAAUAGCCUUAAACCAAUCAACCAAUAUGCCAUUUCAAGGCACCUCACAAGCAAACACCAAAGCAUACCUAAGCAUUCACAUUUGGUCACAUUUCCACCAUCAAACAUAAUUCAUCUUCCAACAAAUUAUACCACAAUUAUGACCAUUAGCAUUUCAACAUAAACUUACCAUUUGAGGCAUACCAUUCAUGCAUCAUAAGUACCAAAAUGACACAAUCCAACCAACAUCAAAUUGUACCAACACUAUACAUGCCAAAAUAUCAACUAACAUUCAACUAGAUACCAAUACAAGUCCACCUAUACAUGCCAUUAUAGCCUUGGCCAAAACAUCAUAAAUUAUUGAUAUGUAUGCUGGAUAGUGUGAUAGAUCUCCGACGAGCUUCCAAACCGAUAUAGCUUCCGAUUAUCUAUAAAACAAGAGAAAAAAACUACGUAAGCAAAUAAUGCUUAGUAAGUUCGUAAAACAUGAAACAUAAUUUACCAUUUCCUUAUAUAACAUUAAGUACAAGCAUAAUGCAAUGCAACACAAGCUUGGCACAAGCCUAAGCACCAUCAUCAAUACACAAGUUAGUGUAUAUAUACAUAAUUCAAUUGAAUUUAACAUAUGGUAAUUCAUUUCCAUGGAAACAUACACCAUUUGAUUCAUUCUUCGUUUUCAUGAACAUAAGCAUACUUCCAUUUGGAACUUACCAUUUCAAUCCUUUUCAUAAAUACAUGAUAUAGUUCAUUUUGAACACUUAUCGUUCCUUUUCUUUCUAUGCCCGUUGAACCAUUUAGAAUAUCAUCGGAUACACAGGAAAACUCACAUGAAGUGUGCUUAAACAUAUAACCAUAAUCUUUCCUUUACAUUGUUGCUCACACGAGCUAUGAAAUAGGCCUACUCACACGAGCUAUGGGUCGAAAUGUAAGCUACACGAUGCUGCUCACACGAGAUUUGGAGUAUCUACAACAAAUGUAGGACCUCAACCAUCGGUAGGAUAUUCAAGACCAACACCCGAACAUGAGAACCCUAAUGACAUGUCAUUUGUAUCCUACGAAUUCCUAAGGUUCAACCAGGACUCGAUAACCGUCGUAGCAUGAUUUUGGAUAUACAUUGUUCAAUAGCAUUCUUAAUACAUAAUAACAUAUAAUUAAACAACAUGAACAUAACAAUCCGUACAUACGAACUUACCUCGACGACUAAGGCGUAAAAACGGGAUCGACUAAUCCGAGGCUUUAGCUUUUCCCCGAUCUAGAUCUGUUGUGGCCUAUCUUGAUCUAAAUAAAAAAUAUAAUUCAUUUAAUAUCCCUAGCAUUCAAUUUAGUCCAUAUUUCAUAUUUUUCCAAAAUUACUAUUUUACCCCUAAUAUUUUAACUUUUUACAAUUUAGUCCUUAAGCUCAUAAAUUAAAAUCUAAGCAUUUUCAUCCUUUUCUCAAGCUAGACAAUUUAUCCAGGGACCUAUAUCAACUCAUACAAACCAUUAUUUCAUAGAUUUAACUUGAAAUUUUAUCUUUUUUACAAAUAAGUCCCUAAAUAAAAUUUUCAUCAAAAAUCACUUUACAAAACUUGUUUAUUUAUGAACAAGGACUCAUAAUCUACCAUUAAACAUCAAGAAUCAUACAAGAAAAUUCAUGAAAAAACCCUAAAUCUUUAACAGUUUUGCAAAUUGAUCCUUGGGCUAGCUAAGUUAAGCUACAACGAUCCCAAAAACAUAAAAAUCAUUAAAAACAAGCUCAAAAAUCACUUACAUGCAAUAAUUGAACAUAGCCGAACCUUCAAGGUGAAAAAUAGAGGUUUUCCUUCUUUAAUUUCGGUGGAAACAUGAACUAAAGAAGAUGAUACUUUUAUUUUAUGUUAUUUUUCUUUACUUAAUUAUUAUAUUACCUUAAUAACCUUGUUAAUUAACUAAAUAAAACUCCUAAUUCAUGCCCAUCUUUGUCCACUAACAUUAUGAAUGAUCUAAUUACCAUCUAAGUCCACUCACAUUUAAAUUUCAUAGCCAUUUGACCCUUUUUACUAAUAGAACUCAAUUUUUGCACAUUUAUGAUUUAGUCAUUUUCACUUAAUUAAGCAUGCAAACAUCGAAAUUUCGUAACGAAAUUUUUAUAUUACCUUAUUAACAUUCUAUAUACAUUAAAAAUAAUAAUUUACUUGUCAGAUUUGUGGUCACUAAAUUACAAUUUCGAUUUCACUGAAAACAGGUUGUUACAACUCUCCCCCUAAAAGAAUUUUCGUCCCCGAAAAUCUUACCAGAAAAGAGGUUUGGGUAUUGCACUUUCAUAAUUUCUUCCAGUUCCCAGGUACCUUCCUCUAAACCUUGACAUUUCCAGAGAACUUUUACUAAAUCUAUUUAUUUCUCAGUUCUUUAACUUCCCAAGCUAAAAUUCUGAUCGGUUCUUCACUGUACGUCAUAUUUGGCUGUAUCUCAACAUCAACAGGUGAAAUCACGUGUGCAGAAUCUGAUUGAUACCAUCGUAACAUCGAAACAUGGAAUACAUUGUGAAUCUUUUCUAACUUUAACGGCAAAGAUAAUCUAUAAGCUAUUGGUCCAAUUUUUUCUAUGAUCCCAUACGGCCCAAUAAAUCGUGGACAAAGCUUUCCUUUUCGACUGAAUUGAAGAACUUUCUUCCAAGGCGAUACUUUUAGAAAUAAUCUGUCGCUUACUUGAAAUUCAAUGUCUUUUCUUUUCAAAUCUACGUAAGAUUUUUGUCGAUCCGAAAUUGUUUUCAGGCUAUCACAUAUCACUUUAACCUUUUCUUGAGUUUCUCAAAUUAAAUCAAUCUUGAAUAACUUUUUCUCACUCAGAUCAGUCCAGUAUAAAGGAGUUCGACACUUCCAACCAUACAAAGCUUCGUAUGGUGCCAUUUUAAUACUCACUUGAUAACUGUUAUUGUAUGCAAAUUCAACUAACGACAGAAAUCUCUCCCAGUUACCUUCGAACUAUAAAACACAACAUCGUAGCAUAUCUUUGAGUAUCUGAAUCACUCACUCAGAUUGACCAUUUGUUUAGGGAUGAAAUGUUGUAUAAAAUACAGUUAAGUACUAAGAGCUUCGUGUAACUUGCUCCAGAAUCGAGACGUAAACCGCAAAUCUCUUUCAGAAAUAAUAGAAUCUGGCACACCGUGCUAUCUAACAAUCUCAGUAACAUAUAACUUUGCCAAUCUCUCGAGUGAAAAAUCUAUACGCACCGGAAUGAAAUGCGUGGACUUCGUCAAACAAUCAAUAGUGACCCAUACAACAUAUUUCUUUCUCAGAGAUAGAGACAAACCCGAUACGAAAUCCAUCGUGACACAUUCCUAUUUCCACUUUGGAAUCAUCACAGGUUGUAACAAACUAGAAGGUACCUGAUGUUCAACUUUAACUUGCUAACAAACCAAACAUUUCGGUACGAACUCUAAAAUGUCUUGUUUCAUACCUGACCACCAAUAUAUGUGUUUCAAAUUGCCAUACAUUUUAUUGCUACCAAGAUGAAUAGACAAGCUAUUACUGUGAGCUUCCUGUAAAAUUUUCUGAAUAAGAUCAGAAUUUCUCGAAACACAAAUUCUGCCUUUGAAGUACAAAUUGUCAUCAGAACCAACAUGAAAAUUUGAUUCAGGUGUCAUCUCAAUCUAUUUCUAUUUAGUGAUCAAAACAUCGUCACAUUUCCGAGCUUCACAAAUCUGUUGCAGAAACAUCGGUCUAGCUUUUAAUUCUGCCAAAAUUGAUUCAUCAUCAAUCAACGUCAAUCGUGUGUUCAAUGCUCGUAAAGCAAACAUGGAUUUUCUACUCAAUGCAUCAGCAACAACAUUAGCCUUUCCCGGAUGAUAAUAAUGAUCAAGUCGUAAUCUUUCAAUAAAUCGAGCCAUCUGUGUUGUCUUAAAUUCAAAUCCUUUUGUGACAUCAAAUACUUUAGGCUUUUAUAGUCCGUGAAAAUAUGACAUUUUUCUUCGUACAAAUGGUGUUGCUAGAUCUUCAAAGCAAACAUAAUGGCUACAAGCUCUAAAUCAUGAGUCGAAUAAUUCUUUUCAUGCAGUUUCAACUGUCUAGAAGCAUACACUAUUACUUUGUCUUCUUGUAUCAAAACACAACUUAAACCAUUCAAUGAAGCAUCGCUAUAAAUCACAAAUUCUUUACCGAACUCUGGCUGAACCAACAUAGGUGCCUCGGUUAAUAAAGUUUUCAACUGAUUAAAACUGUGCUGACAUUUCUCAAACCAUUCGAAUUUAACAUCUUUUUACAACAAUCUCGUCAACGGCAUAGCAAUCAUCGAGAAUCUCUUGACGAACCUUCUAUAAUAUCUGGCUAAACCCAGAAAACUUCUGACUUCAGAUACAUUUCUCAGAGGUUUCCAGUCUACCACAGCUGAAAUUUUACUUGGAUCAACUCUAAUACCAUCUGCUGAUACCACAAGUCCCAAAAAUCCUACUUCUCGGAGCCCGAACUCGCAUUUGUUGAACUUAGCGAGUAGUUGUUUUUCGCGUAAGGUUUGUAAAACAGUUCUCAAAUGUUGGGCAUGUUCUAUCUCAUCUCGUGAAUAGAUCAGGAUGUCAUCAAUAAACACAACAAAAAAUCUAUCUAAAUAUGGUCUGAAUAUUCUAUUCACCAAGUCCAUAAACACGGUAGGUACAUUAAUCAAACCAAAUGGCAUCAUAAGAAACUCAUAAUGUCCGUACUUAGUUCUAAAUAUUGUUGUCGACAUAUCAGACUCUUUAACCCGUAACUGAUAAUAACCAGGAUGAAGAUCGAUCUUUGUUAAUACCGUCGCACCUUUCAAUUGAUCAAACAAAUCAUAAAUAUGUGGUAAUGGAUACUUGUUCUUGAUCAUGACUUUGUUGAGCUGUUGAUGAUCAAUACAUAGUUGCAUGGAUCUGUCCUUUUUCUUGACAAAUAACACAGGACGUCCCCAAGGAGAAAAACUGGGCUGAGCAAAGCCCCUAUCUGAUAACUCUUGCAACUGAGCUUUCAAAUCUUUUAAUUUUAUAGGUGUCAUUCUAUAUGGAGCUAUCGAGAUCUGAGAUAUUCCAGACAUUAAUUCAAUAGCAAACUCAACUUUUUUGGUCGGUGGUAACCCUGGUAAUUCUUUUGGAAACACGUCUACAUACUGACAUACAAUUGGAACUGAUUCUAACUUAAAUUCUGAAACUCCAGAAUCAAAUAUAUAAGCGAGAUACGUUUCAAAGCCUUUUCUAACAUGUUUUUGUGCCGACAUAACCAAAAUAACAUCAAAUGCACUAUAUAAUAUGUCUGAUUCAAUUCGAAGCUUUUCAUCAUUCUGACAUUUUAACACAAUAUACUUUCGUCUAUAGUUCAAAACAACAUCAAGCAGAGUUAACUAGUCCAUACCCAGAAUCACAUCAAACUCAUCAAAGCGUAGUAACAUCAAAUUAGCCGGAAAGUUGCAACCCCGAAUAAUCAAAUGGCAGUUUUUAAAGACUUUAUCAGCUAACACAAACUGACCUAAAGGGUUCAUUACUUUAACCAAAAACUCAGUAGAAGGUAUUUUAUUAUUUGAAACUAAGGUUGUGCAUACAUAUUAGUGCGUUGACCCAGGUUCAAUCAAAGCAUUAACAAUAGUAUCAAAGAUAGAAAAUGUACUAGCGAUAACAUCUGGUGCUGAAGCUUCCUGUCGAGCAUGGAUUGCAUAAGCUCUAGUCAGCGUUGGUGCCUCAAAUCUCAUAGUAGAAUAUUUCGUCCCACUACGACUAUUACCCGUAUUACCAGUGUUCCAGGGUGGUGGUCGUCCUCUCGCAGUUGUAUUACUCGGUUGAGUAGUCUUAGCCUUUUUUUUGUCGAAAUUUUCAAGCCAAUCUCUAAGAUAAUUUUCAUACGAACCACAUUUAAAACAUGAAUCAUCUUUCAAUCUACAUUCAUCAAAGUUUUGUCUAUUACAUUGCUGAUAUUUGGGCUUGUUAUUUCUGACACUGCCUACACUUGCUGCAAACGUAGCCUAAGGUUUCGAGCUCGAAUGCUAAUUUCCUCAAUCUUUCCCAGAAUUAACCUCUAAAGCUAACGAACGACCAUGAUAUUCUUUCGACUUCUUUGAUGGUGAUGAGUAUGACUUUUCUAUAGGCUUCUUUCCAGAGUCAUGAGCCUCAUUGACUUUUCUUUUCACUUUGCUAAGUUCUUCAGCUUUCUGCGCUUUUUCAACCAGAACUACAAAUUCUUUCAACUCAAGGAUCCCUAUUAAUAGCUUGAUAUCUUCGUUUAACUAGUCUUCAAACCUUGUGCACAUAGCAACCUCUAUAAGUAUAUAUUCUCGGGCAUACUUACUGAGUCGAACAAAUUCCCUCUCAUACUCUACUACAGAUAUACAACCUUGUUUCAACUCAAGGAAUUCUUUACGUUUCUUGUCUAAAAACAUCUCGCUCACAUAUUUCUUUCAGAAUUUAGUCUAAAAGAAUUAUCAGUUUACUUGAUCUCUCGGCACAAAUACAACUAAGCUUUUCCACCACUAAUAAGCUGAGUCUUUUAAUAAUGAAACAACACAUUUCAAGUAUUUCGUAGGAGUACAUGAUAAUUCAUUGAAAACGUUCACCGUGUUUUCUAACAAAACUCGGCUCUCUUUGGAUCAUCUUCAACUAUUUUUCGGAACUCUUAAGUCCCAUACUUAUGAAUUUUAUCAACUGGAGGCUUGCUCGCCCGAACUAGUUCCAACCCUGAGGAACUAACGGGAUCAGUUGGGGUACAGGUGGGGGUGGAGGUCAUUGAGGCAUUGGGUUUGGUCGCACAAUCUUGGAGAACCAUUCAGACAUAAUCUGGGGGAAGGCUUCCUUAGCCUUUCCUCCCCAACCCUCAGAUACAGGCCUAUUACCACUAGACGCUGCUCCGUGAACGGAGGCUUGCGCGUUACUUUCUACUUCAUCGGAAUCAGUUUAAUUUGAUGACAUUUUAUCUAUUUGAAAACAUAGUCUGAGAACCGACUAAACUGUAGCUCUAAUAAUACUAAAUGUAACACCCCAAACCCGUAUCCAUCGUCGGAUUAGGGCUACGAAGCAUUACUAUACAAAUAAAACAUUAUAACAUACAUUUCAUACAUUAAUAUAAAUUUAACAAAAAAUAUUCAUUCACAUACACAUCAUCUCUAAAUCGUGCUGCCAAGGCCCUAAAAAUACAUUAAAAAAUUUGGGACUAAAUUUGAAGCAUUUGGAAAGUUCAAGAAAAAGUUAGAAAAAUUUGACUGUAGGGGUCACACGACCAUGUGCCUCACACGACUGAGACAUACGCCUGUGUCUCAAGCUGUGUAACAAUUGAAAUAAGGACACACAGCCGUGUCCUUACCCAUGUAACUUUCUGAGUAGGGUCACACGGCUGAGACACACACCUGUGUGCCAGGCCAUGUGCUAGGCCGUCUAACUCCCUGACUUGUAUGCAAUAGAACCUAAAGGGGACACACGGCCAUGUUGCCAGGCCGUGUGUCACACAUGGCUAAGUCACAUGUCUGUGUCUCAGGCCGUAUAGACAUGAAUUUUCCCACAAACAAGCCAUUUCCAUCACCAAAUCAAGGAAACACAUAAUCAAGACAUCAAAACCUUACCAAAACAUGUAUAUUCAAUAGCUUUAAACCAUUAAACCAAUAUGCCAUUUCAAGGCACCUCACAAGCAAACACUAAACUUACACAUUUGAUCACAUUUCCACAAUCAAACAUAGUUCAUCUUCCUACAAAUCAUACCAUAAUUAUGACCAUUAGCAUUUCAACAUAAACUUACCGUUUGAGUCAUACCCUUGAUGCAUCAUAAGUACCAAAGUGACACAAUCCAACCAACAUCAAAUGGUACCAACACAACUUAUACAUGCCAAAAUCAUCAACUAACAUUCAACUAGAUACCAAUACAAGUCCACAUAUACAUGCGAUUAUAACCUUGGCCAAAAUAUAAAAAACUACCGAUAUUUAUGCUUAGUAUGAUUGAUCUCCGACAAGCUUCUAAACCGAUCGAGCUUCCGAUUAUUUAUAAAACAUGGGAAAGAAAACUAUAUAAGCACAUAAUGCUUAGUAAGUUCGUAAAACAUGGAACAUAACUUACCAUUUCCUUAUAUAACAUUAAGUACAAGUAUAAUGCAAUGCAACACAAGCUUGGCACAAGCCUAAUCACCAUCAUCAAUACACAAGUUAGUGCAUAUAUACAUAAUUCAAUUGAAUUUAACAUAUGGUAAUCCAUUUCCAUAGAAAUAUACAUCAUUUGAUUCAUUCUUCAUUUUCAUGAACAUAAGCACACUUCUAUUUGGAAACUUACCAUUUCAAUCCUUUUCUUAAAUACAUGAUAUAGUUCAUUUUGAACACUUACCGUUCCUUUCCUUUUCAUGCCCGUUGAACCAUUUAGAAUAUCUUCAGAUACACGGGAAAGCUCACACGAAUUGUGCUUAAACAUAUAAUCAUAACCUUUCCUUUACAUUGUUACUCACACGAGCUGUGAAAUAGGCCUGCUUGUACGAAUUGUGAAAUGAGAUUGCUCACACGAGUUGUGGGUCGAAAUGUAUGCUAGACGAUGUUGCUUACACAAGCUGUGGAGUAUCUAAAACAAAUGCAGGACCUCUGUUUUGGUAUGACAUUCAAGACUAGCACCUAAACAUGAAAAUCCUAAUGUCAUGUCAUUUGUAUCCUUUGAAUUCUUAAAGUUCAACUGGGACUCGAUAACCGUCGUAGCAUGAUUUUGGAUAUACAUUGUUCAAUAGCAUUUUUAAUACAUAAUAACAUAUAAUUAGACAUCAUGAACAUAAUAAUCCGUACAUACAAAACCUCGACGAGUAGGGCGUAAAAACGGGAUCUACUAAUCUGAGGCUUUAGCUUUUCCCCGAUCUCGAUCCGUUCGUGGCCUAUCUUGAUCUAAAUAGAAAAUAUAAUUCAUUAAAUUUCCCUAGCAUACAAUUUAGUCCAUAUUUCAUAUUUAUACAAAAUUACUAUUUUUCCCUUAACAUUUUAACUUUUUACAAUUUAGUCCUUAAGCUGAUAAAUUAAAAUCUAAGCUUUUUCAUCAUUUUCUCAAGUUAGCCGAUUUCUUUAGGGACCUAUAUCAACUCAUACAAACCAUCAUUUCAUAGAUUUAACUUGAAAUUUUAUCUUUUUUUACAAAUAAGUCCCUAAUUACAAUUUUCAUAAAAAAAUCACCUUAUAAAACUUGUUUAUUUAUGAACAAGAACUCAUAAUCUACCAUUAAACAUAAAGAAUAAUGCACGAACAUUCAUGGAAAAACCCUAAAUCUUUAACAAUUUUACAAAUUGAUCCUCGAGAUAGCUAAGUUAAGCUACAAAGAUCUCAAAAACAUAAAAAUCAUUAAAAACGAGGUAAAAAUCACUUAAAUGCAGUACUUGAACAUAGCCAAACCUUCAAGAUGAAAAAUGGAUGUUUUCCUUCUUUAAUUUCGAUGGAAACAUGAACUAAAGAAGAUGAUACUUUUAUUUUAUGUUAUUUUUCUUUACUUAAUUAUUAAAUUACCUUAAUAACCUUGUUAAUUAACUAAAUAAAACACCUAAUUCAUGCCCAUCCUUUUUCACUAACAUUAUGAAUGGUCUAAUUACCAUUUAAGUCCAGUCACAUUUAAUUUUUGUAGCCAUUUGACCCUUUUUACUAAUAGAACUCCAUUUUUUCACCUUUUAUGAUUUAGUCCUUUUCACUUAAUUAAGCAUGCAAACAUUGAAAUUUAUUGACAAAAAUUUUAUACAACCUUACUAACAUUCCAUAAACAUUAAAAAUAAUUAUAAAAUAAUAAUUUACUUGUCGAAUUUGUGGUCUCAAAACCACUGUUCUGAUUUCACUAGGAACGGGCUGUUACAAAGAUAGUCAUUAAUAAAUGUUGUCUUGAUAUCCAUUUGCUAGAUCUCGUAAUCAAGAGCAGCGGCAAUGGAUAAGAGUAUGUGAAUAGAAUUGAAAAUGGCUACCAGAGAGAAUGUCUCAUCGUAAUCGAUGCCUUCUUGCUAUGUGUAGUAUUUCCCUACAAGUCUAGCUUUAUGUGUUUCCACUUCCCCUUCCGCAUUUCUCUUCUUCUUGUAGAUUUGCUUACACCCUAGAAGUUUUAAUCCCAACCAGUAAGUCUACAAGUUCCCACACCAUAUUGGAUUUCAUAGAAUCCAUCUCGACAUCCAUGGUUGUUUUUAGAUAUUGAAAUCAAUGUUCUGCAUAGCCUCAUCGUAAGUGAGUAGAUCAUUAUCCUCAUGAUUGACUUCUAUAUUAUAAAUACUACCAUCAUAGGUGAAGAAGUCUAAUUUCUUAAAAGUUCUCCAACUACGACGGAUUCCCCUAUGUUGUUGAUUGUUUGCAGGUCGUUCUACAACUAUCUCGAGAAUUAAACUUUGUUAUUGUUCUACAACUCCUCGAGUACCACUUUACUUCGAGCCUUAAAGUUAUCCAUGUAGCUUUCUUCGAGGAAAAUAGCAUGAGUAGAAACUUUGAUCGUAUUAUCAUUUAGAUUGUAUAAUAAUUCACCCUUUGCUCAUUCUGGAUAUCUUAUAAACAUGCACAAUUCUUUCCGUGCAUCCAACUUCUCUGCAUCCUUAUCCAAAACGUGUGCUGGACAACCCUAUAUUCUAAAGUGAUUUAGAACUGAUUUCUUUUCAUGCCACAGUUUAUAAGGUGUCUUACAAGCAGACUUGGUUGGCACAUCAUUCAGACUAUAGCAAAUUAUUUAUAUCGCAUAUCCUUAGAAGGGAGUAAGGAGUUUUGAAUAGCUUAACAUUGAACGAACCAUGUUAAGCAAUGUUCUAUUCCUUCUCUCAGCUACACCAUUAUCCUGUGGAGUGCUUGACGUAGUCAACUGGGAUAAAAUCUCAUUCUCUAUGAGGUAUUCUAAGAACUCGUCAGACAAGUAUUCCCCACCUCGGUCAGAUUUAAGAUUCUUUAUGGAUAAACCUAAUUGCUUUUCCACUUUUGCACGAAACUCUCGAAAUUUAUCAAAUGCUUCACUUUUGUGGUUCAUUAGAUACACAUAUCCAUAUUGAGAAUAGUCUUAAAUGAAAGUCAAGUAAUAAUCAUAACUUCCUCAGGCACUGAUGCUCAUGGGACCACAUACAUUAGUGUGCACAAGUUCUAAAGGUUGGUUGGCCCUUGUACCUUUCGCAUUAGAAAACUACUUAGUCAUUUUUACCUUCCAAUCAAGAUUCACAUUGUGGAAGACUAACUUCCUUAAGCAUACUUAAGGGACCAUCUUUCAUGAUUCUAGUGAUUCUUUCUUGGUUAAUAUGACCAAAUCUUAAGUGGCAUAGGUAUCCCUCAUUAGAGUAAGACGUUUUAAGAUUUUAUUUUCCAUCCAUCCAUUACAAAUUAAAGAACAAUUUUUGUGAAUAAUAAUCCCUUUAUUAAAUGUCACUGUAUAACUUUCGUAAAAUAAACAUGCUACAAAUAAUAAAUUCCUCUUAAAAUAAGAUACAUAAAAUAUGUUUUUUAAAAUAAUCUUCCUAAAAUUAUCAAAAUGUAAAAUAACUUCUCUCACUACUUCAACUGAAACAUAGCUCCCAUCUCCAAUCUGCAAUGAGAGGCUCUUGUCACGUAAACAUCUCAUUUCACUGAACUCCCGUAAAGAAGCACAUACAUGGUUAAUGGCUCUAAAAUCAAUAAAUCAGUUGUCUAUUGAUUCUUCCCUUAAGCAAGUUUCAACCACAAAGAGUUCCAUACAUUUGCCAUUUUCGGCUAGGUAAAUCAAAUACUCUUUACAGUUUGCUUUGAAAUGCCCCGUAACACCCAUAUCCCGUCUCUGUUGCCGGAUUAUGGAUUGGAGUGUUAUAGAACCAAACCAAAACAAUUUAUCUUAAUUCCAUAACAAGUAUUCAAUGAAUUUAAAAACACAUAUCAUAUUAUAUCAUAUCAAUACAGAUCAUAUCAUAUAAUAAAUAUGCACAUGGGCCUUUUUUCGGGUUUACAAGGCCUUAAAAUUAGAUUAAAAAUAAUCAUAGAUCAAAUUGAGACAAAUUAUAAAUUUUUGAGAUAAACAUGAAAAUUUGAUAUGCAGGGGUCACAUGGCCAUGUGUCCAGACUGUGUGACAUAGCCCAAACUGUGUGGGAAUUCGAGGUUGGGACACACGGCCGUGUCCCAGCCUGUGUCUCUAUCUGUGUAACUCACUGACUUUGAUCACACGGUCAUGUCAUAGACCGUGUGUCAGGCCAUGUAACUCUCUAACUAAAUACACACGACCGUGUGCCAGAUCGUGUAUGGCACAUGGCCGUGUGGCAGCUCGUGUGCACCAAAAUGAACAUUAAACAUCAAGUUUACCAAAUCAUGCUUACUUGAACACUAAACAAUCCAAUUACUAGCCAUAACCUAUUCAAAACACAAUUAAACAUGCUCAAAACAUGCCAAAACAAUCAUCUUAAGUGCCUAACCAAUGUACCCUCUUUAGUACCACAUUUUAUAUUUUCUAAUAUAUUAAUAAAACAUUAAACUAAAAUAUAUACCAAAACAUUUAGAUAGGCUAACCUACCAAAACAUAGUCUCAAAAAUAAUGAAAAGACCUCCCUAUAUAUGUCAUUACAAAAUAAAGCAUCACACCAGAACUCUAAACCACAUCAUUCAACAAUUACAGAUCAAUGUAUUCAUCUAUGCAUUACAUAUAUAUACACCUGUUCCAUCAUUACAAAAUGUACUCUAGUAAAACACAGAUCUCACUCAUUAACUAAAUCUAUCAACAUUCUCAAAACUCAUAUAUUCAUCAAUAUAUACAUGCCACUACCCAAUUAAGAUGCAAAAGUACCGACUUAGAUGUGAGCUAGUUGAUUGAUCAUUCCAAAAAGUCAGCAACGAUUAUCUACAACACUUUCGAUUUAAUCACAGGGAUCUAUUCUAUAAUUUUCCUUUUUCCUCGAUUUAAGUCUUUCUGUCCCGGUUCUUGAUAUGCAAGCAAUGGAAAUGGCCAAACCUAACUUUAAAAGAAAUGGCUUUCUUCUCUUCUCAAAUUCAGCUAAGGAUGGUGGAAGAUGACAAUGUUUCUUUUCUUAUUAUUUUACUUUAGUUUUGUUUUAUUAUAUUACCAUUUUACCCUUAGAAUUAAGCUUAUAAUUUAACAACUAAAAAGGCCCUUAACUGUCUAUCCAAAAUCACAUGGACUAAUUACUUUAUAAGUCCUCUUUUAUUUGAUAGUUAAGCUAUCAAAUCAUUAUAAUUCAAUUAUGUCUAGAUUUUGAACAUUUUACAACUUAAUCAUUUUUCUUAAUUUAACUAAGUAAACAUUAAAAUUCUUUCACUGAAACUUAAUACGACCCUAAUGUAACUCCACAACAUUGAAUAAACCAUAAAACACAACUUCAUAUAUCGAUAUUUGUGGUCCCGAAACCACUAUUCCAUUACCACUAAACAACGGGAUAUUACAUGCCCUUUUCUAUUGCAGAAGAAACAUUAGAUCUUUUUAGGAUAUUUUGACUUCUUAGCCUUCUUCCUAUCCAUACGAGGUGGAAUCGAAGACUUAGUAGGUUUAUUCUUUCUUUUAGCUUUUUGCUUUCAUUUAGAGGAUGAAAGACCCACUGCUAAGUUUGCCUCAGGUUUCUCCUGAACUGACUUUCCACCAUUCAACAUCAACUAAUAGGAUGGUAAUUCCUUCAUGAGCUGAGUCAAGGUAAGCGCCUUGUUCCUUAAGUUAUAAGCAACCCUAAAACCAGCAAACUCCUUAGUUAAGGAUUUGAACACUAUUUCAAUCUGAGUGUUCACGUCUAGUUCAACCCCAUUGUCUUCCGCUUCCGCAAAGAUUCCCAUAAGCUUAAGCAUAUGUUUUUUGACUAGAGUGCUGGAUUUUUGUUGAGAGUUCAUCAUAUUUGUAAUAGCGGAUUCUCGAGCUAAUGCGACUUUGCCUCGGAGCAAAUCCUCCAAUUUUUUCAUAAUCUUUUUAGUAGUACGAAAAUUCUCAUGUUACUUUUGUAACACAUUACUCAUGCUUGUUAACACAUAACAUCGAGCAAACGAGUCAGAAUCUCUCCAACGAUUUCUCGCUUUGGGCUAAGCUUUAAAAGGGUACAUUUCGUCAAGAACGAAUUUGUGUUUCUCACAGCUAAGAACUAUUAGCAAGUUUCGUUUCUAUUCUCGAAAGUUAUCCCUAUCCAAUUUAUUUUUAGUAAGAAUGCUAAUAAGAGGAGUAAGAGACAUAUUUGAACUGAAAAAUAAAGAUUCACUAAUUACUAUCUUUGUAUUAAGCAAAUAUUUUCAUUUCAGAAACAUAUCAAGAAUGCAAUAUGAUGCAUGCGUCUUGUAUUAAAACCUUGAAAAACCAUUUUUCUGUUGCUACGAUCAUUCUCAUACCCAUCAACCAUGUCAUCUUGGGGUCCCAUGAUUAACUAGAAAGAAUACGAAUUACAUCCAUUUAGUUCGUGAAUCUUAAUUCUCAAGACUCCACACGAACCAAUGACCAUUUUUUUGGAUCGCCGGCACCCCUACGGUGCAGCACCCUAACCAUGGAUCCAUGUGUGAAGAACAAAUCGGGGUGAAAAGAUUACGAAAUUACCUAAUAUUUCGAUUGAGAAGACAGUAACUUCUCAACAAUGUGUAGUCUGAUCUACAGUCAAACCAAGUCACAAUCUAUUGAGACUCUGACCUCUACGUAAUCCACCCAGUUGACUACGAACGGAAGAAAAUUCCCAAAACAGUUUUGAGAGUUGUAUUUCUUUGACGGCUGCUAGACCUUAAAAAUAAUGAAAAACGGGAUUCUAAUAUAUCCCUUUUAUUUUUAGGGUUUUUUAGGAAUUAAAUAAAUAAAAUAAUAUUUUAAACCGAAAAUUAUAAUUACAUUAAUUAUAAUAUAAUUUCGGUAAACCAUAUAUUUAUUUAAAUUCAUAUGCUAAUCAAAUUCAUGUCCUCAUUAUGCGUACAACAACCUUGUACAUAAUGUGUUGGAGAUUUGAUUACUGAAUUAAAUUAAUUCUAUAAUUAAUUUAAUUCAAGUGACACCCAAAAAUAAAACCAACUAUGGUUUAUUCCGUUCAUUUCAACUAUAGGGUGUGACCCUGUAGGUUCCUGUAACGUUAGCAGUAAUACUAGAACGAUUCCAAUGUUACAAACAAUGAGUGGCAUCUAGCAAUGCAUCAUUGCUACCUAAGUCACAAGAGAUCAUGAUUCGACAUAACCUUUUAUGAUUAACCUUUUAUGCAAUAACCCUUAAGUCCUUUAUCUCUGGAUUGGACACAAGUCAUGGAAUAGUCACACUUGUAUAGUCCAUUCCAUGUUCCUUGAUAUCUUAAGCAGACUACGAUAUACAAAUAAGUAUGACAUCUCAUAUCAACUUAUUUGAGCAUGGCCAUGCAUUUCUAGUUUCACUUAAUCAAGUGGCCUAAGAUAUUACUCCCAUUAUGUAGGAGGGACUUAUUCUAUAUUGACCAACCAUAUCCCUCUACAUCGAUUGUGAUAUAUCCAACAUCAGCCUUUAUAGAACAACUAGUUACGGUGUACGUUUAACUGUAUCAAAAUAUACUACUCACGAUGUUGGGAUUAUGAUGAUCUCAAGUCUGAGGAUCAUAUACAUAUUAAUCACUAUGAGUAAUGUCGUGACAAUUACAUAAUAAUCCAAGAGACAUACUCAUAAUGGGUCAGUCCAAUAUGUUGUUCUCUAACACACAUAUUCAUGCAUCGAUUCUGACAUUCCAUAUCAAUGACAACUCUUUAUCAUCAAUCAACUACAUGUUAGUCUUAAUGCAUUAUCAUUGUCCUAUCCAACAAUAAUACUUGACUAAGGAUCUUUUAAGAAUAAUCAUAUUAUUCUUAGGACAUUAUUAUAAAACAGCUUAUUUAUACACACAGAAAAGAAACUUAAAUAAUAAUGGUAACGCCUUAUAUUAAUAAACAUGAUAAAUCAAGUAUGUUAUUACAACCAUCUCAUGAUUGGUCUUUGGGCAUACUCUAACACAUUUAACGUUUGGUCAUCAUCUCUAGCUUAAAUAUAAUUUUUGGGGAAACUAUUUAAUAAGAGAAUAUCUUGAGUGUGUAACCAUUGUCUCAACAUCCAUCAUGAACACACUUUCAUUUGUGAGUCAUCUUGGGACAAUCUCAUAGAGAGUCAUGCAUGACUAGUUUUCCUGAAAAGGAAAUCUCAUCCAGUGAAUUCACAUGAUAAAAUUUACAUUGGGGUGCGGCCAAGGUAGGAACCAACUCAAAAUUUUAUCAUGCUAUCACUUAGGGACCAUUAAUGGAGGUCAUAGGUCUUGUUCAAGAACUUUCUCCCACUCAAUAUUUUAAAAUAGCAUGCAAGGUUUUUUAUCCCAUAUGUCAAGAAUGAUCAUGCAAUAGUCCUAGUGGCAUUUUUACCUAAUCUAUAUGUCAUGCUUCCAAUAUAUGCAUGGUAUGCUAUAAAAAUUUUAUAAUAUUUACAUUCUUUUAUCACAAGAAUCAAUUAACCAAAAAACAAACAAUUUUGAUUCUCCACAGUUUUUGUUUUGAGGGAACAACAGGAGAAGUGAAUGUAAACCAUGCACUAGGUAGGGUCCUAGGAAAAAGAGGCGAGUCAAAUUUGACCGCUUAAAAACCAAGUAUUUCUUAGCUAGAAUCAUUCCUAGACAUGCACGUUCUCAUUACCACACUGCUCACAGUAAUCGAAUAACCUAAAGAAGUGACUAGAACAAUACAACACAAGUAUUUUCUCAUUAUCACACUUCUUAUUUUGUAUUCGAUCAACUACAGAUCAUCUCAUAUAUAUAUCACAAUUAUAACAUUACAUAAUAUAAAUAUUAGAAACAAUUAUAAAACAGUGUCCAUUAAUGUUUCUAUGGUUCUAUUUCCAGAAUAAAUGAAAAAAAAUAAAAUUACAUAAUUUUUCACCACAAGGCAUUCCUUGGGCCUUCAACUGGCAUCGCUCCAUCUUCUCCUCAUUAUGGACUUCUUUUGAAAAAAUUACAUUUAAGUCCUAUAUCUGUUUUCGGCUCACAAGAAUUCUAUGAACUAAAGAAAAAUUCUUAUGUGGAGAUGAUAGUCAACAGUCUAUUUCCUAAGAACCACAACCUUGGAAAACAAAAUUAUAUAACAAAUAUAUAAUAUUGCAUCCAUUCCCAUAUACAACUCAAAACAUGCAUAAGAUCUAAAGAAUAUCACUUUAUAUGUAAUCAAAUCAUUCAAGAAGAAGAGAAAUUUAUAUUGAUUAUCUGCUUAUACUUACAGAUAAAACACAACCUGACUCUAAUACCAAUUGUUGGAAAAUCGAGUUUAGAAAAUGCAAUGGAAAAUAAAUUUAGGGAAAAAUUAGUUUUAAAAAAAAACUCCAAAAAAGAACUUGGUUGUGAUAUCUACAGUAAUAAACACUUAAUCAAAAUUGUAUCUUUUCGAUUCGUCUAGGAUGAACGCUUCGACAUAGUAGUCUUCUCUGUUAUCCUCAAGCUCACGUUUUCCGAGUGUGGUCUUGCUUCGAAUCAAAAAUUUUUUCACAAAAGUACCAGUAGGAUAAUUUUUCAAUUUCUCUAAACUUUUGGGAUAAGUUGUAAAUAAAAAAUAUGUUUAGAAAUUUUCUUAAAUAAUUUCUUUAUAGAAUUUUCUCUCUACAACUUUCUCUUGAAUUCAAGUGUGUGAAAAUAAUGACCCAAGACUCUCUUUAUAUAAGGAGAGUUUAGAGAGUUCAACUAUGAUUAAACUUAAUCACUUUAAUAUUAAAUUUAACCUAAUAUUUAAUCAAGAUAAAUAUUAGUCUAAAUUUAAUAUUAAAUCUUAUUAAAUUAAUAGAAUAUUUAUCUACAAUAUAAACAUUAAAUUAAAUUUAAUAUUAAGAUAAUAACUUUAAUAUUAAAUUAAUAAAAUACUAUUAAUAAGUAUUACAUUAAAUUUAAUAUUAAAUAUAUUAAAAUAAUAUUAUUUCUGGAAUAGUUAAUCUGAAAUCAAAUUCUCUAGUAGAAUCCCAAUAGGAGUAUAAUUCUUCCACUACUCAACCACCGAAGAGAACCACCGUCGUUGACCAUAUUCCUACCACUGGAAUGUUGUCGUCAUAGCUGUCGAUGCCUCGAGUUGGUUCGAUUUCUAGCGGUUCGGUCCGAGCCAAUGAUAGCCAGAUCGGUCCGGUCCAAGCAGUUUUCACAUCCAAGCCCGGUUCGACUAGUUUUUGGGUCUUGGUCUUGAUUUUGGUCUCCCGAGCCCAAUUUACGAUAUCAGGUCCAAUUUUCAAGUUCAAUUACCCAUUGGUCCAACUGUUUGAGUUGAAAAUUAAUUUCUAAAAAUAUCAUAUUAAUUUUAUUAAUUUAAUUUUACUUGAUCAAAAUAAAUUUUUCCAAAAAUGAUUUAGAUUUUCCAAAUUAAUUUUGCAAGAAAAUUCUUUAAUCAAAUUCUUUAGUUGAACAAUUCUUACAACCGCCCAAUUUAUUUCAACAUCGAAUAAAUUGACUCAAUUAAAUUAUUUAUAAAGUCGUAAAAUUUACUUCUAAUUCAAAUGCAGUCCAGUUGAGCUUUUGUUGAGCUAGCAAACGGACCAAUCAAACAUAUACAAUUAGGAUUUAUUAAUUGUAAUUAUGUCCAGAAGCACCGUUCUGAUAAUUCACAAUUACAUAAUCAUGGAGCCAGUCCACAAUAAGUACUAUGAUUGAAAACUCAUUAUUGUAUACUCUUUACGAAAGUAAUUCAUCCAACUGUUUUGCCCAAUGACCUCAUCAUGUUUGCCUCAUAUGAUAUCCUUGAUUCCUUUGAGUUGAUGUGUUCUCGGGUUUGCUAAAUAGGCUGAAACCUAAGCUGCCAUUUCCAUCCUAUUUGGGACUAUGACGCAGGCUAAAGCUAAAGGAUUCAAAUAAGUAUUUGUGGGCUCUUAAGGCCCUAACCAUCCACUUUAUUUAUUUAAUUAAUUCCACAAUUUAUAAUUUUAAUUUUAUUUAAUAUGUGUCAUGAUUGUGUCGUUGUUAUUACAUUGUUUUAAAUAGAGUCUUAAGAAUGUCUAGUUUGCUACAUGUUUAAUGUGUCUUAAAAUAUGUUAUGGUGUCAUUAUUAUGUUCCAUUUUAUUACAACAUUGUUAUUAUGUUUAUUGUGUCCUAAUGGUGUGUUUAACGUGCCCUAGGGAAAUCUAAUGGCCUUCUUAAGAAGCUAAGGGAUUUUUCGCUUGGCUAAAAGAGAUCAAGCGCGUUCACACCUGUUCAAUUCAGCUUGAAAAGUGACCAUUCAACCAACAAGUGCUUCAUUAAGUGCCACUAUCCAAAUGAGGGCUGAACAUGGUUGUUGGAAACUUUUCUAGAAAAUGUCUAUUGGGUUUUUCCAUGCCUCAUAAAGCCGCCGUCCACCAAGGGGGAAGUAUAAGCCUUUUGAAGAAUUGCUUAGCCAUUUAGCAUGCUUGAAUUCUUCCCCAAUGUAAUUAAUGGCAACCUCUAUAUUCAAUGCUAAGAUGCAUGGACGACUAAGGUUAUGUACUUGAGUUUAAAGUAACAUUUCAUAUCUUUCACAUUAAGACCGAAUGUGGCCAUUAGCAUACCUAAGCUUAUAAAGAUUUUAGUCAUGUUAUUUUGUAAGGUUAGACAUCUUUGAAUCAAUAUUGUGAGAUUAUUCUCUUGUUCCUUAAGAACUUAUUUCUAACUUAUCAAGAAUUCAUUCUUGUGGCAUUCUCCCAUUUUUUAUCUUAUCACACCCCUUCUUAUCUUUCCGGAGUGUGGCAGUCAACCCUAUACCUUUGGUUCUUAUCUCUAUAUAGAUAGAGGGUCAAGGUUCUUCUUUUUUUCUAAGCUUCUUGAGUUUUAAACAACCAUAUAGAAAUCGGGUUGUGUUAUUUUAUAACGUUGGUUCAUUUUUGUUCAUUUUAAGUUCGUGAGUUAUAUCUUGUCAAGAACGAAUGGGAACUUAAUAAUCAUGACUCGUGAUUUCAAUACGUAACAAGGUUCAUGUCAUGAGUUAAAUCCGUUCACUCAAUAAAAUCCUAUUUUAUCCCAUUGUCACCAUUGUGUCUUUUUAAUGAUUAACAUGAUCACUGUUAACAAAUGGCUGUGAUAAAUUGCUCGUUCGAGAACAAGUAACCGUGGUCACGUUCCAUGUUUAUUAAUCCACACAACACCAAUGAGAGGAUAUCGUUAACUCUUUAAUUGAGCUAUAAAUUCCAUUAUUGCUAAUAAAGUCAUGCCAUACACAAGUCAUGUACCCAACAUACCAACUAACGGAUCGAUCAUCUUUACAACAUAAGCCUCCACUUAUAUCAAAGCACAUGAGUUACAUAUGCAUGGUCAUUGACUAACUCAAGAUUUUGUUAAAUCACACCAUAAAUGUCACAAGUGAAUUAAUUCAUCUUGGGUCCAAUCCAAUGUAUCAUUCUACCAAUGAAUACAUCUAUGUCUCUACUCGUGGAGUAAAUUGCUCUGAUAACCAGGACUAGUCAUCACCUCUAUUGGAAUUGUAGACGACAUAAUAAUCCUUCUCAGUAUUUGAAUCAAAUGCUCACUUUGAUUCUUUUAUGGGAUUACAGACUCUUUUAUAUUAUCUACUAAAGUAAGUUGUCUUUCUCGCCACGUAAACAUUUUUAUAAUUCAACUUAUAAUCAAUUUGAACUUAGAUAAUCAAUAAGUUAAUAUUUGUUUGUCACAAAUUCACUAUGCAUGCAAAAUAUGAAAGACAGAAAUACACAAGACAUAAUAGUAAAAUGUGAACUUUAUUUAUUCACCGUUCAAAUACAUAAAAAAUAAUUACAUGUUUACUACAAUAUGAGCACAUUUCCUAACACAACCAAGAAGGAAUUUGGCUCACGACCGUCGAACACCCGGAUGUGGCACACAUUUUGACACGGGAUAAUAGUUGAUUUACUUUAUUAUUGUACUUAUCAUGUUAACAUUUCAAUAAAUAUCAAACAUGUUUAUUGCAUCGAUGUCAAACAUCUUUAUUUUUUAAAAUAAAAAUAAUUGUUUCAUUAAAGUUGGCCUUUGUUAUAAAUUAUUAAUUUGUAUUGUAUAGCAAAAAUGUUUUUUUUUUGCAAAGUACAAUAAGUUGAUUACAAUAAACAAUUUAAUAGGUCUAUUCAUGAGGUGUUGUAAUUGUACCAUCCCUUCGGUGUGGACAUGAUGACAUUGUAUGCCUCGGAUGCCUUCACCACCCACAUAACGUUGGUUGGUGUGGCUUCUCUUGGAUAUCGAUGUUAUCGCAUAUCCAAGUGGACGUCGGUCGACCUUUUGGUUUGUGACAAAAUAAUCUAUCGGGUAACAACUUGAAUAGAGCGUUAGAUACAGAUGGCCACUUGCGUUCAUUAGGGACCUAUGGGAAUACAUUUCUCCACACGUUGUACAUGUUUACCUGUUUGUAGACUUCAUCCACAAAGCUUAUUAGAUCCAAACGUAGACUGCUACAUGCUACAAUUACAUGAGCACAUGGAAAUCGAAGUGCGUCAAAUCUCCCACAGUCACAGGUUCAAUAUCUGAGGUGUACAUGGUACGCUCCCCCAACAAUCUUUUGGUUGGGUCUUUCGAAUUCUAUUACCCAAAACCAUAAGUCUUCACGCGAGUGACACACUAGAUGCAUACAAUUCACUCGUGUUGUUGCCUUCCUAAUUUCUUUUAGUAUGUCCUCGCUCCAAACAUGGUCGCCCUGUAUCUGCCCAACAUAAUUCGCCGCUCGCUUUGGAAAAAUUUCAGCCAAACGGAAGUAUGUCACUUUGAUAACCGAGGUUACCAACAAAUGAUACGUUCUCUUCAAAGCAGAAUUGAUGCAUUCUGCCAGGUUUUUUGUCAUGUGCCCAAACCAUAGACCCUCAUCAUAGGAUUGUGUCCAUUGUUCAAAGGGUAUGUUACCGAGGUAGUCCGCCCCGUCAUCAUUAAUGGCCUGUAAGUUUCUCAGCAUUUCACAGAAACAGUCUUUGAAGAACUCAUACCCUAUCAACAAAAGUGAAUAAUAGUUUAUCCAUAAUGCCCAACAUUUUCUCACUGGUUAAAUAUCAAAGAAUAAUUAAUAGUAGCAAUUAUAUACCCAUGUUGAUCACUUGUGCUCAUGAGCAGUAGAGUCGUAUUAUCUAUGGUAAAUCGAUGAACAUGCCUUAGACAAUACCUAUGGUAUGUGUGGUCCCAAAGGCUUCCCUGUCGUCCAAAUAUGGCUAGAAUUUUAGGCCCUCAAUUUGAGAUGAUGCAAAUAUCGAGUUGGGGGAAAACAUGCCUCAUCAACUUAGAAAGGAAGAAUUCCAAUCAUCUGUUGGCUCUCCAAGCAUGAUUGCAAAGGCAAUCGGUAGGAUUUUUCAAUUAUCGUACUGUGCCACACCCAACAACAACCAAUGGGUAUAUCUCUCGUACAUAAAAGUACCUUCGUUUGUACAAGUGGCUUACAGUAUUGGAAUGCCUCUCGACAUUGCAUGAAAGUCCAAAACAAAUGUUUGAACACUCGGGAUCCAUGGAGCAACCGAUUGUUGUAGUACGCAACCUGAUACGUACAUCUUCAAGACCUGACACCACUGCCAUAUCUCAUUAUACGACGUAUUCCACCCACUAUGCCUUCUCCAAUGUCUUCUGCUUUACGAUCCACGCCUUGCAGUACGAAGACGUGUAAUCGAACUGGCUACAAAAAUUUACAAUUAGAACUAGCACAACAAUUUUAGGACUCGCUUUGACUACAGAGUAUUAUAUCUGCGAUCAUCUUUGAAUCCAAUUUUGAAUGGUCCCGUGAAAUACUUGUAACAACACGAGUACGUUAAGAUUAUCAAUUCAAUCGUGUCAUACACUAAACCAGUAUUAGUGCAGUAUCCGUGACAACACACGUAAACAGAGCGACAAAUUUCUCUAUCGUUCAUAACCCCGUUUUUCUCUUAACAGAUAUCAUGAUUUUCCAUGCAUAUCUGCUGUCUCGCAUUGCGCACUUCACCUUGAACUUGUCAGAUCGGGAUUUAACCACAUAGAAGUUUACCCCAUUUUUAAUUUUGUAUCGCUUCACUGUAACGAUAAAACCAUCUUCAGUUGAGAACUCUUUCCCCACUUCUAAAUCACCCGAAUCCAUCGAAGAAAUCGUUUGGCCCGACCUUCUAGGUGGUAAUUCUGCAAACUCCAUUCCAUCAUCUAUAAAUAGGUCCACAUUAUGCAUGUAGACUGGAGGUGAGUACGCCGUGAACCAUGGAUCUUUUUCAGCAUCAUUACUGAGACAUUUACCAUUUGAACCCUCUAUCUUUUAGUUCAGUUGGAAUCAGUUCUAAUUCAGAAAAUAAUGCAUUUUCUGAACCAUCAGCACCAACAUCUUCCGUGUCAUUCCCUUGUAAGUGUUCCUAGCAUUGAACACUAGCUAACUGAAGUUUAAAUCAGAACCACUAACUAAGUGUUGUGCAGGGGUCCUACCACAAAACCCCGAUUGAUCGGUGUUCUGACUGCUGUAGUUGAAAACUAGUGCUGAAACAGAUGGAUGUCUUCCCAUUUAUGAUUCUGGAUAUCAUAAUGGAAAUUUUCUAAUUGAGAGGUGAACCCACCACACAACUGUGUCGUUGGACUCUCAACUUGUUCUUCCAUUCUAGCCUCUCGAAUAGGAACAUAUGUCGACCUCCGAGGACCUUAUAUGUCCUUGUAAACUCCACAUAUAACUCGAAAAAUGGUGAUCCAAUUCCAAUAUGCGUCUGCACUAUCGCCUCUAACCCCCUCGCACCUUUGAUUUUGAAAGCGUCAUAUCUGAUAGGGUCGACUGAAGCACAAAAUUGAUAUUUAAGGGACAAUACUCUAAUCUGGUUGGAUCUGAUAAUUUUUUGCCUAAUUCUUUUCCAAAGUUAUGGCAAUUCUAUGUUCUAGUUAAAAGCUAACCGCGUUGUGUUCUCUGAUAAAAAAUGACACCAUUUUCGGUGUCAUGCACUUCACCAUCGUAGUAAACAAAAGCAUUCAUUCGUCCACUCAUUUUUAGAUCUAGAUAACCUAUUCCACAUGUUCGACACAAAAUUAUCAUGUAGAGAAAUAGUGUUGUAAUUAAAUAUGAACAACAAAAAUCAAUGCUACUUUAUAUAAUUGCUCCAACUUAUGCCUUAUAUGUGAACUUCUCCUCUUAUGAUCUUCUUACAAUUUUUCUUUACUCGUAAAUGGAUUAUGCCACUCGAUGUUGAAUUAAUUUGGUUUUAUAAACUAGAGGCGACUUGCAGUUGGUUCAGAAAAUUCUCCAGGCCUAGUGGGGAGUUAAAAAUUGUAAAGAGAAAACGCUCCAAGUAGGAUGCACUGUCUGAAAACACUUUCAAGUGGGCACACUUUCAAUGUUUCUAAUGAUAGUGUUGUUAGAGUAUGCCCAAAGACCAAUCAUGAUAUGAUUGCAAUAACUUACUUAUUUUACCUCGUUUAUUAAUAUAAGGCAUUGUCAUUAUUAUUUCAGUUUUUUCUAUGUAUAUAAAUAAACUAUUUUAGAUAAUAAUAUCUUAAGAAUAAUAUGAUUAUUCUUAGAAGGUCCUUAGUCGAGUAUUAUUGUGAGCUUGGACAACAAUAAUGCAUUAAGACUAACGUGUAGUUUAUUAAUGACAAAGUGUUUUCAUUGACAUGGCAUGUCAAAAUCAAUACAUGAGUAUAUGUGUGAACAACAUAUUGGACUAACCCGCUAUGAGUAUGUUUCUUGGAUUAUUAUGUAAUAGUCACAACGUUACUCAUAGUGAUUACUAUGUAUACGAUCCUCAAACUUAAAAUCAUCAUUAUCUUAACAUCAUGAGUCGUAUAUUUUGAUACAAUCAAACAUUCACCGUAACUGGUUGUUCUAUAAAGGCUGAUGUUGGAUAUACUACAAUCUAUGUAGUGGGAUAUGGUUGAUCAAUAUAAGAUUUGCCCUUCCUACAUAAUGGGAGCAAUAUCUUAGGCUACUUGAUUGAAUGAGACUAGAAAUGCAUGACCAUGCUCGAAUAAGUUGAUAUGAGAUAUCAUACUUAUUUGUUUAUCAUAGUCUACUCAGGAUAUCAAGAAACAUUCGAUAGACUAUGCAAGUGUGACUAUUCCAUAACUUGUGUCCAUUCUAGAUAGAAAGAACAAAAGGAUUAAUACAUGAAGGGUUAAUCACAGAGAGGUUAUGUUGAAUCAUGACUUCUUAUAACUUAGGUAGCAAUGAUGCAUUGCUAGAUGCCACUCAUUAUUUGUAAUAUUAGAAUCGUUCUAGUAUUACUGCUAACACUACAAGAACAUACAAGGUCACACUCUAUGGUUAAAACGAACGGAAUCCAAACAUAGUUGGUAAUAUUUUUAGCUGUCACAUGAAUUAAAUUGAUUAUAGAAUUAAUUUAAUUGAGCAUUUAAAUAUCGAACAAAUUAUAUGUACAAGCAUGUUGUACACAUAAUGAGAACAUGAUUAAAUUAAUAUAAAUGAAUUUGAUUUGUAUAAAAUUUAACUAAACAUAAUUUAUCGAAAUCAUUGUUAUAAUUGUUGUAAUUAUAAUUUACGAUCGAAUAUUAUUAUAAUUAUUGUAAUUAUAAUUUUUCGAUCAAACAUUAUUAUAAUUGUGGUAAUUAUAAUUAUUACAUUCGGUUAAUUAUUAUAAUGAAUUUUGAUUCAUAUUAAAAAUAUCAACUAUUCCCAGAUUAGGAAAUAUAGGGUUUUUAAGAAAACCUAAUAUACUUGAAAUAAAAAGAGUGAGGUCUUGCAGCCAUUCUAUAGUGAAUUCUCUCUGAAAAUUUUAAGAGAGUUCUUGUCGUUCGUUGCGACACCAGGUGGAUUAUGUAGAGACCGAAACUUUUUGUAGCGGCUUGGAAUCGACAUACAAUUGCGUAAUCAAUUUCACAACAAUUAUCUGUAGUUUUUCAGACGAUUAAAAGUAAUCGUUCAUACCCUUCUCACCCCGAUUCGUUUCUCGCACAUGGAUCCCUGGAUGUGAUCGCCAAAUUUAAUUUUUUUCGGUUGCACCAUGGGGUGUACUAGUGUUCUUACAAGUGCGUCCUACUUGGAGUGUUUUCUCUCUAUAAAUUUCAACCCCAGCCUUAUUCCAAGAAACUCAUCAUAUAUCCCAGGAUUCCUGAGAUAUAUUUUCUAAACUUAACUAUUUGAAAAUAAUAGAUAAGAGAAUAAACAAUUUACUAAAAAAUUGGAUCAAACAAAUAUUAAGAAAGCGAAAAAAUUAAUAACUAAUAUUUCAUCCCUCGCGAGUAGACCAGGUUUCGAUUAUGAAUCCAAUUCAAUUUUCCAAUUUGAAUAUACGAUUGGUGUAAAUACGAUGUUUUAAAUUUUGAAAUAAAUAGUUAUUAUUUAACAUCUCAAAAAAUUAUUACAAAAUAAAUAAUUAAAAAACUCAAAAAAAAAUUAUUAAACCCUAAACUCAAAAAACCUUACUUUAUAUACCCAAAACCCUAACCCUAAAAACUAAUAACCCUAAUUUUAAAAAGGUCUGGCAUUGGAAAAAUCAAAGGAAAAGUGUUUCUAGUUAGAAGUGUUUUCAGUUGACUUGGCAGAAAGUGCUUCCAACUGGAAACGUUUUUCAGGCAACACGUUGAAAAUGCUUCCAACUGGAAGUGUUUUCCAAAAAAUGGUCUAUUCCCGUAAUUUUUACUAAAAUCGGCCUAUUCACAUAAUUUUUUUGACAUUUAUUGGUAAGUUAGUCCAAUUAAAAUAAUUUUAAUUCUUGAAUUAAAAUAAGUUGAAUUUAGAAAGAAAAAGAAAGUCUACCUUGUAGCAUGUCUGUUUGGUUUUCUCUCUGUCUGCUUGUAAAAUGGUGGAAGAAAUGGUGAAUCUCAAUAUAGCAGAAGAUAAGAAAGAGCCGGUGCAAGCUUUGGGGGAUAAAGAUGUGGUAGAAGAGUAUUAUAGCCUAUGUUUGGUGGGGCGGGUAUUAACGAAUAGUGUGGUUCAUUUCCCAUUUAUGAGGAAUAUUUUGGUAGAUCUGUGGCAUCUGUUGGGGGGAGUAUCCAGCACGGAUAUUGGGGAAAAGCGAGUCCUGUUUUGAUUUUUCAAUAUGAUAGAUCUGAGGAGGGUGAUGGAUGGAAUGCCCUGGUUUUUUAACAUACACCUAAUUAUUUUCCAUUAACUAGAGAAGGGGGAAAGAUCCUUUGCAAGUCCCUCUCAUUCAUGCCUUAUUUUGGGUGUAAGCGCAUAAUUUGCCGAUGGGUUUCAUGUUCGAAGGAAUGGCGCGUAGAUUGGAAACUUUAUUCGCCAAUUUCUAGAGUAUGAUGUUGCGUUAAUAACAAGGAGAGUAAGGAAGUUUAUGCGUAUUAGGGUUAAAUUAGAUGUCCUGGUUCCGUUGAAAAGGAAGAAGCGUGUAGUCUUUUAGCAUAAUAGAUCCACAGAUGCACAGUUCCAAUAUGAGAAGAUUACUUUGUUCUAUUUUUUAUGCGGUAGGUUGGGCCACGGGGAAGGAUUUUGUCCUGUUAGAUUAAUGCUAGGAGCACAGGAGGUGGUUUUUGGUUGGGAUAGCUCGUUGUGGGCUUCACCGCAGAGGGCGGUGCCGGUUGCUAGUUGCUGGCUGAGGGAAGAUCCGGGGGAUGGAGUUGGAUAGAGGACAAGAGGGGAGGAAUUUUGGGGAUAUUCAAACUGCUCAAUCUUAUAACAGUGAACAAGCGUUGUUUUAUUAAUGAUAAUUUGAUAACAAUAUUGUUGAAAAUACCAAUUUGUUUAGAGCUACUGAAGUCUCUGUUUCUCCAGGUUUAUGAAAGCAAAUACAUGAAUGGUUACCUUUCCCAGUUGGCAUAAUUCCAGUAGGGGUGAAAGUAGAGUACUUCCUCCUCAAGUUGAACUCCAAACUUGCUGUCAACCUUAUCCUUCACCAAAGCAAUGAGAUUGAGCAUGUCUUGAGAAGUGGAGGCACCAUUAUUAACUAAGAAAUUGGCAUGGAUAUUGGAAACCAUUGCUCCUCCUAUGCUACACCCUUUCAAUCCAGCUUUAUCAAUCAACUCAGCUGCUGAAACACCCAAAUUCACCGGAUUCCGAAACACUGACCCAGCGCUGCGUUCAUUUACUGGUUGAGUUGCUCUUCGCCUGCAAAUAACAAUUGUUUAUCAGUAAGCAAACCUUUUUCAUACACUGGUUUUGACUUUAAAAGACAGGCAACCUCUUCAAAAGCUCUUGUUGCCUUUUCUUAGCUGACCCUGAGCGCUCUAACCGGAACGUAGCAGCCACGAUUGCUGCCAAGUUGUCCAUGUCCUGAAACGAUGAUGAUCGGUAGCCGAAAGUGAGAUCAAUUCUGUUCAGUGUCCGAAAAUUUCCUUCAGUUGUAACAAUGUCUACGCUUUCAAUAACAUUGGCAGUCUCCUUCAAAAACAAAUGAUCCUUUUUAGCUUCUUCAACCACGAAAAGUAACAAAAAUCCAUUAAUGGUUAGGGUUUAAUCUCAAGAUAAGUUGAAGUCUGAACUCGAGUUCCAUUCAAAAUUCGCAACCCAAAAUCCAAAUCGAGUAUGAUGAACUAUUUCAAACUUAUAUAUCAAAUAACUUUUCUCUACCUUCAACUUCAAACUCAAUUAUUUUUGCUCGAGCUUCGAACUCCAAAUUAGAAUACUCCAAUUCUGGAGCUCGACAAUGACCGAACCAAAUUGGAGUUAAGAAUUAGAGACAUACCUGACCAUUUGCUCCAGCAUUCAUGUAAGUUGCACCUCCUACAGUCCCAGGAAUGCCUGCUGCAAACUCAAGACCUGUAAAUCCUUCAUUGCAACUCAGACUUCCCAAGUGAUUAAAUCGAAAACCACUACCAGCCCUAUAAACUCCAGGUUCCAUCCUCUCUAAGAAGUCAAUCUGAUUUAGAAGCACACAACCAUCAAAACCCAGAUCAUCAAACAGACAAUUUGAGCCUUUGCCAAUCACAACGUAUGGAAUGGAAAACUCACGACAAUAUCUGCAUUACGUAUCAGUUGAAAUCUAAAAUGUUGGUCAUUGAAUCAAAGAGCUUUCAGCCUUGUCAAAAGAAUCAAAUUCAAAUAAAUUACCAUUUCUACUUUAUUAAGAUAAGGUUGAAGAUAGCAAGAAGAAUGAAACCUGAUGGCAGAAAGCAGAUGGGUUUGGUGAAAGACUUGAACAAAGUAAUUGCAAGGGCCACCAAUGCCCCAAGUGCUAAGAUCCUUCAAGAGUUUCUUGCCUCUGACGAAUUUCAAGGCAUUCCAAUUCUGGGUUUGCUCUUUGUUACUGGAAAAAAUGGGGGUUGAGUUUCUAGGAGAUUGAACAACGGGGAAGGCCAUGGACGCCAUUUUAGUGAAGGUUGGAGGAGUUGGGAGCAUGAGUGACGGAUUUUGUCGGGAAGUUGAGAACGGGAAAUUUAUUUCCAUCAGGUUCUUGAUGGGCUUUCACUAUCAAAGAUUUAAACACUUCCGUUUAAUGCGUUAUUACGGUAAAAAGUUCUUUCACUCCACUCAAUUUGGGAAAUAGUAACUGAGGGUUAAUUUUAUAUAAUUUUGAUUAAUAAUAUAAUUACAUAUUUUAACAAUUUAAUUUUAAUCCUAAAAAUUUAAUAAAUUUAACAUUUAAUAUAUAAAAAUCAAUAAAAAAAUACAAUUUAAUCUUCAGCACCCAUAGCAAUUCUUCCUCCUAUCUUUGGAUCCUUCCAUCUUAUUUUUGAAUUCUAAAGCUCUAAAUACUUUCACAAAUAAUGUUUCUUUUUUCUUCUUAAUAUCUGAAAAUCGUAAAGAUUCAAGGAAGCUUCUUUAGAUUCACUUUAAGACGGUAAUGUAUUCCAUCGACAUCCAACCUCUUUUGUAAUAAGUCGUUGAUUAUUUUUAUUAUUUUCCUCCAUCGACUAUAUUUUUCUUCUCAUAUUUAGUUCCAAUCAACAUAAUUAAUCUGUUUCCAUUCCCAUAUUAAUUGCUUUUACUUUUCCUUUUUCUUCCCCUUCUUGAGGUUAAGAAAUCCCAUAAAAGUAAUUUUUUUUAAUCAAUUGAGGUGUUUGUCUGGGUUUGGCUUAGUUGCCCAUCUCAACAAAGCAAAAGUUUUGAGAAAUUGGGUUUUGAAUUCUACAUUGGAUGGGUUUUGAGAAAUUGAGGUUCCUCCGUUAGAUAGGUUCAACGCCAUUUAUAUAUGUAAAAAGAAGAGCAUUCAAUAUGGGAAUGGAAAUUGGAAACAUUUUAACUUUACCACCAUCGGAUCAUGCCCAAACUCAAACCAGCAGCACUUUUCUUUUUCCAAAAUUAGAGAGCAAAGGGAAGUGAAAUAAUAUAAUAUGUCUUGAUUACCAACAAUUGCGGAUCUAAACCAUUGCUUCCAGCAUUCACCUCCAAUGGGUCAUUCGUAUCUAACAGGAUUUCGAAUAAAUUGCCUGAAACACAUAGUUGGAAAUUUUGAGUAUUUUUAAAAUAUAUUUUUUUAAAAUUUGAGAAAAUUUGAAAUUUAUAUAUAUUUGAAGUUUAUUUUUUUAUAUAUAUUUUAUUCUCAUAUAGUUUUUCAUUUUAGAAUCAAAACCAAAUUGAUUGAAGGUGUAAAUACUAAGGGUUAAAUUUGAUUUGUUUUAAAAAUUGGAACCAAUUUGACAAAAUAUGAAAAUAUUAAAUGCUAAAAUUGUUAUUAUACCAAUUAAAAUUAUUUAAAGCUGGCAAAAAAAAUGAUCGUCCUUAGUUGCACAAUUUUGAAAUUUUUAGAGAUUAAACUACUUUGUUUUUUUAGAAGAAUCAAUUUAAUCAAUAUCGAAUUUGACAAGGACAGGGGAGGUCUUUCCACCAUGUUAAUUACUAUAAUUUUAAAUUUCUGAUAUUUAAACAAAGAAGGGGAAGAAAUACUGGAUGGCAAUUAAAGUGGAUUUAGAGAAAGCUUACGAUAGAAUUCGGUGGGAUUUCAUUAGUGAUACUUUGUUGGACGUUGGAUUUCCUUCGAAUUUAAACGAGGUGAUUAUGGAGUGUAGUACUUCGGCUUUCAUGCAGAUAUUAUGGAAUGGAAAACCUUCAGUCUAAUUUGUUCCAAGGAGAGGCAUUAGACAAGGAUGUUGUAACAGCCCGUUUUCGAUAAAAUCGGAACAAUGGUUUCGGGACCACAAAUCUAAUUUCGGAAAAAAAUUUAUUAUUAUAUUAUUUUAUAGUCUAUAGUAUGAUAGUAAUGUCAUAUAAAAAUUUCGUAAAGAAAUUUUACCGAUUACAUGUUUAAUUUGAUAAAGUACCAAAUUGCACAAAGUGCAAAAGUUGAGUUCUAAUAGCUAAAGGGAUUAAAUAGCUAUAGAACUUUAAAUUGGAGGUCCUUAUAUGGUAAAUAGACCAUUAAAAAAACUUAGUAAUUAAGAAUGAUGAUUCAUCCAUGGAAAAUAAAAUAAAGAAAAGGAUGAAAUUAGAAAGUGAAAUAAUAAAAGAUAAUAAAUGAUGAAAAGAUAAAAAUAUCAUCAUUUAUAUCAUCUUUCCCAAAUUAAAAGCAUGGAAACCCUAGCACUGGAAACCUAAGCUCAAGCCAACUUAUUUUGCUUGAUUAGGUAAUUAUUCUUGCCCGUUUUUAAUAAUUUUUAUAUUUCUCAUAUCGUAAAAGCUUAAUCUAGCUAUCUUCAGGAUUAAUUUGCAAAUUUAUCAAGGUACUAGGGUUUUUCCAUGGAUGAACAUAGAUGAAUUAUGAAGUUUUAUGAUAGAAAAUGAAAGGUUGUUGAUAAACAACUUUUGUAAAGCGAAUUUUGAUGAAAUUAUGAUUUAGGAACUAAAUUGAAAAGAUAUAAAAUUCAUGAAAAAAUUCUAAAUUUUAUGAAAUACAUGGGCUGUAAAUUUUACAUGUAAAAAUCGACUAGGCUUGGAAUAAGGAUUAAAUUGCAUGAAUUUUAUUUUUCGAACUUAGGGACGAAAUCGUUAUUAAUUAAAAUUUUAGGGGUAAAAUGGUAAUUUUUUCUGAGAUAUGGAUUGAAUUGAAAUGAACAUGAAUUAAUGUUAAAUUCAUCAUAUAGAUUCGGAUAGACCAAAUUCGAAGUUAGAACGAGGAAAAGAGAAAAUGUUGGAUUAGUAAAUUUUGCGUACACGAAUAUUUGUCGAGGUAAGUUCGUGUAACUAAAUUAUGUAUAUUAAUAUGUUUUAAUUGAAUGUUGUGUAUGUGAACUGUAUAAAUGCUAAAUAUAUGAAAUUGAUUACAUAUCCGAAAAAGCCCGAUAAAUAUUAAAUCUCGUUUGAAUAAUGGAAUUCGAUGGAUACAGAAUUUCCCAAUUGGUUGUAGUCCUGCAUGUGUUGCGGACACACCACAGCUCCUACGAGCAUCCUGUUAUAAGCCCUCUCAAGCUUCUUGUUAUAUGGUUCCUACAAGCAUCCUGAUCGAUAGUGAUCUUGCAUGUGUUGCGGACUACCGCAGCUCAUUGUGAUCGUCCUGUUAUAUGAUCGGUUGUGAUCCUGCAUAUAUUGCGAACACAAACACAGCUCCUUAUGAGCGUCCAGAUAUGGCUCGUUUGAACUUCCUGAUAUAUGGUUAUCCGGAGCUCCUGAUUAAAAGCUCUUCGUGAGCUUCUUAAUUAAAAGUUCUUUAUGAACUUCCUGAUUAUUACUCUUAUGAGAUUCCUGUUAUAUAGCCUGGAUAAGCUUCCUGAUAGGCUCUUUAUGAGCUUCCCAAUUAAUGGCUCUUUGCGAGCUUCCUGUUAUAUGGUUUAAGAGAAGAUUUCUCGAUUAUGUGCUAUAAAGAGCACUCUUGAACAUGAAUUGACAGAUUUCUAAUUUGUACACUUCGAGUGUACUACCUGUGUAUCCAUCGAUAUUUCAAAUAAAUUCAACGGGCAAAAUCCUGACAUGAGAAAAUAUGAACAUGAAAUGAAUUAAAACACGUAUCUACCUGAAAUACAUGAAAAUGAUGAUACAUGAUAUAUGGAAAUACGAGAUGAUAAUAUAUGAACAUGGAAUUUGUUUGAUAAAUAUGUUCAUCCAUGAUUAUAGAUUUGUACACCUUGAGUGUAUUACUCGUGUGACACUAACAUUUCAAAUGAUUCAAUGGGCAAAGUUCCGACAUGAAAUAAUCUGAACUCGAGACGAAUUAUCAUGAAAAUGUACUUGAAAUAAAAUUAAAUAUCAUUUUACUUGAUCUGUAUAUUUCGGUAAUGCUUCGUAACCCUAUUUCAGAGACAGAUACGGGUUAGGGGUGUUACCGAUGUCCAAUGUCUCCUUAUAUCUUAGUGCUUUGUAAGGAAAAAUUGGGUCAUUUAAUUCAUAAGAAUGUUAAGAAUAAACUGUGGAAACCAAUUGUUCAGGGUAAGAAUGGCCUCCUUUAUCACAUCUUUUAUUCGUUGGUGACCUGUUCUUGUUUGCUGAAGUAGAUAUUGAUUAGGCUAAGGUCUUAAAAAAUGUUCUCAACACUUUUAGAGACGUCUUGGGACAUGAAGUCAAUAGACUUAAAACCACUGGCUCUUCUCUAGCAACAUAGACUCCAACCAUGCUAAUGCCAUCUGUAGUGUUUUUGGUUUUUUCCAGACUGAUGAUUUGAGGAUUUAUCUGGGACUACCUCUCAUUCACUGAUGAAUAACAGUGAACUCUUUCAAAUUCAUUGUGGACAAAGUUAGACGAAAGUUGGACAGUUGAAAUGCCAAAAACACUAUCUGUGGUGAGAUGAGUAACUUUAGCUCGGCCAGUUUUAUUGUCGAUUUCUAAUUAUUUUAUGCAAACUGUGAAAAUCUCGUUUAGUAUUUGUACAGAAAUUGAAAAAAUUGCUCAGUGAUUUAUUUGGGGGAGUUAUGGAACCUUUCAAAAACCAGUGUUGGUAAAAUAGGGAGAUUGUUGUCAACCUUUGCAUAAUGGGGGCUUAGGUAUCUGGAGACUUAAGGAACAAAAUGAUUCUUUUUUGCUUAAUUUGGGAUUUAAUCUCCUAACCAAUGAGCAAGCUUUGUGGGUAAGGGUACUCCGUUCUAAGUACAAGCUCUUGGAGGAUUUUUCUAAAGACAUUUCUCGAAGCAAAUGUUCUCUUGUCUGGAGAUUGCUUGCGAAGGUUUAACCCAUUUUGCGUUAUAAUUUUAUUUGGUCAGUUGGUGAUAGGAAUUGUAUAAAAUUUUGGACUGUCAAUUGGAUUUCUGAAAUAGGGCCGCUUAUAAACCAUGAUUUGGUUCCCUCUCUGGUUGAUGUUUCUAUUAUGCUUCAUGAGGCGGUGGAUAUAGAAGGUAUUUGGCACUGGAAAUACUUGAGGUGUUUUUUAAAUGAGGAUAUUCUAUCUUAAAUCAGAGGAAUUUCGACUAUGAAUUCUUUAACAGGCUAUGAUGAUGUUAUUUCGAGCUGGGCAGCUAAUGGAAAAUUUAGCAUCAAUGAGGCUUACUGUAAGCUAACAAUUAACUCAUUGAAAAUGCAAGAAGAAAAAUGGAAUCUUGUUUGGUAUUUGAAUGUCUUACAACGUGUUCAACAUUUUAGUUGGAUUGUGUAUAAGGGACGUCUCUUUACUAAUUUGGAAAGGUGUAGACAAGGAUUGUCAGAAUACCAUCAUGUAAGAUUUAUGGGAAUACAGAAGAAUCUAGUCUUCAUGUUUUACAAGAUUUUCCUAAGGAAAAAGAAGUGUGGAAUCAAUUAAUCCCUCACAGAAUUCAGAUAAGUUUUUUCACUUACUCCUUAGAGGAUUGGCUGACUUUAAACAUGGAAAAUAAACUUGAGGUUACUCUCUAGGAUGCGGAUUGGCCAUCUUUGUUUGGGAUUGUUUGUUGGAAAAUUUGGAAACAGAGAAAUGUGUGCGUGUUUCAAGAUGACCAUUGCAACAUAAGCAGUUUGAUUCAUUCUUCGUGGUUAUGGGCAAGGUCCAUUAAGUAGAGAUAGAUAAGUUCGAGAGGGAGUAAUGGGAAUCAAAUAAGAAGCCAAAGAUGGGCCCCUCCACCUAUUGGUUUCUUUAAAAUAAAUACAGAUGGCGCUUGCAACUUGAGUUUGGGUUCUGCAUGGUCAGCAACGGUGACACGUGAUAAGCAUUGUGACAGCCCAAAAUUGACCCUAGUCGGGAAGUGGUUUCGGGACCACAAAACCGAGUCAUAAAAAUAAUUGAUUUCCAUAUUCUAUGCUUAUUAUGUGUGUACAUGAGUAUGUGGAAGUUUCAUUCUCCAAUUUUGCCAAUUGCAUGAGAAAUUAUUAAAUAGGGAUUGAUAUGAGACAUGGUGAAAAUAUGAUAGGCUAAUUUAAAAUGGUCUAUUAAUGCAUGUUGUGAAAAUGAUGGGUUUGCAUGUCAAAUUACCCAAAAUUUGAGCUAGUGGUUGGCCAUGCUAUGGGUGGAAACAUGUUGGGAACAUGUUGGCCUAGUGAGGUAUGUAGGAAAAAAAUAAAAUAAUAGGCAUGGAAAUUAAAUAAUGAAAAGGAGCAUGAUGAAUACACAAAAAAAAAAGUGUGUAGUUGAUUCUUUUCCCCCCCAUGGCCGUGAGCUAAAAAAAAAAAGAGAGGAGAAGAUCUUUGUUCAUCCUUUUCUCACCUUCAUUUAGCCUAAAUUAGAAAGAAAAACAAAGAAAAAAAUUUCUCAUCCUUUGGUUCAUCCUUGGCCAAAAAUUUUAAUGAGGAAAGAAGAAGAAAGGUGAAGAGAUUCGGCCAUGCAUGUAGCUAGGCUAAGGUAUGUUUGAUGAUGUUCCAUGAGAUGCAUGCAUGUUUUAGUUGUUAGCUUGAGUUCUACCUAGCCCAUGGUCUAAAUCUUGCUAUGUGAUGGAAAUGGCACUUGACCAUGGAUGCAUCAUUCUUGGUUGAUGUUUGAUGUUGUGGUGAUGAGGCAUGAGGAUGAGUUAAGAUUCGGCCUAGGUGGAGGUCGUGUUAAUGCCAUUGCAUGCAAAAUAUGAAGCUUGUUAAUGAUGCAUGUGAUGAUGGCUUGAUGAUUUUUGAACCUCCUUUUUAGCAUUUUUGUGUGAGCACAUAUGUGCAUUGAUUGCUAAAUGGAGAAGAAUCGGCUAGCAAGAUGUGUGCUAAGGCCGAAUGUAACUUUGCAUGUUAAUGAGCAAUGCAUGUGUUAAAUUGAUGAAAAGGGGGAGGAUGCUUUACUAGUGUGUAUAUGUGUGUAUUAAGUGUUGAAAUCGACCCCAAAAAUAGACAUGCAUAUUCGGCCAAGGGGAAAGAAAUUAGCUAAUAUGUUGUGUUGAUGCAUGAUUUUUGCAUGUACGAGACUUUAAUGUCUAAUGUAUAAAUAUGGGCUAAGUGCCUUGUGUUCAUCUUUUUGAUGCCUAAAUGAUGAAAUCAAUUUAUUUGUUUAAUUAAGCUCAAGAGCAAAGGGGAAAUAAAUCCGAUAAAGGGAAGGAAAAAGUGGUCGAAUAGUUAGCGGAAUCGUUCGACAACACCCGAGGUAAGUUCUUGAGUAAGAGAGCUUAAAUUACGAUGUGAUUAAAUCAUGUUUUAAGCAAAUUAAAAUCAUGCUCUAUGUGUGGCUAUUGAGCCGAAUGUGCAAGGACGAUAUGUGCCUUGUGUUUGAGUUUCGCAAAUGAAAAUGAAAUAUGAAUGUGCCAUGAAUUAUUGUUAGAUGUGCAUGAUUAAUUGAAUGCUGUCCGGGCUAAGUCCCGAAGGCUUUGUGCUAAGUGAAUAUAUCCGGACUAAGAUCCGAAGGCAUUUGUGCGAGAUACAAGUUCCGGGUUAAGCCCCGAAGGCCUUUGUGCGAGAUACUAAAUCCGGGUUAAGUCCCGAAGGCAUUCGUGCGAGUUAUUAAAUCCGGGUUAAGUCCCGAAGGCAUUGUGUGAGUUACUAAAACCGGGCUAUGUCCCGAAGGCAUUUGAACGAGGAGCUAUAUCCGGUUAAAUCCCGAAGGUAUGUGAUUUGGUAAUGAAUGAGCUUGCUGUAAAAUUCCAGCGAAUACACGAAAAACAUCCCAAUAUGGGGAUAUGUUACGUAUGUGUUGAAUUUAGUCGAGCCCGUACAAAUAAAUGUUCGCUCAGUUGAUAAACGAGCUACCGGCCUUCGGCUAAGUUAGUCUAUUGUGUAUGUACAUAAUGGUUGUUUAUGUUGUGAAGCAAGUUUGAUAUCGGUAAAUUGCGUAUUAUGAAAUAUUCCGUUUAGCUAAAUGUGUGUUAUACUUUGUUUAUGCUGGAAUUCCUUGCUCAAAACUUACUAAGCAUAAAUUGCUUACUUGUUACACUGCUCCUCUGUUUUAUAGAUUUUUGGUUCUCCAGCUAUCGGACUCGGGAUCUUGAAGUCGAAGUCGCCCACACUAUCAAAGGCUCUUUUGGGUACUAUUUUGGUUGAAUUUUGAUAUGGCAUGUAUAGGACUACCCAUUGUUGUUUUUCGAGUACUUUAUGAAAUGUAUAAGUGUACAGCCAUGCGAAAAUGGCUUGUAGAAGUAGAAUAUGGCAUUAGACCAUUCGUGUUUAUGAAUGUAUAGAUGGUUUCAUGAUGUAACUAUAGUUGGAAUGGAAGUGUUGAGCAAAUGAUCAGCCAUUGGAAUGGCUAAGUAUGAUCAUAUGUGGGCAUAUGUAUGACAAGGCCCUAGUUGGUCCAUGAAACCCCGAAAAUAGGUAGUGAAUAAAUAUGUAAUCGAACCUUGAUGAAUCUACUUUCAUAUGAAAGUAACGAAACAAUCAUACGGACAGUAUGUUAAGAGAUAUUCAGGUUCUCGUGAGACAGGGCCAGAACGGUUUCUGGAUUCCCUGUUCCGACUUUGGAAAUUCAUUAUAAAUUAACCAGAGAUAAUUAGGAGUCAUACCAUAUAUGUAUAGAUUCCUCUCUGAGUCUAGUUUCUAUAGAAAUAAACGGCAUCAGUAUUGGAGCCCUGUACAAGGAGAUAUCCAAGUCGUAAUGCGCAAAGGUCAGGGUAGUCGAUCCCUGUAACAUGGGAGACUUUGACUAAUAAACUGUACUAAUUGGCCCAACCAAAAAUUCUAGAAAAAAAUAUGUAGAUGGGCAUAUGAGUCUAGUUUCAGGGAAAAAUCACGAAACUGAUUUUCGAGUUGUGAAGCUCAAGAUAUGAUUUUUAAAGCGACUAGUACACAGAUUGGGCAGUGUCUGGAAAUUUUUCAAAGUUUGUUAACACCUCGUGUUCGACUCCGGUGUCGGACUCGGGUUCGGGGUGUUACAAGCAUGGUAAUUGGAUGUGGGGAAUAGGAAGAAGUAUUGGUACAUGUAGUGUACUACAAGCUGAGCUUUGAGCAAUAUAUGAUGGCCUCUGUUUUGCCUGGGAAGCCUAAUGGGCAAAUGUUAUUAUUGAGAAAAAUAGUGUGCAAGCUAUUAAAGAUGUUGUGCGAAUCCAGGAACUUUGCCAACGCGAAUGGAGAGUGCUCUUUAAAUAAGUACCAAGAGAGGUGAAUUUGACUGCUGAUAUUUUAGCUGGUUUGAUGAAAGAUGCUCCUAUUGGCUUAAGAAUAUUUCAUGCUUCCCCUUCACAGGUUGAUGAUCAAUUAUAGACAGAUAGACGAGUUAUGCUACUCAGCAUUGAUAUUACUAUUAGCUUGUAAUUGAAGCUUUUUAUUUCUUGUUACAAAAAAAAAUCUGAUAUUUAGGGUUAGUUUCACUGUAGGAAGUAUAAGCCAUAUUUGAAUUUUAGAAUGUCAGUAUUUUAAAUUGUAUUAUUUCAUUUGAAUAAAUAUUUUAUAAAAUAAGAAAAGUAUAUUAAAAACAAAGGAUCCUAUUAAAAAUUUAGCCUAUAUUUUCUUUAAAGGUUUUUUUUCUCUUUGUGAGUUGUUUCGAGUAAGAUCUCGAGUAUUUUUUUUUGUUUCUUUGUCUUGUUUUUGGUUUCUUAGGAUUUUCCUUUAGGACUUUUUGAGUUUGUUUUUAAGAAUUUGGUCGUUCUUCUUUUUCGAUUGUUUGUUUUAUUAUUUUGUAGGUUUUUCUUUCAUUUCCUUUUGUGGAAGUUGGCAGUGUUAUUGGCCUUUAACAAGGGUUACAGAAGGCUUGCACUUCAUUAAUUUUCUAACUCAUUAUGGGUCAAGAGGGUAGAGGUUAUGGAGAGUGAUUUCUCUAUUAAUUUAAAAGAAGAUAGGGCGGAGGUUGACUGUAUGGUGAGUUGUACUUUGAUUGGUAAGGUUAUUUAUGAUAAGAAAUUGUAUCGGAGGAGUGUCAGUAAUGUGCUGCAAAAUAUUUGGUUUUCAAAUGAAGUGGAAUCAGUUGUAGAAAUGGGGAUUAGUUUGUAUACGAUAAAUUUUUAAAGUUCAGCUUGGAUGGAGAAGGCUUUACGUGAGAGUCCUUGGUUGGUGAUGGGGUGUUUCUUUGUCCUAAUGAAGUGGGAACCAGAUAUGGGUGUUCAAGAUAUUGAUUUCUCUAAGGUGGCUUUCUAGAUCUAGGUACACAAUUUGCCUCUUAUGAUGUUAACUAUGCAAAAAUCCUAAGAAGGUUGAUAACAUAAUUGGGGAUUUGGUUUGUGUAACACCCCUCACCUGUCUCCGUUACUAGAUUAGGGUUACGAGAUGCUACUAUACAAUACAUAACAUAAUUAUGCUAUAUCAAUGCAAUACAUUCCCAAACAAUUGUUAACUAUCAAAUUUGUAAUCAUGUCAUUCAUAUCCUAACGGUAUUAAAUCGAGCUCAACAAAUCUAUAAAACAAUUUAAAACAAAGUAGGGACUCAUUUGAAACAUUUUAGAAAAGUGAGGUAAAAAUGAAAAUCACACAGCUGUGUGAAUCUAUAGGACAUGGUCGUAUUGACUAACCGUGUGGGAGGAGGUACACGAUCAUGUCUCCAAACCAUGUAACUAACUGAUGUCGUGUGUGCCAAUUGAAACUUAAAUCACAUAGACCACACGGUCAUGGCAUACACCCGUGCAUGGCACAUGACCGUGUGCACCUAAAUGACACUUUCUCCACAAGUUACCUAAUUCAAUUUCCUUAGGCCACAAGCAAUAUUAAACCAUCAUUCAAACCUACUCAAAGUCAUCAAAAUAUACCUAAAACAACAUCUAUCUCAUACAUCCUAAGUGUUUAACUAAUAUGCUACAUUUGACACCUUAAUUCAAACAUAUUCAAAUUCAUAUUUAACAACCAUCAAUUCAUAAAACAUAUGCCUAAUAUUUGAACCAUUUCAUCAAUCAUAUACCAAAACAAACCAUACAAAACAUGGCCAAAACAUCCUUAAAUAUGUACAUACUUAAUCACCAAAAGUACCAACUUAGCAAAAUACCUCAUCAUUAUUCACAUAGCCAAACCCUACCACAACUUGAAUAUAUAUAUGAAAUCAAAACACCUACUACAUGGAACUUAUAACCUACCCAAAAAUGGUCAAAAUUCUACCGAGUCAUUAAACUGAUAGUGUGAGCUCGGACUUGACUUCCAAUCGACAAUGACUUUCGAUUAUCUAAAAAGAAUCUAACAGGACGGACGUAAGCAAUUAUUGCUUAGUAAGCUCAUAUUAAAAUUAACUCAACUUACCAAUUUUUCAAGAAAACAACUAAAGCAUGGAUUAUACCAAUUCGCAGGAUAAAUUCUAUGCUCAUGGUUAGCCUAUACAAAUCACAAAUAUUACAAAUUAGUACUUGUCACACCCCAAGUUUAGCGGAUCUAAGAAUGAGGCAUGUAGUUGUGAAGUUAUUUGUUUGGCGUAGUGUAAUCCACCAUGUUAAGUUUUCUGACGAAUUGAAAUGUGGCAUAUAGUACCUGCCAUUGAGUAAAUAAAGGUAUUAGGUUAUUUUGUUAUCUAAGAGAAGGACAUAUCAAGCGAAGUUCGGUCAGGUAAAAGUUACUGCCAAAUGUUUAGUAUGCCUAAUCUGUUUGAAUAUUGUGCUAGUUGGAUUGUAAAGUGAUCUGGUUAGGCUGGUCUAAUAUCCAUUAUGCAGGAUUUUCAUUUAAUUUUCUCUCAGAAUCUAUAGGCCAUUAAGAAGGACAAAUUUUGAAUUAAGUGAUACUUGUUAAGUUCCACGAAGUAGGACUGGAGAGUAUAUAUAUGUGAGAAGGGUUUGUCAGGACGUUUUCUUCUUCCUUCAGUAUUACUCUUUGGUUCUAUUUUUAAAUUUAAAUGUUACUUGAUCUACCACAAAUCAACGUGGCAAAUUAGGAUUGACGCACUUGAUGAUCUUUUUCUCGAGCAAAAUAGAGUUUUUAGCAAUUUUUUUAUUUUCAUAUUUUUGGGUAAUAAGUGAAAAUGUCUUCAUUUUGUCUAUUUUUUCCCAAAUUGGUAGAUAGUGCCAUUGGGAGGUCUAACGUGUGUUUGAAUGCAGUAGGGACGUGUCAAAGGUCGAAAAUGAGCGAGAACGACAUCUAGGGCAAGGGUAUGCGUUAUCCAACCUCUAAAAUCGCGAAUCCUAUUUUGAGUUUUCAAUAUGAUAGAUCUGAAGAGGGUGAUGGAUGGAAUGCCCUGGUUUUUAAUAGGCAUCUUAUUAUUUUCCUUUAACUGGAGAAAGGGGGAAGAUCCUUUGCAAGUCCCUCUUAUUCAUGCCUUAUUUUGGGUGUAAUGCCUUUGUGGUGAAAUCAGGGUAAGUUUAGAGACUCAUUUGCUAGAUAAAUCUGUGGAACAGAUUUGGAUAAGUUUGAAAACAUCUCUAUUUGGAUAGCCUUGUGAUAAAAUUGAGUAUGACUUAAAGGCAAUUUCUGAAAGAGUCUCAAUAGUGUUUCUAAAGGGUGAAUCAACCAUAGUAGUCUGUCAGUACAAGUAAUUUGGUAUAUUCGUAAUUAUGAGUAGCCUAAGAGUUUGUCAGAUUUGAAUUUGUUUUCUUUAUGUAAGGAAGCAAUUUGAAUUAUCUGGUAUCUGUCAAAUCUGAGUGUUUCACAUUAUAGAUAAAAAGGUUAUCUGAAGUAUAAAUUGUCCAUCAAAUCAGAGUGUUCUCAUUAUAUGUAAUAUGGUUGUCUGGGAUUCCACUGGAUGACUUAGAAGACUUCACCCAUCAGAAUAAGUUAUGAUCUGGGUUGAUAUAAGACAUGAUCUGACUAGUAAUCUGAUAGCUGUCAAUUCAUUAUGAGAAUCCACCAAAUGUAAGAUUUGUAUGAAGCUUGUCUUAAAAGAUCAGUUAGUAUUAGUAUCAACCAAGAAUAGUAUCUAUGAGUACCCCAUCAUGGGGGAGGUAUUCAACAUCUGACUGAGUGAGAAUCCGUCAAAGUUAGGUUUUGUAUGGAUACCUUUCUAUGAAGUGUAUUCAUUUUUUGAAAAGGAAUGAGAUCUAUAUUGAGUGUUCAAGACUAGAAUCUGCUCAAUUAGUGAAUUGUAUGUAGGGUGUUUGAGUAUGGAAGUUGGCAUAUAUGCAUACACCCAAUAUUAAGGAAGUACUCGCCAAAGUUAGAAAGGAAAUCCAGAAUCUUUCAAGAUGAGGAAUUAAACAACAAAUGUUGCAAGGUGAUUUGAGUUAAAACUCACUAAUUUCAUUUGAACUUACAAAUGUUUGUUUAUGUUUCAAGUUUCGCCUUAAGAGUAGGUACGCCAAAAGGGACCAAGCCAGGAUUGUGCCAAUGUAGCAGUUCAAGUGGCAAAAUUAUGCAUACAAAGCGCACUAUAAGAGUAUGGUGUAUAGUACUCUACGCUAUAAAGAGUUAGUUUCAAGCUGUAACGUUAUAUGUUUUUCAAACUUUGAUGUAAUCAUCAAAUAUCUAUUUUAAGAAUAGUACAAAAGAAAUAAGAAAUAUAUAUAUUAGAAAAAUUUUAUGCCUGUUGUAAAAUCUCUGCUAAAUGCUCUUGUAUUGAAUUCGGUGAUUCGGGUCAAGUAGAGGGUGUUAUAAUCUUUUCAAUUUUUAACCGCUUUUUUGCACGACCCAUACGGCCCUAUAUAUUUCUCAACCUAUUUUUAACAUAAUUUUUAAUGUUAAACUAAUCCUAAACAUCCCCUAAGCCCUUCUAAUAGUAGUUAAUCACCUCCCUUCCAUCGUUGUUUUAAGCUUUCGCCAUUUUUUUCGCGAGUUCCUUUGUUCCUGCCACGCCAUUAUUGUCGCCUCUCUACUGCUCACCUCUAUUGUCAGCCGCCUCGUCAACCAACAAUCUCAGUAAAAUGUUUUUAACUUUUGUGCUUUAUUUUUUUAUUUCAUCGUAUUAGUUUAUUUUCGGAGUAUAUUUUUAUAUUACAUUCAAACGGCCCUGAGAAAAGUUUUCCCCACCUCGCAAUUGAGUGAAUUAGGAGAAUUUAAUUCUACCCGAUUUUGAAGCCAAGAAGUUGAAAAAUACUUCUUGGAACUCCAAGGGAAGAUUUUCAUUCAAGAACGCGGGUUUGACUAGUCGUUCGACUUGAACGAUGAAAUUUGGGACUUGAUUCGUGUGAACCAUUCGACUGACUUUUGUCUCACAUAAAAAGAGUCAGCAAUUGACUCUGUUGUGUACGAGUUUUAUGCCUUGUUAAAAGAGCGAGAAAAGAAUAAAGCAUAGCACAAUGUGCACCCUCAUGCGAUCAUCUGAGGCAAAAAGCUCAUGUGUACUCCCCAAAAAAUUUACAACUUUUCUAAUGCCCCAUACUAUGUCUCUGAUGCUUUAGAUGCAUUAGAUAUUAAUCAUUUCAGAGACAUAGAUAUGGAUGAGAUUGUUACUUACUUAACCGAGGGGAGAGAAGUUUGGAAAUACCAAUCGAACACCAACAUCCCAUUAUUGUUCAAUAAGAAAUAAUGUUCUUGGUUUCCAAAAUAUGGAUGCAGUUUAUCUAUACGCUAAUCUCACCAGCUUUAAAUGUGUCUAACCUUAAUGCAUUUUGAGUUAUUUUUUUUAUUGUAUCUUGCAACGUCGAGAAGUGUGCAUGAGUGAUAACUCUUGAAAAGAGUUAUAUUUAAGGCCUCUAAAUAGAAUUAAUUAGUUGUAAUUAAGUGAAUACAUUUUCAUUUUUAGGAUAUUUUUAGAACAUUGCAUAAUAAACCUUGGAUUGUGAUAUAAUGGUCAUUAUUUGUUACUUUUAUAACUUGGGGAGGAAAUGUGUGGUUUUGUGUGAAUACAGGUGUAAGAAGAGCAAGAAAAUGAAGAUGGAAAAUAAAGGAAGUGAAAUAUUAUCGUAGCAAAUAGUGAAAUUGAUUGCCAACAGAUUUGCCAUGGUAAUUUCGAGAAGAUGACUCAGCACUUUAUCCACAUCAUUCUCAGCCAGUUGUGCGUGUACCAAAAAAUCCAACCUGAAAAGAAAAAUGAAAAAAGUGUGCUGAGGUGAGACGAAUCUACCCAAUAAAAAAAGAAGAGAGAAGAAGAAAAAAGGAGGAGAAUUUGUAUAAGAAAGAGACUAGUUACAACAAUCCUCUCUCUGCACAGAGAAAAACUCCAUUGGAUAAUUCCAGAGAAAUAAAGGGUAGCAGCUACAGAGAGCAGAAUAUAGACGUGUAGAAGGGAAAGAGACAUCUAUCCUGGAUUCACAUACGAUUGGAAGAUAAAAGAGAAUCUAGAGUGUGGCGAGAAAUCCUGCAGUUAUGCCUUUAGUUUUCCUGAUUUUUGUUAUUCAAAAUUCUUUAAAUGUUGAUGAAUGAUUUAAUUUUGGUGUUUACUUUUCCACCCAUGAACUAAAUCUUUUCUGGGUUGGAGUUAUUUGGGUAGAUGUUUAUCAUCUUUAAUUUUCAUGAUUUGAGAUUGCUUGUAUCUUUUUUCAUUCGUUUAUGCAUAUUUUAAAUACAUGCAUGCAAGCUCUAGACAUAGUUGAUUGUAUGUUGUGUUCAUAGAUGUAUUUUUAAUUCUGAAAAGGUUAAAUAUACUGGAUCUAUAAUUUUUUUAUGCAAGCGAAUAUUCGACUAAAUAUUCGUAGCACUCUAGACAUAGAUGUUGCGAGUUGUGCAGAGAAGAACGUUCAUUGCAGUUAUUAAUCCAGAGUUCUAUAGACAUACAAUAACUUAGAUUUUAAGCUUUAAACCUAGCUAUUGAAAGAGGCAGGUUACAGUAGUAACUCUCUAAGCAAUCAAUUAGACAAUAUUUUGCCAUGACAUUAUUUUGAUAUGAGGAUUUCACCUGAAUAAUUCCAGCCAUAUUCAUUUAACAACAGAAUUACUCUUGCUUUUCUCUAUAAUUUGCCACAACAUUUUAUUUGCCAUAUCAAUUCUUUGCUUUUAACAUUAAAUUACAUUAAUUCAUUUUACCAAUAUCUUAUUCAAUUUAAGAGUAUUUCCUUCUAUUUAGUAUAGUUAAUAGGAUUAUAAUAACUUAAUCAAUCUUAUACCAAUUUUAGAUCCCUUUGGAUACGAUACUUACUUAUCACUUUAUUACUUGAAUGAUGUGUACACUUGCACAAUUGCAUUAGGUAUUUAUACGCAACAAGUUUUUGGUGCCAUUGCCGGGGAUCGACAACAUUGGUGAAAAGUUGAUUUGUUAUUAUUCUUGUAAUUUUUGUUAGAAUAGUUAAUUAGUAUUUUAUUUGAUUUUUCAGGUUUUGUACUAGUGCAUGAGAAGAAGUAUUCAAGAGGAUACAAAAUACUUUUUUGAUCCUAAGAUUGAAAGGAAAGUAAGGCGAAGGAGGUAAGCAUUAAGGGAAAUGAAGAGGAUUAUAAAUGAUCCAUUCAGAGAAUAUCAUGUACUCUAGAAUGAAAGGAAUGCUGAUAUUCCUCGAAUCUUAGAUGACAGAGAUAGACCCAUCAGAAAACAUGUAGUGCCUAAUUUGGGUGAUCUAAGUCCAGGAAUUGUUAGGCCACAUAUUCAAGCUCAACACUUUGAAUUAAAACCAGUAAUGUUUCAGAUGCUGCAGAUGGUAGGACAGUUUAGUAGUUUAACAACUAAAGAUCCCAGAUUGCACUUGAGACUUUUUCUUAAAGUCUGUAACUCAUUCAGGCAGUAGGCUAUUCCUGAAGAUGCCCUCAGAUUAAAAUUAUACCCUUAUUCAUUGCGAGAUCAUGCUAGAUCAUGGUUGAAUGCAUUACCAUCAAGUACGGUGGCGUCUUGGAAUGAACUGUGUCAUAUAUUUUUGCUUAGGUACAAUCCUCCCAACAUGAAUGUCAAGCUGAGGAAUGACAUUACAUCGUUCAGGAAAUCUGAAGAUGAGACAUAAUACGAAGCAUGGAAGCAUUUUAAGGAUUUAAUUAGAAAAUGCCCAAUGCAUGGUUCUCAACAUUGGACAAAAAUGGAAAUUUUCUACAAGGGAUUAAAUGCUCAUACAUGAAUUAUAGUGGAUGCAUUUGCUAAUGGGACGUUGCUUGACAAAUCCUACAAUGAAGCAUAUGAAAUUUUGGAAAGAAUAGCCAACAAUGAUUAUCAGUACUCCACUACAAUGAAGAGUUGGUACUGGUAGAAUAGCAAACAUUUGAGGAACGCCAACACUUAAACUAGGUAGUUUCUUCUCUUAUCUAUUAGGCGCACAUUAGGGACAAUGUGCCAAAUAAAGUGUAAGGUAACAUAGAAAUUUUCAUAAUUUUUCAAAAAAAUUCUAAUUUCUUAUGUUUUUAUUAGUUGUUUUCGUUAAUUUUUGUUUUGUAUGUUUGUUUGUGCGUGAGCUUAUAGCAUACAAGUGAUUGGAUAGAAACAUGUAAAUAGGAUUCUGUGUUUGAAUUGUAAAUAUAAGUCGAUGGCAAUCGACUUUAGGUUGUUUAAUAUUACACUAAUUAGUUCAUUCUGUUACACUGUGAAUAGGUGAUAGUGUGUUAGGUAUACCAAAUGACAAAUAGGUACAUAAAAAGCAUAUGUGUUUGUUUGAAUAAUAAGUGUUAGAGUGUUAAUAUUUAGUUAAUUGUAAUCCAUGAAUUGAUAAAAUUAGGGAUGACCUAAGGCAUUGUUUGGCAGAAAAAUUUUGAUCUAAAAUGCCGACCUUGAUUUAAAAUCCCUAAUACCCUAUUUUUUAGCCUAAAACUCUAUUUCUUGAUGAACUGCAAUGGAAGCCCUAAGCCUUAAAUAUAAUCUCUUGAUCCGAUUUUCAUCUUCCUUGCAUGAACUUAGACUUCAGGCCAUCGAUAUUAAGGGUUAGGUAGAGACGACAAGGUAGUUUUCAAAAUAAAAGGAAAAUAAAAGUGAACCCAAGGGAUAGUAUAGUAUGGUGAGUAUAAAAGUCUUGCAAACUUGUACGUAAAUAGAAAAAUAGAAAAAAAUUAUCAAAAGAAAAAGUUUGAAAAGGCUAAAAUAGCCAAGCGACAAGUUCUCGAGAAAAUAGGAAAGCAAAGUGAGUGAAAAAGAAAGAAAAGAAAAUUUCCUCAUUGUUUUGCACAAAUAGCUCGCUAAGACGAUUGUAUUCACUAAUAUUGUACUAUACCUUAGGAAUCAGAGAGAAAAGGUAGGUGAGAGAAGGGGAUAUAAAGUGGUGAACUAAAGGGGUUAAUCGGGAAAGUAUUGGGGUCAAUAUAAUUUUCCAAACUAUUUUCAUGCUUAAAUCGUUUUGUUGUGUCUGUCCUUUAAUUCCAAAUCAACCUAAGUUGUAGAACGUUACAAGCCAAAAAGACCUGGGUGACCUAGGUGAUACUAUUCGUGGAUGAAGAUUAGCCAAAUUUUGACAUUUCUAGUUACUUGUAUUCUUCGAGCAUGAAUGUAAAUUUUUUGUACCUAUUUCGAUGGAUCAAUGUGCUUACAUUCUUCAAUUUGUUUCCUUUGUAAUUUUAUGAACAAAUGUUUGUGAUAUUGAAGGUAAGGAGUAAAUUUAAUAUCGUGUUAGAGUUACGUAUUUAUUCACAAUGUUCUGUGUACAUAGCUCUAAACUAGUCUUUGUAUAUGACAUGCUCAAGCACUAUUUGGUUGUUUUAUUUUUCUUGUUUGUGUGUGUUUUUAUUUUGUUUCUUGAGGACAAAAAAUAACUUAAGUGUAGGGGAGUUUGAUCUGCCACAAUUCGUUGUGGCAAAUUAAUGUCUUUCUGGCACUUAACGAGUUUGUUUCUAGUAUUUUUAUAUGUUUUUGGUUUUUAUUGAUUUAUGUUUAAUAGAUGAAAAAUAAGCAUUUUUACGCAAUUUUGAGUUAUGUUAUGAUCUAAUGGGCCACUACAGGCCUAGGGAUGAUUUAAUGGCUCUAUUUAGUGUUUAGGACACUGUUUUCGGGCUUAAAAGACGAAAGAUGAGUGCAACGUCACGACACUAGUCCUGUGGUGUCGUGACACUGGGUAAAGAUUAGGAAAAUUAAGCAUGGGUAUUUUUGUCCACACAAUGAACUAUAAUCAGAUUUUUUGGUUGUUUGGCAACCCUAAUUAGGUUAGAUCAUAAACUUUCUAAAUAGGCAUGUUUAGCCUCAUUUUAAGAGGCCAGGCCAAGUGAGCCACUUAGUUAGUUUUAGGGUUUUAGUUUAGUUUUUAUUUUAUUUCAAUUUAGUCCUUUAGACAACUUAUGUUCUUGUUUAACUUUGAUUUGAUUCCGAUCCAAGCUUUUGGUUUAGAAAUUUUUCUUUAUUUCUUUGUGGAUUCCAAUUGCAAUUGGAGUGAUCUUUGUGACUGUUAAAGGAAAUUUCGCUUCCUAAAACGAAUUGAUAUCAAAACGGAUUUAUUUUCCUAUUCCCUUGUUUUAUUUAAUUUAUUGCUUUGUAUGUUUAAUAUGAGUUUGGGGAUUAUUGUUGUAACAGCCCGAUUUUGAUCCUAAUCGGAACGGUGGUUUCGGGACCACGAAUCUGAGUUAGAAAAAUAUUUUAAAAUUAUUUUCUGUGUUUAUUAUGUAUGAAUUUACUUGUGUGAAAAUUUUGUGCUUUAAUUUUGUCGUUUGAGUGUCCGAUUAAAUAAAAGGAUUAAAUCGCGUAAAAUAAAAAUUUAGUGGUUAUUUCUAAAAGGGCCGAAUAGUGGUUGUUCUUUAAAUAUGGGGGUUUUAUGUUGCACUUUGACCAUUGAAAAGAUAAUGGACAGCAUUGUGUUUAUAAUAUAUAGUUUUUAUAUUAUUUAUAAAGGUUAUAAUAAUAAUUUAUAUAUUACAAUGUUAUUAUAAUAAAAACAAAACAUAAGAAAGUGGUCAUUUUCAUUAUAUUUGUGCCGAAUGAAAAGAGAAAGAAAAUAAGAAAACCAAGCUAGGUAUUCGGCCCUUGUUCAAGAAAAUUAAUGUAUGUUUCGGUUUCGAUUUUUGAUGAUUUUUAUGUUUUUGAGAUCGUUGCUUCGAAUACUACCCGACCCAUGCUUCAAUUUUUUAUUUUGAUGAAUAUUUUGAGUUAUGCCAUUGAUGAAUAAUUGUGUUUUGUGAUAUUUGAUGAUGAAUUAUUGAAGAUAUGUUUUGGGUUAGUAUGUUUUGUAUUGGAAAUUUUGAUGAAUUUGAGUAAUUAGAGCUAAAUUGCAAAAAUAAUAAAUUGAGGGACUAAAAUGUAAAAUAAAUGAAUUUUGUGAGCUUGCAUGGGAAUAAUGAAUAUUCGGCCAAAGCUUGGUAUGUGUAAAUUUUGUAUGUUUUGUGUUUUAUGCAAAUUGGACUAAAUUGUAAAAAGUAUAAAAUAUCAGGGGUAAAAUAGUAAUUUUCUCCUUUAUGUGUUUUUGGGUUAGAUUGAAUGAAAUUGUGUUUAAAUGAGCUUAAUUUGAAAUUGUAUAGAUCAAGAACAAAAGAAAUCAGACUUGGAUCGGGGGGAAAAAUAGUAGUUGAAUAGUCGUUUUAUAUACCCGUCGAUAUCCGAGGUAAGUCUAUAAGCAUCUAUAUAUAUUGUUUAUUUUAAUUAAAUAUGAAUUUUAUACGCUGAAAGGAAAUAUGUGAAAUUAUACAUGUGUUAAUCAAAUGAAAAUAAGCUUGGAAGCUAUGUUUAUGAAUUCGUUUCGACCGAGUUACGACAUCCGAAAGGCUCGUACGAACCUUAGGAAUAGCUAGGAUACAUAUGUCAUGACAUAGGAUUUUUGAUAUGUGUUCUCGUGUAAGACCACGUCUGGGACGAUGGCAUCGAUAUAUGUGAUUACGUGUAAGACCAUGUCUAGGACAUUGGCAUCGUAUUUGAUUCGUGUAAGACCUUGUCUGGGACAGUGGCAUCGAUAUGAGAUAGCAUGUAAGACCACAUCUGGGACGUUGGCAUUGUUCGAUAUAUGUGAUUAUUCGAGUAUCCUAUUAAAUUCCGAAUGGUUUAGCGGGCAAUGAUAAGUUGUGAUUAAAGGUGUAAAACGAGCUAAAACGAUCAGGUAUGAGUUACUUGACUACCUAUUUAAAAAUACGGUAAGUUGGCCAAUUGGUAUGUGAUAUAAAUUAUAUAAGUUACUAAUGUGAACAUAUGUAUAUUGGUGAAGUAUAUUCGGCCAUGUGUUAUGUAUAUGCAUAUGAUGUUAUAUUUUGGUUCAAAAUUAUAUGUAUAUGUGUGUAAAUAUAUAUUCGGAUAUAUAAUGAUAUUAUGUCUCUGAAUUGAAUGACACUUCGAAUAUAUAUACAUGUACAUUCGGUUAAGAUAAGAUUUAUUUAAGAAAACACAUGUUUUAUAUGAAAUGUUAAGCUUGAGGUUAAAUGUGAUUAUGCUAGUAUAAUUUAAUUUGGUUAAAAAUGAGUUGAUAAUGUAGUUUAUAUUCGGUCAAAAUAGAUAUGUAAUAAUAAGGUUAAAAAUGAGAGUUGCACAUGUGAAUGACAUUAUAUAUAUAUUCGGCCAAAUGUUAAACUUAUGUGUAUUCGGUUAAAUAUGGAUUUGAUGUAUAGUAUGUGUUUGAUAAAUGUAUUUUUCGAUUAUGGAAAUGGAUAUGAAUAUUGAAAACAUUAUUUGAUUUUGUUGUAACUAAUUAAAUGUUGUUAAGUUAUUUAAUUGCUCAUGACUUGCUAAGCUGUAAUAGCUUACUCUGUGUGUGUUUUUUCCUAUACUUUUUUAGAGUUCCAAAGACUUGCUCGGGUUGGAAGUCAUUGGAGUCGUCAUCACACUAUUCGGUUAUCGUUUUGGUUAAUUAAGGCUUUGAGUUUUUGGUUAUGUGACAUGUAUAGGCUAGUUUUAAUUUAGUUGUUGUAUAUAUAUUUUUAGCCAUGCGAAAAUGGCUUGAUCUAAUGCAAAUGAUUCGAGGUUUAAGUAAUUUUGGUCAUAGUAAAGGGGUGGGGUAUGCUUAGUAUUUGAAUUUGGUAAGACGUAAUGAUAUAUAUAUGGUUUAUAAUUAUUUUAUUUUGGUAAGCAUGAUAUGGAUGAUGGAUGUGUUAUGGUUGUGGUUGUGGUUUAUUAAUGAUGCUAAUGAUAGUGAUUUUCGGUAUUGUAUUAGCUUAAUUUGUAAGUAUGAAUUAUGGUCUAAUUUGUGUGAUGAAAUGGUAUUGAGAUUUGGCUUGAUUAAAUAGGUAAAAUACGAUAUAUAUUGAAGAUGACAUAAUGGUUAUUUCGAUUUAUGUGAUGUAAAUAUAGGUGAUGGUCAUAAUCUAGUUUGUGAUUCGGCAUUGGUGAUCAAAUCAUGUAGUUAAGUAUUUAGUUAUAUGUUAAUUUUGAAUUUGGUUGUAUUCAUUAUGUAUGGACUAUGUUAUGCUAUGAAUAUUUGGUAAAUUGAAAUGAUUAAUUUGAGUAAAUUUAUAAUGGCAUGAGUACAUUGGUGAAAUGGAUUGAAAAUGGAAAUUUAUAUAUUAUUAUUUAUAUUUAAUUGAUGAAAUGUAAACAAAUAUAUAUGUCUUUGAUAAGUUAAUUUGAAUGAUCGAAUAUAUAUAUAAUAAAUUGAUUUAAGUGUGUAUAUGAAAUUUUGACAUGAUUUAUACUGUAUGGAAUUGGCACGUUUUGAAUUGGUUUUGCAUGUAUUUUAGGCUUAAUAAUUAGCAUGUGAAUUGGGUAUAAAUUGUUUGGUUAGUUUGCUAGCUGAAUAGAAGAUAAGAUGAAUGGCAAAGCAUACAAAUGUUUUGUACUUAAAUGGGAAGUUAGGCAUGUAUGUUUUAUUAGUUGAGUUUUAAAAAAAAUGGUGUAUAUUUUAUAAGGUUAAAUGCAUUUGUGGCUAAGAUGUUUAUAUGCUAAACUUGACUAUUUGGUGAAAGUGAUUGUGCUGCAUUUUCUAAUGGACAAUAAGCCGAGCAAUAUGGAUUGUUUGGUUUUAUGCACAUGAAUAGAAAUAUGAAUUAAUAUGUUUGAUAUUCAGCUUAAGAAGUAAAAAAAAAAUGCUUGGAUGUCUUAAUGUAUGCGUAUGAAAUUUGUAAUGUGAUGAGUCAUCUUAUAAUUUGAUUUUUGAAUGAUAUGAGUAAGAAGUAUAUAUGUUUUGAAUGGUAGGAUUUUAAAGCAUGUGUAAUAUGACUAUUUUGAGCCGUGUUUUUUUUUAUGGUAAUGCCUUGUAACCCUAUUUCGGCGACGGAUAUGGGUUAUAGGUGUUACAAUUGCAUCUAGAUCCAUGAAUAGCUAAUUUCCUUAGGGAGAUUAACGAACGAAUGUGUGAUUAAUUAACAAAUAAAUUAGGGUUUAAAUCUAAGUUUGUUGGUUUAAAUUAUGUGCGAUUAAACCCUAGAAAGUGAUUCUCUUAUGAAGUAAUUUAGGAUAAACAAGAUCGAGAGAUAAGUUUACCGAGAAAAUCAUAAUUUAUCCCGGUCAAGAAAGUGAAGCCAAGAGGUAAGUGUGUAUUGGUUGAUUAGUUAAUUAGUUAGAUCCCAAGAGGUAAUAACUGGUUAAUUAAUAGCUAACUUAAUAAAACCUGAGUUCUAAAUUUAAUUAGGAACACUGAAGUGAGUUAAUCUCCUACCUCUUUUUUAGAUUUUAUUUUGAUUGUUAAUUGGUCAUUUUUCUUUUAGAUACUUUUAUAUUACUUUAAUUAAUUUAUUUUAAUUUAGUUUUUCAUAAUAUAAUUUUAAAUUAAUACUACUAGUGUAGAAAAUGAAGUUACAUUUAAUUCAACCUUCCUUGGGUACGAUCCUCGGAAUGAUUCCCGGAGUGUUUCAUUGUAACAUUCUUUACUAUAUUACAAUUUGACAUGUACGCUUGCAAACACUAUUGUUUAAUUAUAUGUUUAUUUAUUGCAAUAUUUCCAACCUAGAUUUCUGCACAUCUGGUGAUGGUCAAUGUCGCAACACAACCCUGAAUGAAAACCAAAAGAGCAAACUGUCGUCAGUGUCGUGUGAGGGUAUUGCAACACAGUUGUGACAAGGCCACUUAAAGGGGAAAGGGUGUUUUCAUCUGUACAACUCAACUUAAUGAUGUUUAGUCAGUCGUAUUAGGUCAAAAUGAGGCAGCUAGCCUUGAUCCUAUAAAUACCAUUACUCAUAACUGUUUAAGGGACUUUUUUUCCUUCCAUUUUUUACUUCUAUUCUUAGUUUUUAGGGUCUUAGUUUUAUUUUUUUAUUUUUGUUCUUGUUUUGUUCAUUCAAUUGAUUCAAAUUGUGGAUCACUUAGAUUCUGUCAAGGAUUGCACUUCAAGUCACCAAUACGAUCUUCAGAAUCUUUUUAUUUCUCUUUACUUGUUUUGCAAUAUUUAUAUGUUUCAAUUAAAAACUAUGAUGAUGUUUGAUAGAUCUAUGUGUAACUAAAAUCCUGAGGAGAUUAACAAGCAGAUGUGGUAAUAGUUAACAAUUAUUUAAGGAUUUCUUAGUGGAUCAAUUGGUUUGGGAAAAGAGAACAUAAACCCUAGGAUUGAUGACCCUAAGAAGUUAUCUAAGUAGAGAGGAAUCUAAGAGGAGAAGUCUACUGGGCACCCCUUAACCUAACCCGGUCUAACCUGUGACAUCGAGAGAUAAGUAGUGUUUGCCGACUCAUUAGAUUAGUAAAAGGCCGAGAGGCCCUGCUAGAUUAAUGACUAGCUGAUUGAAUAGAACCUGAAAUAGAAAUUAACUAUGAAUACUGAAGCGAGUAAGUGUUCUGCCUUUAGAAUCUGAUAAAUCCAUAAUUUGUUCCUCUCGAUAUUAUAUAUCUUUGCAUUGUUCUUAUUUUCACUUCUUUUAUGAAUAAUAAUAUAAUUAGGAUUAAGUACUAUUUAGACCUAUUAGCAUAGAAGUUAGUGUUAAUUUAAUCAAACCUCCUUUGGGUACGAUCCUCAAAAUACUUCUAUGUUCCGUUGUAACUUCUAUAUUACGACCUGCCCCGUAUACUUGCAAACAUUGCCUUAGUUCUUGUUUGUAGUUGCAGUAUUCUCACUUUCGAUGUUAGUACAUCGGGAGGCGGUCAAUUAUAUAACUGAAUCGACCCUUAGGGCUCAUAAUAACCAAUUCAUAUGCCACCAUUUAUUGCUUAAACAACAAGUUACAAUUGUAUAAUUUCAAUAUCUAAUGUCGAUAAGUGAAUUACAUGUUUUCAUAAUCCCUAUUAACCGAACAUGGAAUCAAGACGGAUAUAUGAUCAUUCAAUCAUCACACUUGUAGCAGGCCCAAUUAGCCCGGGCCUGUACUAAAUAAACCAAACCUAAAAAUAUAGUAGUCCAUUAACAAUUCAAUAGUCCAAAAUUAGAACCCAAAUUGAACCCAAUCAAGCCCUAAGUCCUAGCCCAAAUCAAAUUUAACCCUAUCCCAACAAAAGUCAGUAAACAAAAAACCUUAGGUGCGCCGCACCUAGGUCUUCUGGCCUUGCUGUUGCCGCCGUUCGUCGCACGUUCCAUCCGCACAUCGCACGCCACCACCACCAUAGCCUCCUCCAUGCGCGUCAGACCACCUGCAAGAGAAAACCACACGCAACAACAGAAACAAAAACAAUAAACAAAUAGAAAAACGAAAAAAAAUAAUGAUUAAGGAGUUUGUAAUCCGGCUAUAAAAGCCCUAAUCUAUGACUUGUAUUUUUUUUACGAACAUUAAUAUAAACAACAAAAUCAAAACAGAUUUAAAAAGGUGACUUUUUUUUCCUUGUUGGUUUGAUUCUCUUUUUCUAUCUUUUUUUUUACGUAUUAAGUAUUAAAGAACAAAAAGGGGGAAAAAGGAACUCACCGGAGAUGGUCGUGGCUGCACCGUCGGAGGGUCUCUCCUCCGUCACUCGAUUCGGGUCAAAAAGGGUCGAUGGUCUCCCCUUUGUUUAUUUCUCACGGGUUAAGAGAGCUUGGCUCUCAAAGAUGCCGCAACGAGGGCUAAAAGGCCUUCCUUUCCCGACGCCGACUGCCGACCACGAGGCAGCGCGACAAAAGCCGAAGAAGGCCAUCGGCCGAAUGUGAGGAGGAGGGGUUGAGAGAGUUUGAGAGACCCUCAGUUUUUUUUUUUUGAAAAUAAAGGGUGAAAUGUUUUUUUGUGUUUUUCUUGCUAUUUAUAUGGGGUCAAUACGGCGCCGUUUUGGACCUUAGCAUCAGUGGCCAAAAUGACGCCGUUUUACUUAGGACCCGAAUACCCGACCCGCCUUGAUAAGAUCCGCGUGUUUUCUAAUUUGAGGGGUUAUUUGCGCACGCGGUCCCUCCGUUAUUACAACAUAGCGCAAUCUGAUCCUUUGUUAGUUUUUUUUAUUUUGGCCACGAAAUUUUAUUUCUGUUUCAAUCUGGUCCUUAGGCCAUGUGCAGUCCCUUGGUUAAACGCCGCGUUUUAGGAUUGGGAAAUAUUUCCCUGAAAGUCCCUCGCGCUGUAGAAGCGUUUCAUUUCAAUUCCUUGGCAAUCUUGUUUUUAUUUAUUUGCGAAUUAAACCCUUGAUUUUGGGCCCGAUUUUAAUUUCAUCCUUAUUCCAUUUAAUUAAUUUACUAUUCAUUUUUUAAAAAAAUAAUUAAUUUAUUAUUUUAAAAAAAUGGGGGGCUCUUCUUUUAUUAUUUAUUUUAAGUUUUACAUAUAUUAAUAUUUUAUGCCUUACCUAAUAUUUACUUAAGUUUUUAUUUACAUUAUUUGUUUUAAAUUACCAUAAAUAUAUACAUCGUCUUUUAAAUUUUUAUACAUAUAUUUUUAAUAAAGAAAGAGUAUUGUUUGUUUUGUAUUUUUAACUUUCUUAGUUUUCUCUUUCAUUUUAAGUUUUAUAUAUUGUUUGUUUGAGAUAUUUUACCAUUCAUUCCAAACUAAUCUUAUAAAUCACUUGUUUUAUACUAUUAGUUAUAUAAAAUUGUUCUCUAUUAUUUCGUUUCGUACUUGGAUUGUUAAUAUUGGCAUGUUAAAUUGUUGCAUGUGGUGUGAUUAUUAUCAUUAUGUACGUUGUAAUUAGUUUAUCUGUUUUCGCAUUAUUGCCAUUCAUUAACAUGAUACUUUAUUCGUAAAUUGUCAUAUCAUGUUCUAUAUUAUCGUUUCAUUUCAUUUCAUCACUUCAAAAGUUAUGUUUGAUUUGUACAUACCCAUAAUAAACCGUUUUAUUUUAUCACAAAGAAAAUAAAUGCAACAUCGCUCAAGUAUUGUAUUCGCAUUAUUCAAAAAAGGGAAAAGUUUUAAAAUAAGGCAAUGUUUCGUGUUUUGGGAGAUUUAAGAAAUUGUACUCUAACUUACGCGAUUUCAAUUUUCUCGUUAAACCUAAAUAGCAAAAUAUCCUUUUAAAUUCCAAAAUAUACGAAAUUUCAAUAAAAAAUCAAAAGCAAGCUUGUUCUCUAAGGUUCCCAAAUAUCAUGUCCUAACUUACGGGACGUGACAUUUCAUUACCUCGAGACAAGUAGGUCUUUAACUUCCUUUUCGAUUUAUUCAAGCGUUUUUAAUAACAUUAAUAAAAAAGGGAUCGUAUCUUAAAUUUCCUUUCAAAUUUUUAACUUUCAGCAUUAAGACAUUAAGUAAUUAACUAGGUAUCAAUUUUGGGCGCGUCAAGAGUGCUAACCCUUCCUAGUGUUUAACUGACUCCUGAACCCGUUUUCUAGAUUUUGUAGACCAAAAAUGAUCGUUUUAGUAAAUUUAAAAUUUUAUUAAAAUGGUUACAUCACGAGCUGAUCCGAUCACACCUAAAUAAAAAAAGAUUGGUGGCGACUCCCAUGUUCGUUUCUGUUUUCAAAAUUAAAGUCGACUCCUUUUACAAAAAAAAUAAAAAAAUGGUUUCGACAACACCAAUAUAUCCAACACCUAGUGCCUCAUCAAAUCUGAAGUAUAAUAUGCGUUCUGUACCUCGUCUGUAUAAGACGAAGUAUAUAAAUAUGUCUAGCACUUUACUAGAACAUCUGACGUAUAAUAUGCACACCGCGCCUCAUCGGUAUAAACCAAAAUAUAAUCUCGUAUACUAAUCUUAUGACAUGUCAACUAUACUCGACUCUACUCGAGAUGUUAAUAGGGUAUCCAAUAUUUUUAUUAGUGUAUAAGGUUCACAUAACAUAGUUUAAUACAUAUAAAUUCAUAUCAUACUCAAAUCAAUUCAUACAAUUCCAUAUCAUCAUUUGCAUAUCAUCACAUUUUUCACAAUUUAUCAACUAUUUCAUACUUACCUAUUCAUGAGACAAGUAAGUUCAUACCUUAUUUAGGCUAAUUGCAACAAUCCAUAUAUGAUAUUUUAAAUUUAAAUCAUGAAAGCACAAACCGAGAUAGCUACUCGCCUACGACCCUCGCAUUUCCUUUAUCUCGAGACAACCUGGUGUCGUCUUUAGCUAUGUACGAUAAUUCAAUUAUAAAAAUAGUAUUUGUUUUCACCCAAUCACAUGAAAAAUACAUAAUUGAACAUAGUUUUCAUUUUAUUCAUUUUAGUCCUUAUAUCUUAUAUGCUCAUAUUUUUCAAUAUUUAACAUUGGAUCAAAAUCAAAUUUCAUAUUCUUUCAUUAGGGACCUUUUACUUUUAAUCAAUAGCAUAAUUUCUUAACAACUUUCAAUUUAUUCAAUUUAGUCUCUAAUAUCAAAGUUAACUAAACCUUUAAUUCUAAGCUAAUUUCACUACCUUUUAAUACAAUCUUAACCAAAUCUAAGCUUAACAAUCACAUAUUCAUCAUUUUAAAGCUUGAAUUUAACAAAACUCUUUCAUGGUAACAUAAUACAUAUUGAUAAUUUCAUAAUCUACUAAAUGGGUUUUCUAGCUUAAGUUCUAAGGACAAAAAAUAUAUAAAAUUCUUUAAGAAAACAUCAAUUUUAGACCAAAAUGUAAAAGAAGCAAAAGGAAAUUUUCUUCCUUCUUGAAGCUAGGGACGGCUCAAUUGAGAAGAAAAUAUGAAUCUUUUUCAUCUCUCCAGCCAACUUUUUUAACACCCCAUACCUGAUCCAGUCGCUGGACAUGAGUUACAAGAUGUCACAAUAGUAAACCGAAACAUUUAUAUGCAAUAUGUAUCAACAACAUUCAAUAAAUGAAAAUGUACAAGUUAAGUUCAUAUUAAACAUGCAUUACAAUCAAAAUUAAGCUCAAUCAAUCUUACAAAAGCUUUUAAACAAGUUCGAACUAAAUCGAGACCAAUCUGAAACAUUUACAAAAUAAUAGAUAAAAAGUUAAAACAGGGGUCACGCGGCCGUGUGUUCAAGCUGUGUGACAAGGUUGAGGUCGUGUGGGGCUAUCACACAAUCGUGUCUCCAAACUGUGCAACAAUUUGAUGUUGUGUAAUCUAAGGUGACACGGCUGUGUCACCAGGCCGUGUAGCAGACUGUGAUCUGUGAACUAAAAACCACCCUGACUGUGUUGAACACAUGACCGUGUCAUCCAAUCAUGUGAGACACACGACCAUGUGGUUGCCCGUGUGCAACAAAAAUAACCUAUUUGGGCAAGUUUUCAUACCACUCCUUCAAGUGACCUAUAAUGUCAUUUCGUUCUAUUCAAACCAACACCAAAGCAUGCAUUUCCAAGUCAAAACACCAAUUGACCUAACCAUUUUAACAUACAACCAAUAUGCCCUCAUUAGAACCAACAAUUAAAUAAACUCAAUUCGUGUUUCAAACAUUUCAUAUCACAACUCAAUCAGACCAAACACAAGCAUAUACUUAACAUGACCAAAGUCUAAAGCCAUUUCAUACCACCAUCAUAAACAUAUGUAUAAUGCCAUUCAAACUACCAGACUUGACAUAUACCAAAAAUCCAAUAACCAACCACAAACAUAGGUUUAUAUAUAUAAGGUUAUUACUCCAAAUUUCACAUUAUCUUACACAAGAUAAUCCAACCUAAGUACAUGCCACAAGUAACCAAAAUGAAAUAUCAAAAGUCUAUUGAAUCGAGAGAUGGUAGGUGUGAGCUUCUCGCUGAUCUGAUCGACACGUUCCGGACGUCCAAAAAUCUACAGAAAAGUAGUAAUACUAGUAAGUAUUUAAAAUACUUACGAAGCUCAUACAAUAUAAACAUUUACUAACCUUAAUCACUUAACAUAAUAUACAAUUCAUUAUGCAAUUCAAAUAUAUCUAUCAAGAUUCAAACAACAACGUCAAUUUAUAAGAUUUUGAUCAACCACGUAUAUAACCUCAAAUGUUCUCAAUUUUAUUUCAAUUUAACUUAUCACUUGUAUGCAAUUCGUAUGCAUAACUUAGUCAACAUUCAAUGGCACAAAAUAUCUUUUUAUUCACAAUAAUACCCGAUGAAACUUCGUAAAAGAAAUUUGUACACAGGUGAAAGUAAUAGUGCCCGGUUACCCGUUUGGGUUAAACCUACACGAAUAAUGAAUCAUAGUGUCAGGUCACCUGUAAGGGUUGAACCUAUACAAAUCGAAUAAUAGUGCCUGGUCACCCAUUAAGGUUGAACCUACACAACAAAUUGUCUGGCUAGGGCUUAAUUAACCUAUAUUCUUGAGUCCGCAACACAUGCUAGAGCUCAGAACCUAUAGACAGUAACCCGUAACCUCAUAUACGAGACUUUUACUAAUUUCAUCAGGAUUAAUCUCAUGUUAUAACACAAUUCCAAUCAACAACAAUAGUUAUCACUAAAACAAGUAUAACACAUUAGUAUUAGAAAUUUAAAUUAUAUCUUAUGAACUUACCUAACAAAGCGAUAAUGCUUUAGAUAAUAGAUACUAUUCGGUAGUUUUUUUCUUUUUCACCUAAGUCAACAACUUGAUCAAUGUAAUAGUUAAAAUUCAAAAUACCAAUACCAAUCUCAUGAUAACACCAAAAUUCAUAUUUAUAAUCUUUUAAUUUAGUUUUACAUAAUUUCCCUAAACUUUUAUAUUUUAUUCAAUUUAGUCCCUAAAACCGGAACAAGUAUAACUUUCACAAUUGAGCUUCAUCUUUUUCAUUCUAAUUUCAAUUAUGUCUUUCUACAGCCCUAAAAAUCCAAAUUUAAAGGAAUUAAGUGUCACUUUUAACAUAUUCACAAUUUAGUCCCUAAAUGCAAAAUUAACAAAAAUUACUUUAUCAAGUAAUCCUUAAACAUUUUGUAGCUUCCAAAUCUACCAUUUUCUAUAAAAAAAAAGAACAUCUAAAAUUCAUCAAUGGCAAGUUUUAAAAUCUUUAACAGUUUUAAAAACAGAAAUACGAGUUACCUAGACCUAGUUGCAACGAUAUCAAAAAUAUAAAAUUUAUGAAAAGCGAACUACAAUAACAUACCAUGCAAAUCUUGGCUGAAGCUUAAGUUUUCUCUUCCAUGGAUAAUCGGUGGUGAAAGGAAGAUGAUAAUGUCUUUACCCUCUUUUUUUGUUU
This 102755-nucleotide long non-coding RNA is filed under the name Gossypium barbadense (sea-island cotton). RNAcentral describes it as "long non-coding RNA (GBAR_LNC018070)". The stretch from base 12230 to 12336 matches the Rfam family "Plant small nucleolar RNA R71". The record is from RNAcentral. Lineage: Eukaryota; Viridiplantae; Streptophyta; Magnoliopsida; Malvales; Malvaceae.